RNAcentral lists this long non-coding RNA (101588 nucleotides) under Lotus japonicus. RNAcentral's name for it is "long non-coding RNA (LJAP_LNC001235)". The stretch from base 49963 to 50036 matches the Rfam family "tRNA". Lineage: Eukaryota; Viridiplantae; Streptophyta; Magnoliopsida; Fabales; Fabaceae. The record is from RNAcentral.
AAAAAAAAAAAAAACUUGCAGGCAUAGCCUUAAAAGAUAGAUCCCUUCAGAAAUUCAGAUCAUUGCUAAAUUGCAAAACCAUGGCUAUUCCUUUCUACUUAUAUAAGAUAUGCAUUUGAUGGAUUAGCUUCACCUACACAUAUCAAAUGUGACACUAGAGAUGGAAAAACUUCGGGAUAACAUUUAGCAAAAUGUAUAGUACUAUAUGAUCUUUUAUUUUCUUAAAUAAAAAUAUGACUUAUGUGUAACUUCGCAUUCUUGAUUCCUUUAGAUAUGCAGCCAAUUAGAAUAAGAUCAAAAGGUAAUGCAUGAACGUCAUAAUCCACAAAAACUACAUCUGCAUGUUUUGUUUUUAAAUGAAAUGAUUACCAUGUCUUGGAGUAGGAACAAAAUAUAUGAUCGUUUAAAUAAAUGGACCACUCUAACAAGGCUAAUUUGAGGUACUUUUGAUCCUCCUCAAAGUAGAUGAGACAACUUUGUUAGUGAGGCCCCAAUCAAUAAAAGGAAAAGGGAAAAGGGGAAAAAUAAUUUUGACCCAUAAUCGUGAUAACUUUGGAAAGAAAAAUAAAAUUGUUUACUAUAUAUAAUAUACAUGUAUAUAUAAAAAUGCAUUUAUUCAAAUACAUAUAAAUCAAAUGGAAACUCCAAAAAAUAAAUAAAUCUUUCUUUUGAAAUAUUGUACCCAAGAGAAAAAUGACUUUCCUUUAAUUCUACUAUUUUUUCCCUCUCAAUCAUCUCUAUCCAUAUGACAUAUGCUUGGUUGCUUUGGUCAUUUUCUUUUCACAAUUUGAUGCUUAGAGAUUCUCCAAGUUGUGGGUGUUGGGUAUGUUAUGUUUGGGGAAUAUGGAGAAAAAAACUUCAAGUUGAAGUAAGAGACCAUGCUUCGACAAAGAACACACAAGCAGUGAUCACCUGAUAUGUAUGUGCAUGUGAGGAAGAACAAUUUUAAUUCAUUCACAUCUCAGAUUCUCUCGCAUCACAAUUUUAUUUAUUUUCUCUUUUCAUUUAUAUUUUAAUUAUAUUUUUUUUUAUAAGUUAAAGAAUUAUAUUAAGCGAGCACAAGGGUGCUCGCACCCUUAAUACAAAAGGAUAGAAGAAAAGGAAAAAACAAAGCAUUACAUAUAAAAGGAACAUUAUAAAUUAUAUAGUGAUUUUUUAAAAUUAUAUUAUGAAUUUUUUUAUAAGCUACAUAUGCAUUAUAUCUCUUAUUUCUCUUAAUUCAAAUUUUAUCUCUAUUUGGGCGUGAGUAAAUUUGACGUGCGAAUGAAUUUUCAUCAUGAGGAAGAAUUUUGAAGAGGUUCUUUUCCUUUUGGCUCAAGGUGAGGAGUGUUAAAGGUUGGGUUUGAAGUUCAUGCCCAUCGAAUCAGAUAGCUAUUAUAAUACUUUUGAUUUAGAACGUGGAUGUAAUCAAGUAGGUUUCUUUGGUGAAUUCCUAUUUGUGAUAUAAAAUAAACAAAAGCUAAAGAAAGCCGCAGGCAAGGGCACUCAUGAUCAUGAGCAAGCUUACCCACACGAACCACCUUUGAAAACUACUUUUCAAACUUGAAAAGCAUCAUGCAUGGAUCAUAGACAUCCUUAUACUUUUGUUUGCCACACACUGUUUUCAUCUUGGCUGCCUCUUGUCAACAAAAAAUAUCAUUAACCCAAAUAGGAAUUAACAUUAAUCGGCAGAGCAUAUAUAUGUUGACAUGGGGAUAUAGAACUAUUUUAAUUUUUUUAAAAGCAAAAUUAAUUUAUGUGGAGUACAAAGUUUCCUAACCCAUUACAAUUUAGAAACAGAGCUGUGCAAGCAAAUCAGCAAGACAUAGGCAAUGAAAACCAAGCUAAAACAAAGAGCAACUUAAUUAAGGACAGAGCCAAGAAGUAAAAAGGAAUAAAAAGAUCUGAAGACCAUAGGCACUCCAAAUAGCAAAUACCAAUCAGCAACCCUUCAUUGCUUAUAAAAAAAAAAAAACCAAUCAGCAACCCGUAUCAGACCUCAUCAAUAAUCCACUUUCCUAACCAAACCCAACAGCCAAAAUAAUAAGUUCAUCCUUAGGCGCUCCAAAUAGCAAAUAUCAAUCAGCAACUCGUCAUAGUGUAUGUUUGGAUGAGACAAUUUUGAAAUUCAUGGGAUUUUAAAAGUGAGAGAAUUCAAUUGAAUUGCCUAGAAUUUAAAUUUUAUUGUUUGUUAAAUAUUUCUUUGGUCCCUCUAAAAUUAGAGUCUUUAAGUUUAGGCCCCUUUAAAUAUAUUUUUUGUACACACACCUAAAUGCAAAAUAAUACUGAUAUUUUAGCCCUUGUCAUAACUUUACAUCGUUUAGAGAGAUCUAAACCAAAGAACCAUGAUUUUAGAGGGACCUAAGACAUGAUAAAUAUGGAUUUUUAGGUCCCUCUAAAAUCAUGGCUCCUUGGUUAGGUCCCUCUAAAAUAUGUCACAUCAGCGUCCGUUAGGUAAAGGUAACGGCAGGGGCAUAUCCCUCCAUAUUAUUUUCAAAAUAAGGGUGUAUUAGAGGGACCAAAAACCCCUAAUUUUGUCAUAUGAUCUAAUUGAAAAGCCUUCAUCUAAUUAUUUUUUUAUUUUAAUAAAAUAAUGAUAACUUUUAUAACAUAAAAGAACAUUCCUUUUAAAACUUAAUUGAUAUCAUUUCAACAUGGCGCGUCGAUGCCAAUUCGAGCAUAUAGGCGCCAAGUUGGGUAGGAAAAAUGGGCAAGUUAGAUAUAGGGUUCAUGUCGGGUUUUGCACCAAUUGUAGGGUUCAUGUCGGGUUUUGCACCGAUUUUAGGGUUUAGGGUCGAUUUUAAUGUUCAAGGUGUGUCGAGUCGGGAAAUUAAAGUCGAUGUCGAUCUGGUCGACGUCAGGCCGAGCUGGUCGGCACGAAUUCAAGCGGGUUAGACAAUUUAUUUUAAGGUUUAGGUCGGAUUUAGGGGUUUUGGUAUAAUUUAGGGUUUAUGGUCGAUUUUAGGGUUUAAGGUGUGUCAGCCACGGCGGACGCCACGUCGAAAAGUUUAGAGUCGGUCUAUACGACCAAUGUAAUUGUAGAAUGACAACGUCAGUCAUCGGCCUAAACAACUAGCUUUGGCUUAGAGUCGGUUUGACUGAGAAUAAAAUUUUGCCUCAGCCAAUCUGCAGUCUCAACAAGUUAGCUUCGGCUCUUUUAAUGUCCACUUGGCGCUGACGUUAAGUCAAUGCUAAUUCGUCGGUAGCGUCGGUCUUUUGCUAACACUCAUAAGCGCUUUUCUUGUGGUGAGAGUGUUGACUCAGUCUCAAGAUAAUAAUAUUGGUAAGUUAAUGGUAAUGACAUGUGUAUUUAUCACAUAUAUCAAUGGUUUCAACAUAAUAAUAUGGUGAUUAAUGCCCAAACGAGAAGCAUCAAUAUUAACUAACACAUAGUGGUAGAUAAUUACCACUUCAUUUUAAGUGGUGUCUAUGAAAAAUGAUUUGUUGGAAGAGUCUUAAUCAUUUAAUGUAAUUUUUGAACUUCAACGAUAUUAAUCUCAGCACUGCUGAUUGUGGAAGUACUUUAUACGGAGUUAUUUAAUUUAAAGUUUUUCUUUUUCUUUAAUUAAUUUGAGCCACUAGUUUAGUUUGUAAUUAUUGUUUGGUAUGCACGGAGCCUCAAAGUUUUUUUUUUUUUUUUGAAAGUACGGAGCCUCAAAGUUAAGGGGAGAAAAACAACAUUUUUGUUGCAGGAGAUGCGUCAUGAUGUAUCUAAAAGCUUAUAUUCAGCAUCUUUUUAAAAAAUAAUUCACUAUUAUAAUUUUUUUUUUACAAGAGAUAUUAUAUGUUUAAAUCUUGACUACAUAUAACUUUCAGCUAAUAAUUUAUCUAACAUUCAUGUCAAAUAAAAUAUCUUGAGGUUCCACUUUCUUUUUGUGUAAUUAAAUAAAAAUGAUUUUUUUGGGAUGAGCUAGGAUUGUCCACUACCAAUGACAAUGGAUAAUUCUUCAUGAGAGAUGCUCAUAAAGUAGUAGAUAAUUAAUCACAAAAUGGGUUACACUUCAGAGAUAUAUGAUAUUCGAAUCUUUAACCUUACAAUUAAAGAAUGAGGUGAGUGAGCACUACGCCACAUCAUGUGAUUAUAAAAUUGAACUCAUCACAUGAUAUAUUUAUAUUUUCAGUCAUCAUAGGCAUAUAACUUUUCAACCUACAAUCGACAUAUAUAAUUUGUGGUGGUUUUUUACCGCGAACUACACUUGAAGUAAAAAAAAAGGUUAUAUAUAAUUUAAAACUGCCACAAAAUUCGUGAAGAUUUUUGUCAGGGGAGCCCAUGGGCUGAGGAGACACCAAGAAAUAUCGACACUACUAAAAACCUUAACGCAUUAAGUUUAUACGUUACAUCUCUUAAUCUUCUCUUCACUCAUACUUAAUUAAUAUGUGACUCGAACUCCCCAGUUGAAUUCUCAAAAUAUAUAUAUUUAUCCGGUCAUUCAAUGAAACUGGCCUAUGAGAUGACAACAAGUAUGAUUGAGGAUUUGGAUAUGAUCAAGUUUUGACUGGCUAAUUGAUGAACACAUUGAUUUGUCGGAUGAACGCUCUGGUUUUGGUGGGGUAAGUCUCAUUCUUUAAUGUUACACCCACGGCGGGGCCAUAUGUAUGCAUAGUGUUCAUGAUCAUCAUAUAUCUUUCUCAGAAACACAACAAGAAAAUCAAAAGAAUGAAACUUUCCUUUCAAAAAGACAACUUUCACCAGCUUCCGAGAAGGAUCGUAUCCUUAGAUUGAUGUUUACCUGAAACGAAGAAUAAAGAACUAAAGUUGAGGGAAAUAAACCGUGAACUUCGAUACCUGUUGUAUUGUAUGACAAAAGUGUCUUUUCUUUUGUGGUUUACGUAGGUAAUAUCACAAGUUAACUCCAACCUUUCCUCGUGAUCGUAGGCUAAAGUUGAGGACUAAUAAUAGUAGAUAUGUAUGUUGCUGUAUUAUUUUUAAAAGCCAAAGAAAUAAUUGCAUAUAAGAUAGCAAACAAGGACAAGCAGUGCUAUAACUCAUAUACAAAUAAUCCGUUAGCUAGUUUAUAUAUUGAUCCAAUCAAUUCAUGACAAACUUUAUCCAUAAGUGGAUGAUAACAAUCUAUAAUUUAAUUUAUUGGAUAUACAUAAUUUAUCCGGUGAACCAUCUUAAAAAAUUUGGGUGUAUUUGUUAUGCUUAUAAUCCUUAAAAAAAAAUGACAAAACCAUGAAAAAAACGAGGAUGAUGUUGUUGGGGUUGAUUGCAAUGUAAGUCCCGCAUCGCUAAAGAAUGAGGAAAAAGAUCAAAUUAUGCAUCUUGGAGAAGUCCCACAUCGCUUAGAUUAAUGAGGGUGGGAGGAUCCAAGACUAUAUAUAGGGAUUUCAGGCUCCUUGUUUCAACACACCAAAAACACUAAGUAGUAGCACCUGAAAAUACUUUAAGUUUAUAUUUGUGUUUUUUUUUUUUCUCUUAUGCUCUUGUUUUAGAGUAUUGUGAGAUGUAGUUCAAAUAUGUACUUUGGAGAGUGUGGGUGUACUGGGGUCAUGGGGUGGUUGAGAGUGAGGUCUAUGUGCUGUAACAAUUUUCACAUGGUGUUUAUUCUCUGGUUGUCGGUUUUGACAACAGUCGUGGUUUUUUCUCCGAUUUUGGAGUUUCCAUGUUAUAUUCUUGUGUAGUUGAUUGCGCUCCUGGUUUAUUUUACUUCUUCAGCUAUGUUAUUUCCUAACAGUGGGAUCAAAGCUUCCGGUUCGAUGAAUCUCACAUUGUGUGGUAUUGCGAAGGUGCUGAAGAAGUGUGACAUUGUGAAGUGCUGUUUUGGGAGGUUCUAGCUGGGAACCAACCUGGUGCACGGUUUACUAUGGUCUGCAACUGCGAUGUUGCUGUGAUGGAGGAGUUGAUGCAAUCAUGAUUACACAAGGUGUUAUGGGCAUAAAAUUGCCCAGGUGGCACACGGGCAUUGGUGGAUAUAGAUGCAAGGUGUGUGGUGAUAGCGUGCGGGCAUUGGUUGGCGUUGAUGCAAGGUACGUGGUUAUGUCGAUGACUGAUGAACUUCCGGAGAAAGUCAACAUGGAAGUUGCAACAUAAAUUUUCAGCAAGGUUUCGGCAUGUGAAAAUUCUUGGGAUGAUUUAGCUCCAAGUGAAGAAAAUUCUUGGAAUAGUUUAGCUCCAAGUGAAGAAAAUUAUUUGGAUGGUUUAGUUCCAAGUGUAGUGUACUCUUUAUGGUGGAGUAUGAUAAUUUAAUUUGUCGGUAUAUAGACAAUGCAAAUUAUGUUUGUCGGUAAAGACAAUGAUUGUCGGUGUAGACAAUGAAGACUGAAGACCAUUACAAUCAAGGUGGAGAUUGUUGGGGUUGAUUGCAAUGUAAGUUCUGCAUUGCUAAAGAAGGAGGAAAAAGAUCAAAUUAUGCAUCUUGGAGAAGUCACACAUCGCUUAGAUUAGUGAGGGGUGAGAGGGUCCAAGACUAUAUAUAAGGAUCUCAGGCUCCUUGUUUCAACACACCAAAAACACCAAGUAGUAGCACCUGGAAACACUUUAAGUUUAUAUUUGUGUUUUCUUUUCUCUUAUGUUCUUGUUUUAGAGUAUUGUGAGAUGUAGUUCAAAUAUUUAUUUUGGAGAGUGUGGGUGUACUGGGGUCAUGGGGUGGUUGAGAGUGAAGUCUAUGUGUUGUAACAAUUUUCACAUAGUGUUUAUUCUCUAUUUGUGGGUUUUGACAAUAGCCGUGGUUUUUUCUCCGAUUUUGGAGUUUCCAUGUUAUAUUUUUGUGUUGUUGAUUGCGCUCCUGAUUUAUUUUACUUCUUCAGCUGUGUAAUUUCAUAAUCUUCAUUGUCUAGAGUUCAAUGUCUAAAUGGAAUUAACAACUUGAAGCCAAACAAGGUGAUCAUUAGCAGGGAUGUUGUGUUUGACGAGAGGGCUUCUUGGAACUCAUAGGAAGAAAAAAAAUUAAGAAAACAAUCAUUGCAACUAUUUUACACCAGAAUUCAAUAGUUUGAUAUGAGCAACCAGCCCCAUGUACUGAUGUACAUCAAGCUCUUCAUUCUCUUCAAGAUCUCCAAGUUCACCAAGUUCGAGUUCAUCAUCUCUAAGCUCAACUCCAAUAAAAUUAAGAUAUUUGAGUGAUAUUUAUACAAGGUGGAAUUAUUGUGUUGUGGAACCAAAAUUAAUAGUCAAAGGUUGUGCACAGUAGGCCAAAAUUUACUACAGUCAGAUUUGCUCCAGUAACACAUUUGGACACCGUGAGAGUAAUCCUUGCAUUAGCAGCUCAAAAAGGUUGAAAUUUGUACCAACUCAAUGGAAAGUUUGCUUUCUUGAAUAGAGAAUUAAGAAAAGAGGUUUAUAUGCAAUACUUAAAGACUGGUUUCGUCUACCGAAACUGACACACGGUGCUGCAGUUUCAUUUUUCACCAAUGGAUAUAAUAUUUUUUAAUUCAAUGGCCAAGAUUAAUUAACAUUAAAAGAAUUUAUUUGUUAAAUAUAUAUUAAUUUACUAAAACACCCCUACUUCUUUCUAUUCACCCACACUAUUAUUUCCGGUGACAUGUUAACUCCGGCCACCACCAUUCAUGCGACCCACCACUUCUUCUUCCUCCACGGCUACCCUUUAUUCUCCUUCCCACUGCUCUUCAUGUUGAAUAUAUUUUGAUGCAAGAUCUGAAAAUUUUGAAUUUGGGAUUCAUCAUGUUGCAGCUAAAAAUUAAAAUCAACAAUUCCAAAUCUACUUUGCUCAUACCAAAAGGGAAUAGAAAUCUCUGUAAUCGUAAAUGGGUAUUUCCAAGUUCCAAAAUUGCAACCAAAAUGACAUCAAUUCCAGCAUGAUAGAGCAAUUUAGCUAAAUAGGGGUGCAACUGAUCCGUCAGUAACAAUCUGAACAAUCCUCUUGAACGCAAAUAUAUUGAACUUCCAACACUCCCAAAUCUGUUGAAAUUCCAACCACCGCCUCUCCCACCGAAACCGCCACCGCUGCUGAAAGGACCAUCUCCACCACCGCCACCGAAUAAAAACCCAACAUAAGCAAGAAUGAUGAAACAAUCAGAUAGAUCUUAUAUGCAUGUUGCUCCAAAGAGAGAAAACCAGAGAAGGGUUUUGAAGAAAGAAGAGAGCAAGGGUCGGAUCUGAUUUUGGACCCUUUCAUUUCGACCUCAAACAGAUCAGAGAUGUUGGCGGUGGCUCAGGUUUUGCAUAUCAGAGAUGAAGAAACCGUCUCGACGCCACCAUCCUCUCCGGUUUCGCCGCUACUGGUUCUGGAUCUGGGUAUCAUAGGUGUGCGAUCUUGAGUGGUGAAGGCGGAGGAGGGUGGCAGCACUGGCGGGUGGAGGUUGCGGCGGCGGAGGAGCUGGGGUGGAAAGGGAGGAACAACAAUAACAGUGUGUUGGUGAUGGUGGAAGGAGAAAGAUGGAAAAAUUUGAGCAAGGAAGGUUAUUUUUGUCUUAUCCCUCAAAUAGUAAAACUGAAGCACCGUGUGUCAGUUUCAAACUGACACACGGUAGGCGCAGCCUUAAAGACUUUAUGAAAAAGAGUAAGAAGGAAAAAGACUUUAUGAAAAAGAGUAAGAAGGAAAAAGUUUACAAGUUUAAGAAAGCUCUUUAGGUUGAAAGUUGAAACAGUACCCUAGAGCAAGGUGUAGUGAAAUGGAUAGUUACUUCAUUCAUCAAGGAUUUCAAAGAAGUUACAAUAAGCUUACCUUGUAGAGUUGUAGGUAAUGCAUUAAGGUAAGAAUGAUAUUUUUCUUGUCGCCCUCUUUGUGGAUGAUAUGGUAUUAUGGUAUAUAGGGGAACAACGAGAAAAUGAUUGAACAUUUUAAAAUAGAGAUGAUGAUAAAAUAUAAGAUGACUGAGCUUGGCUUGCUACAUCAUUUUCUUGGUAUUAAUCUUUGAUGCUUAUUAACUUUGGUCGUGUAUGUGCUGCAAUGUCAUCUUUAUGCAGUUGGUUCCCUUUUUUGCAUUAGGCUUUUGUGGUCUUUUUUGCUUUUGCUGGCCUAGUGUAUUUGUCUUUUGUAGGCUUGCUUUUUUUAUCCAUAAAAGGAUUGUUUUCAUGUUUCUAAUGAUUUCUAAUAAAUCUCUUUUGCUUAAAAAAAGUUUAUCAAAAUGAAAAUGAAGUUUUUAUUUGUCAAAAGAGGGCUGCGCCUAGCAUAGGUCAAUUUGAAACUGACCCACGGUGGUGCAGUUACUAUUACCCAUCUAAAUUACAAAAUUGUCCAUACUUAUUUUUCACUUUUCAUCAUUCUCCUUUUCUUCCACCACCUCUCCCCAUUUGUCUCCGGCAGCGGUGUUUUAAGCCACCGCUCCCCCACCACCGUGGUGCCGCAAGCAUCUCUACUGAUUGUUAUGUUUGAUGUUGCUGCUAUUUUUUUGGAAUUGAGGAUAAAACAAUUGGGGAUCUGCAACCCUAAACCCCAAAUCUGGAACCGCCAAACACAGCAACAGCGCCGUCGCCGACGAGUCCCACCACUUCUACUGUGUCUCCUCCGACGUUGUCAACCACCUCGCGAAUCACCGCAAAACGCUGCCUCCGCCGUCAAAUGAUAAGGAAAUUGGGGAUCUGGAGAUAAAAAACCCUAAAAACCCAAAUCCAGUACCACCACCAUCACCAACAUCCCUAAAACCCCAAAUCUACCACCACCAUCAUCACAUUAAACUCUCCUUGAACAAAAUCUGUCAUCUCCGCUACCGGCGAAGGAAAGCUGCAACCUUUGUUUGUGGGGUUUGAUGAGGGAGAGAGGAUGACGGGAAGAGGAUCUGCAACAUGAAGAGAGUGGAUCAUGAUGGUGAUCCGUGGGGAUGUGGGAUCAUAGUAUCAUGGUUGAUUCAUCAAGAUCUGCACAUCGUGUUUUAUCAGAUUUGAGAAAAUUGAUGUUGGUGGGUCAAAUCUGUUGAAAAAUUGCUGAAGAAGGAAGAGGGAGAGUUUGGGAGUGGUGGUUGAGGUUAAAGAGUGGUGGCUUCUGUCAUGGUGGUGGCGGCGGCACUGGCGGGUGGAGGUUGUGGCGGCAGCGGCGGAACUGAGGUGGAGAGGGAGGAAGAGCACAACAGAGCCAAACCAGUAAGGAAGGAUGCAGAGAAUAAUUCAGGGGGGCCAUUGCACCAUUUUUAUGUUUUGAAUCUAGAUCAGUGAAUAGUUUAAGAUUAUAUCCAACGGUCCUGAUUAAAAUGAUCCACCAUGGGUCAGUUCAAAACUGACCCACGGUAGGCAAAACCUCAAAAGAGGUAUGCUGAAAAUAUUUUUAAAAAGUUUGGCAUGUAUCCUGUUGAUAUCCGCUUGGUAGUGAAUGAAAAUAUAAAAAGCGAAUAUUGUUAAAGAUUGAUAGAUAUAAGCAUGUACAAAAGUUUAGUUGGAAGCUUAUUUUAUCUUACAGCUUCAAGACUCGAUUUGAUGUUUACUGAUACUAUACUCUCAGAAUUCAUGAGUAAACCAAGUCAUUAAAAUCUUGGGGCAGUAAAAAAAGUAAUAAGGUUUGUGUUGGGUAGGAAGUGUUGAUCAACCUUUGCUCGAGUGUGAUUUCUUGGUUCUCAAAGAAGUACAGAUACGAUGGCAACACAGCAAACACUUAGCUUGAUAAGAAUAUUAGAAGAUAUUGGAGAGAAGAAAAGAGAGAAGUCUUCAGUUUCAUGAUGAAAACAAAUCAAUCAUCGAAUCGUCAUGGCAAAGAAUAUGUUUUCAUAAUCAGGCCAGAUACAUUAACAUAAAGCAUGAGUACUUAAUUCAUUCGAAGUAUAAUUGAAGAUGUGCAAUUAGGUUUUUGCAGGUCACCAGAGCAACUAACAGAAAUGUGCCGAGCUAAUAUUUAGUGGAAUAUAAUUGUUAUUAGAGCAUCUCCAAUGCUAGUUUUUAUUUCUUAGUUCUUAGCACUAUUCAUGUGGGCCCGUAUUGUCACAUGUGCUUAAGCAACUCUCAAGCAAUUUUGCUCCAACCAUGAGUUCUUAGUUUUUACCACUAUUCAUUUGGUCCUACCAACCACAUUAUUUAUUUUUUAUUUUCAUAAAGUAAAAAAUAAAACUCAUAAAGUAAUAAAGUUAUAAAGUAAUUUGGAUGAGAGAAAUAAUUAAUAUUUUAAGUUAAGAACUCAAAAAGUAAAACUUCUUAUAUAAGAACUGAGUUCUUAUUUUUAAGAACUAAGAGCUUCAUGUCAGCACCUCCAAUGGUAAAGUUCUUAGUUCUUAACUCAAAAAUAAAAACUAAGAACCUUGCAUUAGAGAUGCUCUUAGUGACGAGCUAUAGUGGUUAAUGUUAGUGGAAACAUUUAGUUCUUAGUGAAUGAUUAAGUAGGUAUUAAGCAACUAGUGGUAACUCUUUAAUAAUUGUAACACUCAAUUAUCAUUUUAUAAGAUCAUGUGUAUGAGAUGCAAAAAAUAACAAGAUAAAUUGAAAGGCUAAAUUAAGCUUUUCAUCCCUAACAUUUUCGUCCCUAACAUUUUCCAUAAGACUACCACCUGUGUUAAUUAAAUGAUGUGGCAAUCACGUGGCAAGGACACAUGGGCUGGCGGAGCUCAGACGUUGACUCAAACGGCCGGAGGGACUAAAACCAAUUAUUUUGGCAAAAGAUAGGGAUCAAUACCACGUCUUGCUCCGGCGAGGGACGAAAAGCUUAAUUUAGCCAAAUUUAAAAGGAUUUAACCCCUAAAUACUUCCUCUUACUCGAUCAAAUUUUCUCUAAGUUAAUUAGUAAAUAUGAGCUUAUCAUGUACUGCCUUUAUUCUUUGUAUGUUAGUCUCUAUUUUGAGUAUUUUCAUCUCUAGAAUAUGACCGACACUAAAUUGCAAGCCAACAAGAAAAAACGCUCUUCUCCUAUAGUUAGUUAGUUUAUGCGUUUGCUUCUCCUUGUUUUGUUGCUCAAGGUUUCUAAUUAAAGUUUUGCAUAUCAUUCUCUUGCAAGAUACUGCAGGUGGUUCUGGCCUCUGAUAGAUCUUGAACGUCUAAACACAGAAAUCUGCAGAGAUCAUGUGAUCUUCUUGUCUCCCUCCUUAAAGAAUAUUGUCGGAAAAUCAAUUAUGGUAGUUCAGUCGGUGGGCCUAAUGGUCUUGACCUCCACAAAAUAUUGAUGGUGUUAAGGCUAUGGUUUGAAAUUAAAAGUGAUUUACAAUGCUGGAUUGCGCCCAAUAAAUUGGGUAUUUGAAAUCAUCAUCCAACUAACCUAAUUGUAGCUAAGUAAAAAUUUCUGAAUGUAGUGAAAUAAUCUACGAUUGUAGGAUCAAAGAUGUAAUAUAGUGAGGGGAUUGGAUAAGUUUGAUUGCUUAGACGUUUGGUUUUCCUCUAGAGGAAGGUUACUUAUAAUAACUGUCUUCCUUUGCUCCAUUACAAGUUUAUUUGUAUCUUCACGUUUUCUGUGGCUUUUUGAGUUGGAAAAAAAUGGCAAGAAACAAUCCACAGCGACCUGAUAAGAAUAUUCAAAGAAUCAUACCACAAAAGUUAAUUGUUCCCUCUAAAUUUCGGAGAUAGACUAAAGGGCGCUCAAGCUCUUACCUUAGAGCCCGUAAUUCGUAAUGAGUGAAGAAACUCCAUACGUUGAGUCAAAGUUUCCUUAUAAAAACUCACUACUUUGUCCCCUUGGCUUGCUGAGGAUUUCUAACGCUUUUAUAGUACAUUGAUGUGUUAUUCAAGCAUCAUCUUCAUUAUUGCUGAGCGAGGGGAUGCAGUUCAAGUUCAAAUCGGGUUUGGGGUCAAUAAACUCUAAGGAUGCACAAUCUCCAAGUCAACACUUGGUGGAUUUCAAGUGUGAGUGUGUGACUCAUCCAAGCUGGGUUUGGGGUAAUUAAACUCAGAGGAUACACUAACUAGUAUAGUUAGAGAGCUCAAAGCCUUAUAUAUAAAUCUCAAAUUAGGAUUUCAUACUUAAUUUUAAUAUUGGAUCAAAUUUUAUAUCUUGCAAUUAGAUCCUAACAUCCCACCAUGCUCCAUAACCUACGUGGGCUGGCUAGCUAACAUUACAACGUGGCGUCACAACUAGCGCCGCUUGUUUGCAUGUGAGAGACAUGGUGGUUGACAGCUACUGUUUCAGACUAAUUGACAGCUAUUUUGCGGCUAAGUAUACUGGAUGUAUGAUUACAGCACUUAAUUUGCUAGUGUAUGCUACAAUCCCCUUUAGAUAAAUAUAGAUUACAUGAACUAAUUAAAUCUUGUGCGAUUUGGCCCAUAUAUGAACUAUUUCCACCUGCCGGACAAAUAGAAUAAAGGCCGUAGUCUCAAGCUGACACUGUAAGUCCCACCCGACCUAAACUUGUCUGCAUAAUGAGAAUUUAGACAGGAUUACCCCCACACAUGCAGAAGACACAUAAACUAAGUACGUACUAACAUACGUAUGCAUAUGAUUGAGAUUUCUGAUUAAUAAAUAUAGGAGAAUAUACAUGUGUGAGAGCAUAGGGGAGAAAUUAAAGUACACAUGUCUACAACUACAUAACCCUACACAAACAUAGAAUCAUAAAUAGAGGGGCAAAAUAUGGGUAAGCAACACCAAAGUGGUGUCACUUGAUGCUACUCUCCUCUAGUUAAACCAAGGCCAUAAGUUCUUCAUUUCAUUAAGUUUCUCUUAGUUGGCAAAAAGGACAAUAUCACAGAAGUCAUCCAUGAGUGAACCAAUGUUGAUUUCUUUAGCACAUUAGUCAGCUAUCUAUUACCCAAUUAUUAAUGAGCCAAUUCUAUAUUUAGUAGUUUCCCCCAACUCAAUCCCCCACUCGGUUGCCCCAUUUGCAGCAAAAGCAUUUCAAUUGCCCUCAAAUAAUGGUGAUCAUGAAUCAUUAUUCAUCACUAUGCAUGUGAGUAGUUUAUUCUUCACCAUCCAGAGCUAUAUCGAAAUAUAAAAUAAAUAGUAUGCUCUAGGCUUAAAUAAGUUUAGUCCCUCUAAUAUACUUCAUUUUUUAAUUUCGUCCUUGUAAUUUUUUUAGUAUCUCCAAAUAAGUAAAUGGCAAUCCUCUUUUACAUACAAAUGAUACAAUCCGAGUCUUAAAAAAUAUAGUAAAUGAGAAACUAAUCGCUUACUGAUUUCAUUAUAUAUUAAUUAUUUACAUAUAUAUGCUUUAAGAUUUUACCUAGCCAUAUACAUUGUAUGUCGUCCAUUUCCAUAUAGUGCGGGUAGAUUUUUCUUUAGGAACUUGUUGUGUUGUUGUCAAAGGAUAAGGUUUGUCUUUCUUUCGACUUUAGCAAACUAAUCCAUAACAUAAAGACACAACUUAGCAAAAUAAAAUUCAUACAAAUCAGCAUUAAGAAAGUUCGAAUAUAAUAUUAAAUAAUUCAUGUAGCUCUUAUCCAAGCGCUUAAGCUUUUGAGGUAAUAUGUUAUUUGACAUGGUAUCGGAGCCUCUAUGACCAAGCGGUUUAGAGUUCGAUCCCUACCGCCCCAACUCUUAUAAUAAAAAGUUGAAUUAAAAAGCACAUGGUAAGUGGAUUUGUGCAUCGUCAACAUUUCAAGCCCAAAUGACUAUUGCGUGAGAGAACGUGUUAGAAUAUAAUAUAAAAUCAUUCAUGUAGUCUUUACCAAUAAAUUAAGCUUUGGGGAUAAUUGGUUGACAGCAAUGGGGCACGGGAGAGGCCGAGGAAGAGGGUGAUGGUGUCAUAUAUAUGGUGCCCGAGGGUGAAGGUGAGGGUGGCAGAGGAGGAAAAGGGGGACACAAUAGGCAGCUUCACUGGAGAAAGAGUGAGGAAUGUUGGAGGAUAAAGGGGCCAAGGGAGACGCUGAGGGUAAUAAAGGAAGAGAAGGAGGGAGGGGGCGGCUCAUAGCAUAAGAGGAGGGUGAGUAGAAAGAAGGUGAGGGGGUGAGGGAGAGGAGCGGCCAAGUAGGGAAGCAGGGAGAAGGACAUAGGAGCAAGAGAAGGGCGACAGAGCAGGGGCGGAGGAAUGUGUUAGGUAAAAUUAAUUUUUAAAUCAUUAAAUAGAUAAAUCCUAUAUGGAAUAAUUAUAUCUUCACACCUCAUUUUUAAGGUGUGGAGAGGUGGAAGAAGAGACUUCCGCCUGCAUAAAAGUUAAGUGUUAUUUUACACCUUGUUCGACUUGUAGUGGGAAGUGGACUUACAACAUAUCUAGAGGCUUGACAUGAUAAGCAGUUACGUUCCUGCAUCUGUACUGUGGAUUAUCCCUCCUAUUUGUGUUUGGAAUCUGUUAACUACUGAUUAGGGGGUUUUGUGUAGUUUCUUUUUUCUUUCUUUUUUCUCUUUGUUAUUUUGUCGCUAGUUUUCUUAAGCUUAAAAAAAAUGAAGUUUUAGUCAUUUAUUUAACCAACGACCUGCUGAAAUAUCAUUCUCUCUAAUUGGAACAAAUGUGUGAAGAACCGCAUGAUUCUCCCCCAAAGUAAAAAGGACGAGAGCUUGUACCUUGACCAAAAGUAGUUGGCUUAUGUAUGUGAUGUUUUUCAUGUCAUCCUUUAGGGAAAGCCAGCAUUUCUGCAUUUGUACUGCAUAUUAUGUGAGAAAGAAAUUCUGGUGCACAAAGUAUCUCUCUCCCAAGGCACACCUUAACUUUUUCUUUAAAGUUUGAUAGCUCCAUGCGGGUCCUCAAUUUCCUAACAUUUUUAGCACCAAACCCAUGCCUAGCUUUUACUCCUCAACUCAUCAGAACUCUUCAUGUUAUUCCUCACUUGGUCAGUGUUCUGUCUGAGUGAUCUUCAGAUAGCCCAUAAUGAGCAUUCAAAUCUUACAAUUCGUUAGGUAAGUUAGGAGUAUUUAUCAGCAGGAGUACACUAGGGAGUUCUUUCUUCCUCUUCCCAAUAUUCUGAAUAAAGUGACAAUAUUGUUCUUUUGGUUGAUUUUUUGGAUAACUUACAUUGAUAAUUUGACAUCUCUGAAGUUACAAAUCUGCAUAUUUGAGAGAAAAGCAUACAAGUAUGGAUUUGGCUCCAAUUUAACUGUAAAAUAAGUCAUCACCGGACCCUAGAAGUAUAUACACAUGUGAAAACAUAAGUGGAUUGAACAACACAUCUUUAAUCUAAACCUUAAGACAAUGAUUAUGCAGAAACGAAAUAUGUGUACUGAUGGAUGUACCAUGCCUUUUUUAUUCCCAGCAUAUGUGCUUUAUACAAGGACCUGUUCCUUUUAGUAAGAAAAAGAGAUUGCCAUGCUAGAUACGAUGACAGAGAAAUAAGUAACAAAGGUACAAACUUUGCUUCAUUUUUCUUUUACUUUAUCACUUGCUCCGUAACUGAAGGUGUCUUUAACUCCCUCUUUCUCAUACCCUAUCAAUAGAUUUUUAAGCACCAAUCAAGACCUCUCCUUUUUCUCCCCAAAAAAGUAGAUUUAACAGCUUUAACAUAGUCCCAAAUAAAUGAGUUCCACAUUAAGCCUAUGAAGAUAUUUAAGUUUUGUUGACAUAGUAAUCCCAAAGUCAUUAAAACUGACAUUGUAUCCUGCUUGGAAAUCAUACAUGAUGGGCUGGUAAAUUAUUAUGUUGUUUCAAUCAGCAUCUAGACAACCCAUGUGGGUUGGCGUCGUGAUUUAACAUUUUGUUUCUUAAGUAAGUGAUUGAGAGUUUGAUCAUCAACUUUUAUAAAUGGAAAAAAAAAAUUCAUUAAUCAGUUUCCUACCGCUUAGUGCGUUGAUAGUGGAGCGAAGAAUUAAUCUCACAAUUAUCAGUUGGGAAAGCUUGGCUAACAUUGAAAAAUCAGCAUAUCCUUGCUGACAUGAAGUGAUUAUAUAUCAGUGGGGAUGUCUGUUGUCUAGGGAAUUUAUGAGGCACCUUUAAUGACAAUCAUAAAUGCAAAUUUAGGAAAUUGGGUGAUUUCUUGCCUGAAUUGGCUUGGCAAUGGGGAAUUGGGGUGUGAUACUCCAUUGCACUUGGGCAUACAUAGAUUUCUGGUGUACUAACAACAACAAGGGCAUGCAUGCACAUGGACCAUGGUCUAAAUAUACAAUCUGUGCAUGUGAGCCCCGUGUGUCACGUGCAUGGUGGAUAUUGUGACUGGAAAGUCAUUCAUUCAUUGGGAACAAUUUCAUUUUUUCUUAAAGAUGUUAAUCAUCACUGGCUGUGGUUGUGGGGUUAUUCCCUUUGUUGGUGAUAGAAAACAUGUGUCCCCACUCUGAUGUGGUGUCAGAGGCUUGUGUGAUGUGAGCCGUAAUAAUAUCUUGAAUGGAAUGGGCUUGCAUUUGCAUUGCAACCCUUUGAUUGCAUCCAUAGAAGCUCUAGCUAUUGAGGUUUGUUGUGGUUCAGCUACAGCCAACAAUUAGUUGCGUAUUAAUUUUAGGGAAAUGAUUUUUAGACCCCGGUACAUUGUAGUCAUAUAUACGCUGGACAUCCAUAUUUUGUGGAGGUCAAAUUUCGGAAUCGAACGCAAAUAGCGAAUUCAUGCAGAUUAUCCAACGUGAUUGGUAUUCUAACGACUAUUUUGUGGCAAUUUGAACAAUCAUAAUGUGAAAUAGAAAGAAUGCGUGUGAGUUAUCCUUUACCAUUUUCUUGCACACUUUAAAACAAAAUUCUCCGGUGCAAAUUUUUCUUUAACAUUUUGUAGCUUAGGAAAAUUUGUAAGAAAAUUGGAGGUAAAUUUGAAAGUAAUCAUUUAACCUAUAUGGAAUCAGGACCAUUUGCAGAGUAUAUUUUUAUCAUGUAUUUGGCUAGACCCAAACGUAGGUGGGCUUAAGUAAUACAAUGUCAACAGUCUGUACUAUUGUAUAAAUAAUUGGGCCUGGGGUCCUUGUUUGAAUUGGGCCUUUAAUUAAUAUUUUGUGUGAAGUCUAUCCAUAAAAACAACUGCAUAUCGACCAAAAAUAUAACUGCAUGUGUGACAUUUUUUGUACAUCGGGAAAAUAAAUUGCACCCACCUGAGAUUGAUCUAUGGACCUCCCUCACCUUACCCAUAUUUCUUCUAACUCUUACCACUUGAGCUAUCAUUCAUUUAUCCACUGUGAGAGCAAAUAAUUAUGGUGCAUUUGCUUCUCAUUAAUAGUCAGUUUGUUCUGCAGAGGUGCACUAGAAAUAGAUUUUUCUCACAUGGACCACAGUAUCAUUCGUUUGUCCACUGUGAGAGCGGCUCGUUGGAUGUUAUUAAACUUCUUACACUAGAAAGUUCUUCACGGAUAGAUGUUAAUAUGAGGGAGAUGAAAAAGAACAUCACAAUUUUCGUGCAGACUUAGCGUGUGACUUUCAAGCAUGUUGGAAUGGAAGCUAAUUCUUGUGCUGAUCGUCUAAUUUCUUUAGGUCAAGCUUCAUCCAAAAGACAACCUCAAGCUUUGGUCCCUGCCUCCUGAGGAUGAAUUGUUCCACUCCUAGCUUCAUUUAGGUGCUGUUGUUUUUAGUUUUGUUUUGCUUUGUUUUGUUUUUCUUCUCUUGUCUUUAUUUCAUCAUCGCCAAAAAAAAUUUACUCUCUGAUCAAGAAUAGCUCAUAAACACACAGGCCCAAUAAUGUUGAGGUUGACCGGAACAUAAACUAAGGCCGAAAUAGGAUGUAUGCGCUUUUUUGACACACAAUCCAACAUUAAGGGCAAAAAAGUUCACCCCACAUUGCCUAACCCAAUACCAUUUUCAACUUUCAAUUAUCUCAUUUCCUGUUAGUCAUCAAGAAAAAAAUGACACUUUUUUUGUCUGCUAAUAUGAGAGGAAAAUGGAUAAAGUUUCAUUCAAACUCUCUUUAGUGAAAAUGAGAUGUUGAAAAGAUAUAAAUAGGAAGAAAAUAGAGAAAAAUAAAAAAUGUGAUUGGUGAUAUGAUUAAAAGAGAAGAGAGGUAGAUUGAAAGUGGACUCGAAAGUAAAAUAAAUGUAUAAAUGACCGUUCGAGGAAAAUUUAGCAACAAAACGCAUUCUAACUUGAGGAUAACUAAUUGCAUCUUUUCAUACAAGGGAUAUUGAUUGUUAUAUAAGUAUUUGAGGUGUUAAAGCAUCCUUUCAAAUAUGGACCAUUAACGGUCAACAUAUUAUGUGAUUUCGAAUGAAAUUGCAAAUGGUUCAUUCUAUGAUCAGCAAUAGCCAUGCAUUAAUCUUCCAAAUCAUUCAAAGUCAACAACCAAUUUGAUCCUUCAUCAGUCAAAGGAGUCAUGGGAAGCGCAGCAAUGAUGAAAUGUCACAUAAAAGAAUUCAACAAAUGAAAAAAGAAAGACAUCAAUUCUUCAGAUGUAGAAUGGGUAAAAUAAUAAUAUAUAAGCUCAAAACCAAUAUUAAGGACUUGUACAUAUCACAAACUGAUCAUACCCUUCAUAAAGCUAAUUACUAUUUUACAAUAUAGCAAGCACCAUUUUAAUCAAAAAGCAUAUAUAGUAUAGUAAUAAAAACAACCCCUUAAAUUCAUUAUAAACAUAUAGCCAUGAUCCAUCAUAAGACAAAACAUGACUACUACCCUCAAGUGACAAAUUCCAACACCAUUUCUUCCAAUUCACUGCAUCAUAAAUACCACAAGAGAAGCCAACAUGGAACAGCACAGAACCACCCCAGAAACAGGCAAAGCAAACCCAGCUCCAGCCUCCAACUGUGCUGUAGGAGCAAUCUCUGAAUCCAGAGCCAGAGUGUUGGUCAUGCAAACCAAGACUACAACCAUCACUGACAUCAAAAACUUAGCUGCAUAGCCUCCAAAUGUUGCCAUUUCCACUGGAUUUCUUAUGUUACUGGAAUAAAAUUAACAAGGAGGGUGAAAAGAUUGUAUUUUUUGAGGACCAAAUUGUUCAAUGACAGAGUCAAGAGUUGGGUUUAUAUAGAACUUGUUAGGGGUGUGUUCAAAGGUCAUCCUUGUCAGGUUGGUAAAGGGUACAUUAAACAUUAACCAUUCUUAAUGUUACUAUGGCUUUUGGAUUAAGGCUUGAGAUCCCCACAAGACCAAUCAAACCUAGUCGGUGAAAGGUGAGAUUAUGAUAUCAAAGAGCUUCCUACGUUACAGUCAGAGGAUCAAUAUUUUUUUUUGUUACAGUAGGAAAGCUGUUAGAGGAUCAAUUUGGUACGUCACUUUUGAAUUUUGAUUGUUGAAAAUACAAUAUAAAACCAUUCACUUGUUUUAAUCAAAUAUUGAGUUUUUGGAAUAGUUUGGUUUUAUAACAUGGAAUGAGAGCUUAUAUGACUAAGUCAUGUUUGAAUGUACUAUGAAAAUUUGCAGUGAAGGUAAAAUCACGAUGAACAACUUCAAAAGCUAGGGAGAGUUGGUCUAUUGUGACUUUAGCUCAUGAUAAAUUUCUAUUACGUAUCUAAACAUACAUUAAGUGACCUAGAACUUGAUUCAUGUUGCCCAUAUUUAGAAUGCUUUAGGGUAAACAACUUAAUUAAGUGUUUAUCGUAUAAACGUUCAUUUAUAAGUUAAUCUGACAACUUAUAGGUAUGUCAUACGUUAUUUACAUAAGCUUUUACGAGCACUUGCAUAAGUGAUUAUACUAUAGAAUAAGGUCAAGUAAUUAAGGUCUUCCAAACGGGACAAUUUUAAUAAAAAAUUAAAUUUUAGCACGAGGUAAGUAAUGAGCUCUUGCGUGAGGGGUGUCUUAGAAAUUCAAUAUAAAAUCUGAAAUAGUUUUUGGGAUAGUUGAUUCAAUGCAAAAUUUGAGUUUAUUACAUGGCUUAAAUUGGGUUCUUAAACUUCUUUUCCUCAUCAUUGUCACUUGUCAGUUACUGAGCGUAAUAGAAAAGUGAAAGGCAUUACUUGGCAGGCUAUCCUUUCUUAAUUCAUUGCAGCUGGUGGAUAAUCACUUUCAGGCCAGCUGAAGAUCCAUUGACAUAUCAACGGUGCCAAAACUUUCAGAGAGGCCAAGUCUAUGGAGCAAACAUCAUGUCUCUGUUGCUUCUUAAGGUCAGGAAUCUAAAAUUCUAGCUUAAUUUGGCACUUGAGCAUGAUAGAAUAGAAUGAUUGAUAAGUAUCCUACCUAACAGAAAAAAAAUAAAAAGUUACUGACUAUUGAAUACUAGAUGUUUCUAUUUUAAGGAUUAAUGUAACAAGUUUAAGUUUAGACCAAUUUGAACUAUGUAAGUCAAAAAUCACAAUUUGGUCUGGUGAUAAGUGAAUUCAAUUGUUUAUUGAAGGUAAUUUGUUUUGAGAACUGCAUAACCAAAUAGAGUAACCAAAGAGAACAUGGUUUUGAUGUUUAAGUGUGUUUUCUUCUUUUUCACUCUUCAAUUUUGUCACAGCGUUGAAGUUAAAAAGUCUGGUCUUUAAGUUUUUUUUAUAUACCUUAUCAAUAAUUAGCAUCACAAUAAAGAUUGAAUUGAUAUCCGGCCACUCCAAGAGAAGCCAAUUGUUGAGCUUUUUCAACUUUUACCAGGCUAAUUUAUUUAAUGUAACCGUAUUCAAAACAAGCCUCAGUGCAUUUAUGUCAAUGUUGCUGUUACAAAAACAGUAACCAAAAUCACAAAAUGUUUUCUGAUAGCACAAAAGGAAGUGCAGGGGAGAAUCGAUCAUCUCUCUCAUUUCUAAUGGAGGAUCCUUAACGUGUGCAUAAAGAAAAAUAUCAAAAUAAGCUCUAUCACUCUUUUUACCUACACCUUUGUCUAUACUAUCACCUGUUCCAUUAAACAAGGAUUAAUAGCCAAAACAGUCAAAAGAAAUACAAAUAUGUAAUAUAUCCAAUCUUUAAGUAUCUAGAAAAAAAACUCUUAAAAUGCUAACCUUGAGAAUUUUCAUGUAUAUCCAGGCUUUGAUCACAACAAUUCAAACAUGUCAUCGGAAAGGGCUUUUGUCAUUAAUCAUAGAAUAUGCAAUUUGAUUCUCCGAGCUCCGGUGCUCGCUCGAAGCCGAUUUCCCUUAAUUUUUAUUUUUAUCCUCACAGAUAAGCAGCACAUAUUCUAAUGUAGUUUGAAUAUGUUUUUAGCCGAUUCAUGUCUCUUAUAAGUUAUAACACUGAAAUGGAUUUAGUUUUGGUCAAUUCAUGUCUCUUAUAAUGAAUUUUAAUAUUAUAUAAAUGCAUCUUGUUAUGUCUGUUUAAAUUUCUUCAAUAUUAUAUAAAUCUUAUAUAAUUCAGUUUUUGUUUGCCAGAAAAUUGAUACCGCAUUGAAAUUGCUUUUUGGCAAUUUCCAGAAUGAUUAUGCUAUAUAUUGGAGCAAAUUGUCAUUUCUUUCAACCUACUUCUAUGACUUACAAGAUCUUAUUUUAGGCAGUUGAAGAUUUCAUUGUUUACACUUUGUUACCCUCCUGUCUGUCACAACCUUUUUUUUAUACAAAGAGCAUUUGUAAUUUUUGUUGAAACCAGUUUUGACCUUUUACUACUUAUAUUGUAGCACACAUUUUUGUUAUUACACAAUACAACAACAAAUACCUAAAUUGUUCAACUUAAUUUGUGUACUGCUAUAUAUUUUUCAAGAUACAAAUUGUCGUGUAACACACCGGUACAAAAUCUAGUUAAUUGUACCACUACAACAAACAGUGCAUUUUGCGGCGGUUGCAGAAGCCCUUUUGCGGCGGUUUUAACCGCCGCUAAAUGCAUCUUGCGGCGGUUUCCAAACCGCCUGGUUUACAGCCGUCGCUACGCUUUCUGCGGCGGUUAGUUACAACCGCCGCAAAACACUCAUUUGAAUUUUGCGGCGGUUGGAACCACGCUGGUAACGAGUUCAAGGUAAAAAAAAUAGUGUCACUCUGCGGCGGUUUCAACCGCCGCAAAUAUUAAAUUUAAAUAAAAAAAUAAAAGUGAAAAUUUUAAGUUGUUUGGAUUUUGAUCAAAUAGUAAGUUAAAGACAAAUGUACAUCUCACAAAAAUAUGUUAAUUACAAAUCAACUAUAGUUUCAGGAUAAUGCAUACUUCAAAAGAAAGACAACCAUAUAAGUAAACUUGGUGGUAAGGCUGGAUAUCCAAGUCAGUCUAAUACACAAUCUCUUCAAAUUUAGAGCACACAAUCUAAAAUGGUGAAGGGGUGAAGAAACCAGAAUAGAUGAAGAUCGAAGACUGUGGCAUGAAUUCAAAUGAUAUCAUAUCCCUUCAUUCUACUAUGUAUGGAAAGUUCUAGAAAAUAAAAGAACAAAGACAAAAAUAAGGAAGCCUUACCCCAACUUUCACUUAACAAGGUGGUCUUACAACUUCAUUUGAUAUAACUCUUGAAGCCACCUUUCAAAUUAUUGAAGAUGAUGCCCUCACCUACAGAAUAAAGAAAACAAACAACAAUAAUUUCCAGUUUUUUCUCCAUGCACUGAGAAAGAGUAUGAAGAAUAAGUGCUUGAAUAGGUGCUUUUGCCAAAUGCCAUGCAAUGACGCAAAUUUCUCCCUACUGUAGUACCCAUGGAAGUUUACUAACUUCAAGCUGAAUUAAGUAGGUGAAGUUGAUCACAAUUAGGUAAAUUCUUAAAUGUGGAAUACUCGAAUGGUACCUGGUCUCAUAUCUCUGUUCCCAUGUACUGUGCCAUUUCCUAACAUGUAACAACAUAGCAAAGAAGAUGAGAAUUCGAGAACUAAUGCAUGCCAUCAUAUCACACGACUUAAAUAUAUAAAAAAGAAAAUAAAAGCCAACAAGGAUAGAACAAACCAGAUUGUAAUAAAAAACUGGUCAUGAAAGACUAGAAGUAUGCUUAGUGUUUCAAAGGAAAGAUAUUACUAGAUAAGAGAGAAAGAUAUGGUGGUUGCGAGAAUUUACCGGCUAGCUUGCAGUGCUUUGUCUUCACUGCCUACUAUUAGAAGAGAUAUAAUCAUAUAAUGCAACUUGUAACAAGGAUUUAUGUAAGCAAAUGGAAGUCACAACUUAGAUUAUUCCUGUAAGAAAAUGAGAAACAUGUUAAAUUAAACUAGUUUGUGUUCAAAAAGUAAAAGGGAGGACGAAAAAACUAGUGGAAAAUCCAACUCGUUAAACAAAACAGUGGCUGGGCAAAAUGAUGUUGAACCAUAUUAUGAUACUUUACAUUAGUACUCUCUUUUAAAAGGUCUAAUUUUUUUCUUGUUUUCUUGCAUAUGGACAUAUCACAACUUAGAUGAAGACAAAUUAUAACACAAUGAAGUUUAACAUAGUUUGUACAGAGAAUAAAGUACUAAGUACUAAUCAAGAAUCUCCAUGUGGUCAUACCCAAAAGAGUCAUGCCACAUACAGUAGGUGCCUUCACCUGAUGCUGUGUUUUUUUGCCAUUUUAGGUUAUCACUGAAGAGUAAGUUGAGAAGAAGAAAAUGCCAUAACCAUCAUAAUAAAAGUAAAGUAAUGAUCCUUCUAUAUCAUACACUAACCUGUCAGCCAUUUGUUUUGCAUAUGUAAUAUCAUCUUGCCAAUCAUAAGUAUCCCCUGCACAUGUAAUAGAUAGAUAAAUAAAGAAUAAAAGAGAGAUAUAAACCAUCAAAAAUGUAGUUUUGAUCAUUUUAAAUGAUUGGAUUCAACUAUUUUCUUCCACUUUCUCUCUUUCAUUGGAUUGCUAAAACGUCUAAAUGUAUGAUUAACAUAAGAAUUUUCAAUUGGAUAUCAUGAUUGCUCUUUGUUUUUCCUAUACAAAUGGUACUUAAUAAGAAUACACAUAACAAUAGCAAUUGAAUCCAAAUAUGACACAUACAACACACAAGCAUAGCAAAAGCAAUAAGAGCUCGUUUGGAUGCAAAUUAAAGAGAACUUAUUAAAGUUUAUGUAGCGCUUCUUUUAGUGAAAAAGCUCCAAUAAGUGCUCUUUGGUGCAUAUCCAAGCGGGAUCUAGGACAAUAAGCAACCAAAAUAGGUGAGGGUGAUUAGAAGAGUGACUCACAACAUUCCUCCUCUGCUCAACAAUAACAAUGAGACGAAGCCAUAAGUAAAUAUCCAUCAGUUAAAUCUAAGUAUCUAUAUCCACACAAAAUGAAACCAAAUGAUAAAUAAAACCACGGAGAGAAUCAUUAGAUUAAGCGUUGAGAUCAAAUGCAUGAUAAAUUAAACCACAGAUAGACUUAUAUGUCCAAAAUGAAGGUAAUGUAAAUAUACUAAAGAUGGAACUAUUAGAAAUGCUUUUAUCACCAGAGCGAGGCAAAGGAGAAGGUUAAGAGUGGGUGCCAAAACCUUGCCAUGAAAAAAGAAACCCUAAAAGGAUGGAUUCUUGGGAAAAUGCAGAAAGAAACUAUAUCAUCUACAAGCAUGGGAAAAAGCAGAAAGAAACUAUACUAUAUUUUCAUAUCAGCAGCAAGCAUGAGAAUGAUUGCACAAAGGAGAAAAAAGGGAAAGCAUAAAUUAGGGAAUCAAGACAAAUGGAAUUUACCAAGAACAUAACUUGACAGCACAAGUGAAAUAUCAUAAUACCAGACCAAUUAAUUUACCAAGAAUAGAUCUUGACAGAAAAAUUCACAAGCAAUGCAGUCCAAACAGAAAAAAGCCAUGAAAUCAGAGAAGAGAGGGAUGUACCUGGCUUCCAAACAACGAUUGUUGAGUGCAAGAGGGCAAAACCCAAAUCAAAGAAGGAAAGGGAAGGGAAAAGAAGAGAAGAGAAGAGGAAGAGCAAGAGAAAGAGAGGGAUGAACCUGAACCUGGCCGAGGAAGCGAAGAUCUGUGCGAGAGGGAUACAAACACCAACACCAAAUCUGAAAGAGCAAAACCCAAAUCAAAGAAGAGAAGAGAAAGAUAAGGACCAACCUGAGCCUGGCCGAGGAAAAAUGACUGUGCGAGAGGGAUACCAACACUGAAGAGAAGGGAAGAGGAGAGAAAAAGAUGGACGAACCUAAGCCAGGAUGAGUGAAUGGGGAUGAAGAAACUGUGAGUGAGUUCAGAGGCGGCAGAAAUAAGGGCUUUGAGGUUUUUGGGGAUUCAAUUAAGACUAAGAGGGAAACGAAAACGAGUUAGAGGGAAAGAAAAACGAGCGAGAGGGAAAGUGAAUUGCGAGUGGGAAGCCAAAAUUAGGGCAAGCUGCGGCGGUUGCUUCCUUAAACCGCCGCAAACUACACAAAAUAAAAUAAAACAAAAUAAAACACUCCUAAACCGCCGCUGAACGUUUAAAAACCGCCACAAAAUCUAUAUAACAGCGACGGCUACCUAAACCGCCACAUCAACCGCCGCAGAUGGUAAUAUUGCAGCGGUUGCAGGAAAACCGCCGCAAAACGACCGCCGCAAAGUACCAGUUUUCUUGUAGUGUACAAAGCUGGAAUAUUUACCCUAAAUGGAAUUCUGAGUUAUAGGGUAAAUGUAGGCGAUCCAUGUCACUUCCCAGCAUAUUAACCACCCUAAUCAUGGAAGGUCUUUCAUGAGCCUUCCACAAUAUACCCAAGAAGAGCAAUAACAUUCUUGUGGUUGGUGUUACUUAUCCUCAUUACUUCAUUUCUGAAAUCUUCAUCAUCUUCAUUAGAAGCUCUUAAAAUCUUUAUAGCCACCUCACAAUCACAGGGCAAGAUUCCCUUGUACACAUUGCUAAAAGUACCAUCUCCUAGCUUAUUGCUAAUCAAAUUAUCGACGCCUACUGAUGUACACUCUUUAGCUUGUUAUGAUUUGAUCCAAUAUCUACAGCACAUUGGUUACACUUUUCAAGCAACUCAUAAUCUCCUUCACGUGUUAACUUGGGUCUAAAACAGCUAAUCACAAAACAUGUCGCGAAUGAUAUAAAUGCUACAUCUGCAACACCUGUAAGCAUAUAUAAUUAUAGAAUUAGUGAACAUUUAAUGUACAUUAAUUUUCAUGAAAUAAUGUGUGUUAUUACACUCUAAAUAUGAAAAACAAUUCUGUUAUUGCGAUCUCUAGUUAAAGUUUUUUUUUAACGUCUAGUUGAGGUUGAAAUUCAAUGAAUUCAUCUUUUUUUCGUUGGAAAGAUAUAUGAAGUAAUGAUUGGUUUCACAUGGAUGUCAGAAGGAGGAAAGUAAGUGAAAAAAAAAAUCUAUCACACUAAAUAAAACAAAAUUAGAAAUGAAGAUACUUACUUCGGAAUGGAUAUAUAUAUAUAAAUAUAUACAAAGUAGUACUAUACUAAAACGUAAAUAAUAAAAUAGAGAGAAAUAGAAAAUUAUUUCAAGUUAAAUAUCAUAUCAUACAGAAAUACAUUAGAAAAUCAACAUUUUAAGAUAUAUAAAGAUUAAAAAAUUAAAAUGAUAAUAUAAUAAGAAAAUCUGAUUUGUUUAAUUUUUCUAAAAAUGUAUAUAUGUUUUGCUUGCCAUAAUUAACAAGAUUAUUCGCACGGUGAUUGAUGACUUUCUGCUAUCCAUUUGUUAUGCUUUUAUUUUUUCCUUCUAUUGUGAUCACUCUCGUUGUCGGUUGUCCUCUACUUUAAAAUUUCAGAGCUAUGUUCGUUACAAAUUAUUUUCUACUUAAGUUAUGAAUUAAAGUAAAAAUUGAAUAAUUUUGAGGUUUAAUCACAUCCAACACCUAAAUUUUCGAAUAAGUGGCAUUUUAAAAUUAUAUAUAGUAAGGGGAGGUGAUUUAUAAUAUGGUUAUUUUGUUGAACUGGAUCAUUUUUACUACUGUUUUACCUCACAUGCAUAAUUACAUACUAACCACAAGCAAUGAAGCAACAUUCAAUUAUCUACAAGAAGUUUUUCAUAUCAAUCUCCAAUAACAUCCCUUAAUUGCAUAACUUUAUUCAAUGAUAGAUUGCUUAGGAAUCUUCUAAAUUUUAUAAUUUUCUCUAAUUUAUCAUUAAUUACUUUAUUGCUUAAUUCUGGAUUAUGACAAAAUUAUUGCUAUUUUCUCUUCAUUGUAAAAAAUACUUCAUGAAAGAUACAAUUAAAACAAAAAGAUAUUCGCAUUAAGCAAAUAUUGUUUUUAUUGUUAUCUUACUAUUGUGUUAUAAAAUUGUUACGAUUCAUGAUCAACAAAUGACCUACAGAAAACCUAAGGGUUGAGAUUAAUACUAGAAUCAUGUGCAAACAAUUAUUUGAAUAAGGAGGUAAAAGUGAAAUGGUAGAGAUAAAUGAAAAACUGGAACCAUAAUCAAAAUGAAAAAUAUGAAAAGUCAAAUCUCUCAAAUGAAUGACAGGCCGAGAGAUAGAGGACAUGAGUAAGUAGGAAAUAGAUGAAUAAGAAUUUAACAUGCAUGUUUCAUAAACUGUAAACAAUUAUCAGAUUUUUAUAAUUGUACAUUAAAUAGACGAGUAAACGGUGAAAGAGGUAAUAUAAAAGGGAAUUUGGUUUAUUACCUAUAAUAAGAAUAACAAUAAUCUUCCUGAUCUUCCGACUCCAUUCAUUUCCUGGAACAACACAUUUUGAAAGAAAAGUUAGAGAUAGUAUAUUUUAUAAUUUAUUUUAACAAAUCGCAAACAAUGAUUGAUGCAAGGCAAGUAAAAAAGAAUAUAUACACACCUAUAUUAGGAUCAGAUUGCUCGGUCGGGUCUUUGUUGCACGUAAAUGCAUUAAUUGUUGAAUUGUGUCUGCAUUUUUUGCUCAACAUUAUGCAAUUGUGGCAUAUGUCUUUGUCCAGAUUAUGUUCAGCCUCAUGCCCUUUCCGUAAAACAGAAUCCACAACCAUUUUGUUUUGGAAGCGUGAUUCUCUGUUUGCAUCCCAUAUUAUUGAAGUUUGCCGCAUUUAUUGUUGACACUAAGCGUCCAUGGUACUGAACACCAUCUCGGACACAUUUAAAAGGUAUAUGUGGGAUUGUAUUUAGGGGUGAGUAGUUCGGAUCGGGGUGCAAUUGUAAGAAUUCCGGAGUCCUGAUUAAUAUCAAGGACAAAUGUAAUAAAGAAAUUUGAGUGAAACGAAAACGAACUAUGACCGAAGCCAAUUGUCUAAUACUUCCUCCGUUUCUUAUUAACUGUCCACUUUGAAGAGAAAAAAUUGUUCCUAUAUAUCUGUCCACUUAGAGUUUCAAGAGAGCAUUAAAUGAUGUUUUUCCAAGAAAUGCCCUUGUAGGAACAAUAAAUGAGGAAGAUAAUAUGCAUUUUAAAGGGUGAAAUAGGAAAUCAAAUAAUACUUUUAUGAAAAGUAACAAAAUUAAUUGCACUCCUUAAUAUGUGUGUUUCUUCUCUUCCUGGACAGUUAAAUGGGAACAGAGAGAGUAAGUAAUUAUAAUAACUAAGAAUGGUCUAACUCAUAAAAGUAAAAUGCAUACAGCAGAAACAUCCCAAUUUAUAGUGCAUUUGAAUGGUUUUAAUCAGACUAAUCACAACCUAUCUAAGCAUAGUAAGAGGUUUACAAACCACAUACCACACAAAAUAAAUGAAUCAAACCCUCAAAAUCUGCAAAACCAUACACUUGAACCUUUUUUUUUUUGAAACCAUACACUUGGGCAUACUCAUAAAAGUAAAACACAUAUAAUAGUCCGAAUUCAUAGCGCAUUUGAACAGUUCUAGUUAGACUAAUAUUACAAAUCUAAGCAUAACAAGAGUUUGACAAACCACAUAUCACGCAAAACCAAUGAAUCAAACCCUGAAAAUAUUCAAAACCAUACACUUGGACCAUUUCACAACCAAAAGAAGUGGAGUUUUCCAAAACUAACUCAAAUCCAUGUCCUAUAAAUCCCAUGCAAAUGCCCCCAUUGUACCUCAGACCUGCAACAAAGUAAGAAAAAACAAACAAAAAAAAACACAUUUGUUUUCUCAGCACACACUUGCGGGUCUCCAAUAAACAAGUCACAUUUUCAUUCAUCAUGGACAUGAAGAAGGUCACUUUCGCCGUUCUCAUUGUCGCUGCUUCCAUGAGCGCGACAUUGGCUGCCACCGAGGUUCCUGCUCCUGCCCCUGGCCCUGAUGCCGCCAGCGGUGCCUCAGCUACUGUUGUUGGCUCCUUGGUUGGUGCCUCUGUCUUGUCUUUCUUUGCCUUGUUCCACUAAAUGUGACCUUGCCACAUGGAGGAGGAAGAGCAAGAAUAAAAAUUAUGUAUUAAAGGGUUUAAAAGAGUAUUUAUGAUGUAGAUGGAUAUGUGACUUUUUAGACGUGACUAGAAUUUUGUUUAAGAACUCAAAUUACUAGACAUAACCCGAGCUACACCGGGUUCUUUGUAAUUUCAAUAGAUGAUUUGUUGUUGACCUAUACGAGUAUAAGACAAUAGUUUCAUCUUUGAUUAUCCCCACAUUUGAUAAAACUUCCUUUAGUCAUAUGGCUUGAUUUGUUACUGGAAACAAGUGAAUUUAACCGUAGCAAAAUCCCUAUCAAAUUUUAACAUUUCCUGCGAAAUCUGUAGCGAAAAUUUUCCUACAAGUCUCAGUCGAUAAUAAAUUCGCAGCAAGUACACAGAUCUAACUAUGAAUAAUGUCCGUCGGUAAGUUUGCAAGAAAUUUUAUGAUUACCUGCGAAUAUUUCUUCAUACGAUGUAUUUGCAGAAAAAAAACACCCAAAACGCAGUAAAAUUCGCAGGGAAUGCCUGUGAAAAGAAAUGGACAAAAAAUGCAUAGGUAAUAAGCACAUUUCUAGUAGUGGCUACUAAUUAAAAUAUGUUGAGUCUCAAAAUAUUUAAUAUCUUGACUUGUCAUAAAGUUUUGAUGAUAACAUAGCAAUAAGUUAGAUUUUUAGGCGGUGUAUAAGGUGCGCAAAAGAAUUAAAAAUUUUAAAUAGUUGAAGCAUUUUUAGACGCAAUCUAACAAUGUGUUAGUACUCAUAUGCUUCAUAUGAGUAUUUGAUGCCCAUUUCCUAAGAUGUAUCUAACAACUCCAUUAAAGAUCCAAAUAUUUAAAUGCUACAAUAAUGUCUAUUCAAAAUAAGAAGCCUAUGACGAAAGAGCUCUCAAUAAUUUGAACAUUCUCAAAUACUACUAUAGUUCUCACUUGUAUUUACUAUUGUGUGUCUCAUACAGUUUAGAUGAAUGUUCAACUGUAUUUACUUGUAUGAAUCUCUUUCAAAAUUCAAUUUGAUAUUUGUUAAUUAACUCUCAUCAUUUAAGGUAGUUGUUUGGGUGCUUUGAUAAGUAACAUAGAUGAAAAAUGGAAUUUAGAUGAAUGGGCAUCGCAACAUUGUCAGGAAGAGCAUAAUAAAUUUACAGUUGAAGUUCUUUCCAUCAAACUAGCACUUUCAUCCGCAAGAGAAUGAAGAAGUCACUCUCGUCCAAGUCAAAGAAGUUACUAACGAAUUAUAUAUCAAAGGCUUGUAUUAUUUGUUUAUUAUUGGCCGAGAAAAUUGUCAGUAAAUUACCUACGGAUAUAGGAUCAUCGAUAAUUUAGUGGUCAAAAUCGGCGAUAAUAAUUACGGGCGAGGUUUUACCAACCGAUUUCCAACCCUAUCAAACAGUUUAAAUAAACUUUUGAAAAACCAACAAAGAUUGAGUUAGAGGAAUGUGACUAAAAAAGUCAUUGUUGAAAGGACCUCCUGGCUGGGAACAAGCUAAAAAAGUUAUUAUCACAACAAUAUUCGGGUUGAUUUUUUUUUAUAUUAAAAUCACUGAAAAAUUAUCAAAUAAAGUAGUUACUCUUUAAUAUAUUUUUUUAUUUCAAGUAUUUUUGUUGAAUAAUUUUAGCUUUUCUUCUUUUUUUUUUUGAAAGUAAUUUUAGCUUUUCUUCAAACACUAAAAAUUGUGUUUCAUUUUUUAUUAGAAGUUUCGUACUAUAUUUUUUAAUAGAUUAAAUUAAUCUGUUGGUUCACAUAGUUUCAUUCAGUUUUUAAUUAAAUUCGAUCGUGACAUUGCUACAUUCCAAAACAUAUUUAACUGUAGAAUACUAUAUCUUUAGAAGCCAAAUGGACAGUUUAUCAAAAGAAAAAAAAUUAAGAAUGGACAAACUCUUAAAAGUAAAUACAUGCAAAAACAAUCCCAAUUUGUAGCACAUUUGAAUGGUUCUAGUUAGACUAAUAACAACUUAUCUAAGCAUAGCAAAAUCAAUGAAUCAAACCCCGAAACUCUGCAAAACCAUACAUUUGGACCAUUUCACAACAAAAAUAAGUGGAGUUUUCCAAAACUAACUCAAAGCCAGGUCCUAUAAAUCCCAUGCAAAUGCCCCCAUUAUAUCUCAGACCUGCAACAGAGUAAGAAAAAACAAAAAUACACACUUGUUUUCUCAACACACACCUGCAGGUCUCCAAUAAACAAGUCACAUUUCAUUCAUCAUGGACAUGAAGAAGGUCACCUGCGUCGUUCUCAUCGUCGCUGCCUCCAUGAGCGCGGCUUUGGCUACCAACGAGGUUCCUGCUCCUGCCCCUGGCCCCGCCAGCGGUGCCUCAGCUACCGUUGUUGGCUCCUUGGUUGGUGCCUCCGUCUUGUCUUUCUUUGCCCUGUUCCACUAAACGUGAAAAUCAUCACCACAGGGAAGAGGAAGAAGAGAAGACAUCUUUAUGUAAUAAAGGGUUGAAAAGAGUAAUUUAUGAUAAGGAUGGAUAUGUGAUAUUAUGAUCACUGUUGAAUGAAAUAUUGAACUUCUUUUCAUAUGCCUGUGUACAAGUGUUUUCCUUUCUCAUCUCACAUACACAUAUGGUUCUAAAUUGCGAUCCUCAUUGACAGAAUGACAGUAUUUAUCUGCAAUAUUAAGAAUCUCGAGUGAAAUAUAUAAUGUAACAAGAAUCUCACAAUAACUAAUCGAUUUACAUGAUUCACCGGCACACAGAAUUUCUCCAAACAUGCUGUUAGUAAAUGGUACUAUGUAGUUACCAUAGAUAAUUAUAGAAAGAAAAGGGCUAGCUGCAUGAAUUUCUGUUGAACUCAACAUGGAUCCACGUUGAAUUUGAUGUAGCAAAAUCUUGCUUCUUCGAUUCACAUUAAAUUCAACAUGUCAAAUUCUAGCUUCUCCAAUAAUACUAUAAGAUAAGUGAAAUCACGUUUGCAUUUUCAUCAGCACCAAACCAAACACACUGAAUAUCCAAUAUAGCAAAAAUAAUUUAAUUGAUUUACUAUAUAACCAUUUACUAGGAAAGAAUAGGAGGCAUGCUAAUUUCCAGUCUCCAAUCCUCAACCAAGCAACAAGCUCAAAGGAACAAACUCAUGUGACAUUUGAAGACACAUUUCUUACAACAAUGUAUAAACUAAUGAUGAGAACCUCUCAUAGACUAGGUUUCAGAAUUAAACUUUUGGGCAGACAUGAGGCUCUUUGUCAGCCAUAUUGCUGUUUCUCUGGAUGAGACAGCUUCUUUUCCAAAUGGUUUUAGCACACCGGCAAGCUCUUCUAGUUUAUCUUGCUUAAGUAGCUGAGCACACAACUCAAGCAGAGAUUCUAGAGCGUCAGCUCUUUGCUGGCAGGGACUAUCCCUCAUUGUUUCAUCACCAUCAUCCAUUGUAGUGUCACUUGGUGUCUGAUCAACACCAACUAAAUUUUCAUCUUUUUGUGUGGUGCAAAUGAUGUUCUCCUUCGCCGUUUCGUUAUCCUUAACUGGAAGUUUACUGCUAGAAUCAGAUGACAAACAGUUCAUAUGUGAGCCUUCUGUAAACGCAACCGGGUUUUCACUUUUCUUCAAGGAGUUUCUAGAUUCAGUUUCAUGCUCAACCUUAACAGGAAUCACAAUUAGUGAUGACCUUUCCUCAUUAAUGGAUUUAUCUUUAUCAGUGCAGCUACUGCUUGCAUUGGAUGUUGUUGAUUUCCUGGAUUCCUCAAAUUUGGCAUCUUCCCUCGGUGCUUCAGCAAAAUUGAAACCUUCUUUGGAAAAAGCAUCUUCAACUUCUGAGAUCCCCGUGUUUAAGUCAACCAAUUCUAAUUUCUGAAAAAGUUCUGCAGCUAAUGCUUGCUCUUCAUGCACAGAAUCUUGUCUACAUUUUGAAGUGAUCCCAUUCCCAUGGUUACCUUUUUCCUGUGCAGGUCUACUUUUAAAAUCCUCCUUGCACAUACUGCAAACAGAUGAUUCAGAAGUUGUUGACCCGUCUUUUGAGCCGCUGAUACUAGUAGAAGAUUCCCCUAUGUAGCUAGUAAAAUCAACCAUCUUGUUCUCAAGGUUGUCUCCUGUUCUGGUUGAUACGGUCACCUCACCAUUGUUAGGAGGAUUGCUUGUAUGUACAUCUCCAUUUCCCUCAAUUGGAUGAACGCGCUCCAGAUGAUAUGCUAAUCCUGCUUCUUUGUCCCUAUGGUCCUUGCCACCACUAGUUUUAUAAGAUUUUUUUGUUUUAUCCUUUGAGUUAACUAUGGGAUAUAUUGGAAGAAAAUUAGAUGAUGCAUUCUGACAGCGGAGAACAUAAGGUUGUAAAUGUGGAUGCCUUAACAAUUCAGCUGCCUGUCAACAAAGAGAAGCAACAUUAGAAUAAACUUUUCAAUGUAGAUUAAUCACACGAAACGGGAUCAGUUGAACUCACUGUUGGCCUGUGUUCAGGGUUUUUCCUCAGCAUGCUUUUGAUGAUUUGUUUACUGUUACAAGUACAUCAUUUCUCAGUUCUAUCAAUAUAAUGAAUUACAUAAAGGGGAAAGAAAGGGGGGGGGGGGGGGGGGAUUAUGUAAUUGUACGAGAAAAAUGUUUUUGUAUUCACUUUGAGGGAAAAUAGUUGAAUCAUUGACUAAAAGGCUCAGAUUUUUUACAGCAGUGUGACUGGCAAUGUUUAGAAGAAGAUACUUACAGUGUGGAAGAAUAAACAAUUGGCAGUGGAGAAAUGGAGGAUCUGUUUAUUUUGUUGAUAAGCCCUGCCAUGUCCUGUUUUAUUCAUUCACUCAUUUGAUAAAUUAUCUUGUUAGUUGAAGUUAUAUUGAACAAUAGACACUGCAUUUGCAUUAAUAAAACUAAAUUUCUGCAGAUGGUUCAAAUUCUUACUGGAGCACGAAAUGCUGGUUGAUGAGCAGCAAUCUCAAACAUGCAGCAACCUUUACAUACAAAGAUAUAUCAUUCUUACGAAAGGUCAGAUAUCAAAUGGCUUUAGUCAAUUAGAAUAAGACAUUCAUGAUACUUACCAAGAGACCACAUAUCAGAUUUAUAACCAUACGGUAUAUCAGCGAGAAUCUCAGGACACAUGUAAUUUGGAGUUCCAACAACCUAGACAACAUAUAUAAAGGGUGCAUAUAAUAAACAGGUAUCACUGUCUGAAUCUAGUUAAGUACCAUAAACAUUAGUAAUAAGAAGUUCAAAGAAGAAUACAGGACAAAAACAUGUAUAGCUAGCAAAAGUAUCAGCUAAUCUAUUGUAAGCUGAAAAGCAUCAAUUACUUAGCGUGGCACUCCAUUACUAGGGAAAUAUUCUUCAAGAACAAAUAAGAAAAACGCUGAAAUAUUAAACAUAUCAACAUACCGAGGAAGUAAGGUCUUCUGCAUUGAGUCGCUUUGCAAGACCAAAGUCACCUGUAUGGUCCAUGUAAUAAUAUAUUUCUUUAGGUAACAACACGUGAAAGUUAAAAGUUUUGAGCGUUGAAGGGAUAAUGCUUCGUACCAAGCCGGAUAUUGUUGUCUUUGGUGAGGAAUAUGUUGGAGCACUGAAAUUACAUGGGGUUGCAGUAAUGUAAAUAUCACAGAAAGGAUUUCCUUAUCGGGAUAAGGGAGUAUGUGAUACCUUUAGAUCUCUAUGGAUUACACGAUUAGAAUGCAAGUAGUCCACAGCUAUCAACAACUGAGUCAGCCAUUUGCAGACUUUCUGUAAUAGGAGAAAUUGGAGUGGGUAAGAAAUACGGAUUAAACUAUUAAGGAAAAGGAGAUUAAACCUAUUACUUACCUCCUCAGGAAAGAAUGAUCCUCGAGCUUUCUUUAUGUUCUCAGCCCUGCUCCACAAAGAAUGGAGGGUUCAAUUAUUAGAAUCACAUGCCACUGUUUAUAUUUCUCCAAUAAUUUCAUCUUCUAUUUUUUAUAAACAAAUGAAACACACAAAAUCCCAAAUUCCCGUACCUAAGUGUAGUUCGUCUCAAAAUUAGAAUGUGAUUAAGAUCACUACUGUUAUGAAAUGAGCAAAUAUAUAUAUAUCUCUCUAUCAAGCUACAAUAUGGAGAGGAUAGCACAGGUAUUGGAAAAAAAUUCAACAUAAAUCAACAAUUACACCUUCCACAUUCUCCAUAAUGUAAUCAGAAAACAUGUUUAUGCCAGAGUUUCAAGAAAGGUUUAGCGUUUUUUUAAAACCUUAACCUUUUAGCCAAGAUCUCUUUAACAUGGUUGCCACCCCCAGUAUAAUAAUCAAAAAUCAAUGUAACACUUUUGUCCCAUAGGGAAAAAAAAUCAGCAUAAGCUCUGUGUAGUUUCAAUCCAAGAUAGCAAUUUGCAUAAUGUUUACAUUUCAAAUUUGCCCAUUACGAGUCCAGCAAGUGUUCACCUGAAAAGCCAUGUGUUACGCUUUAUGAAAACCAUUAGUUGAUCUGUACUUAAUAGCUUAACCUUAUAUGUGACAUUUUUUAUUGAAAACAAAUAAGCUUGGAUCUUUUACUAAUGCAAGAAAAAGCUGAUGUUACAGAGAGUAAUUUACUUACAUGUCACCUCCUUCACAAUAGCCAGUUACAAUGCAUAUACGGUCCUCCUAAAAAACAUAAAACAUCAGAAACAUGCCUAUGAAGAGUGAUAAAUAUCAGAGUAAGUAGACAUAUCUACAAAUAAUCAAACUCAGUCUCUCACCUUCUCCACCCAAGCAUCUUUGUAAUCCACAAUAUAAGGAUUAUUUAGUUUUGCAAUCAGGUUCAUCUGUAACAGGAAGAGGGACUGUCAUUUUAAUUCAAGUAGACAGAAAGUAAUCAUUCAAAAUUAGCUUCCCAUAACCUCUUAGGACUGAAGCUCGUGAAAUCAAUAUUGAGAUUUGAGAACACAGCCAUGAAUCAUGAUUAUAUUUAUAUAAAACCUAUAUGACAUGGCACUUGGCUCAAAAUGGAAAUGAAGAGCCACAUGGUGCUCACUGCAUUUUGUGAACACUAUAAUAUUCACAAAACAAAUAUACUCUUCUCUACAAGUUUGUUCAGCACUUUAUACAACAUCAAUGAGCAGGAUAUCAUCUACCAGAUUUUAUCAAUGAAAUUAGUUGAGUUUACUAAAGUACUGUCCAUGGAUUUGCAGUGGGGAUACUGCUUCUUGAAUUAACAACAUAUUCAGAUGACUAGUUUAUUUGUAGUAAGAAAGGCAUUGCCAGUGGUAGCAUGUCCAUUAAAGACAAAUAAAGAUACUAAGAAGUGCAAACAAAUAGUUAAAUUAGGCUGAUUCAUGCAAGCAACACGUAUGUCCCAAAAGAUGGUAGGAAGCAGAUCAACCGUUGCUACUUAGUGCAUGUUUGGUUGCACGUUGAAAUCCAUGUUAGAUCUCAAAAUCACAUUAUACACAAUCAUAAGCUACAGUAUGGAGCUUCUCUGCUAAUGUGCUUUAGAGUAUGUGUCUAACACACAUCCAAACAUGUCAUACUUGAAAUCAUAACAGAUUAAGAACCAAAAAUACUAAAAAAAGAAAAAGAGUACAAAAAUAAGACAGUAAAGCAAUUUGGUGCAAGACAACUGCUGGUUGAAUAAUUAAAUGAUGGAAGCUGAGUAUUUAUUUGCAUCAGGUGGAAGGUUUUGUUACACCAACCUCUUGGUGUGCUGUACGUUUGAACUUCUCUGUCUGCUUAGCCAAACGAAUCUUUUUCAGCACAUACCUACCAGGGUGAAAUCAUGGAAAUGAAUAAAAAUUGAGGUUACAACCUAACUGUAUUCAAUUGGUUGGGUUUUCAAUUCCAACAAUUAAACACAAAAACCUCAAAGUAAAAAUGGAAAUAUAUAACAAAAUUGAAACUUUCUUUGUUGGGUUGUCCUUAAUUUAGCUGAAAAAACCAAUCUCCAAUCCAACUAGCCAUGUUCCAUGGAAUAGGAAAAUAACUGAAGUUGAAAAAGCUAACUGCUAUCGAACUUUACAGGCUUCAACUCCAACAAUUAAACACAAAAAACUGAAAAAGAUUGAAUUUUUCUUCAUGGGGUUGUAAGUUUUCAAACUGAAAAACAAAAAAUUGGAUCUUCAUUCUUCAAUUGUUUGUGUUGCAUGGUUUAAGCAAUUAAGGGGAAAAAAAGCUUAACAGUGUAAUUCAAUGACUUACCUUUUCUUCUCAGACUUGUGAAGAACAAGAAAAGCAGAGCCAAAUGCUCCUCUUCCAAUUUGCUCUAUAACUUCAUAGUCUUCCAUCUUCUUAGACCUCAUGUCACUGUUUUCUGUCUCCAUGGAAAACUCCAGAAGCUAGAAGACAAACAGUGAAGCACAGAAGCAGUAGAUCCUGAUUUGCUACAAACCCAAUUCACAAAAGAAGAAAGGGAAUAGAAAAAAUGAAUCUUUAUGGCAAAGUAUCUAAGAGUGUGAAAUGAUGAAUUCUACCACCAACCCUUUCUACCCUUUUUUUUCAUCCAAAUGGUGUAAUUCAAGACAACCGUUAUAGAAUGAAGGGCAUUAAUUAGGGAAAAUAAAUGUAUCCUAUGAGAAUUAUGUUGGGGGCUAUAUUCAAUGGGUUGCAGCAAGCAACCAUGAAGGGUUUCACAAGAAAGAUGAGUAAAGCUACAUUCCACAAUUAUGACAGUAGCUACCACCUGAGAGGACUAAAGUGGAGAGAGAGAGAGGGGGGGAAGAAAAAAAAAAGGUGGAGUUGGGUAAAGCAGAAUAUAUCACCACCAAGGAAAUUGAAAGGUUUAUGACUUACCCAAUAGAAAAUGCAGAGAGGAGGAAGAAUGAAGGGAGACAAAGUCAAGUGAAAGCUAUAUACCAAACUAAAGACAUAGUGUGACAUUUAUAUAAUAUACUAAUACUUUAUAUUUUUUUUUUGAUAAGCAUACUAAUACUUUAUAUUAUUGAUAGAUGUGUAGUGGUGAGCUUAUCAUAGCUAUAACCCCACUAAGUAAUGAUGCUUAAGAUAAUUGUACUUCUUAUUUUUUACUAUAUCUCUCUUUUUUUAACAUGGCUCAUUUCUAGUCAUAUCUUCUGUCUCACUCAAAUUAUUGACCCUUGAUUUUUGCAUUAACUGGUUCAGAUUGAUUCAUAAAAGUUUAAAUUGGUUAAAGUUGUAUACACUUGUCAUUUUACUGCUACAUAGGCUACAUGCGCAACAAAGGAUUCAAAUUCCUCUUUUUUAUCACAUUUCUCAUAGUAUCACGUUUAUUAUUUCUCUCUUUUCUCUUCUUUUUUCUCACUUCGGGUAUCUAUUGGAUGUCUGUACUAUGCAAAUAUCUACGGAAUAUAUUUUCCAACCCUACUCAAUGGAUCAAAAGAGGAUGAGGUUGGGGGAGAGAGCAUGCAAGGUAUAUCUUAAUGGUGAUGACAGGUAUGUGGAAGACUCAAGAAAAAGGAAAAGGCCUUGCUUGCGUUUACAGGUUCACAGGAGAUCAUGCACAACAAGGAAUGUUCCUAGCACGCAGCUGUGAUGUCACAGUCCUUGUACCUUAUUAAACAAAAUCAUCAAAUUUAGACAUGAGCCAAUAGGUCAUAUUCUACUCAAAAUAAGAAAGUAAAGUGGGUUUGUGCUCAUGUGAUGCGCUGGCCUACUACAACUACUGGUCCAGGGGAAUGAUUCUGGUUUAAUUUUAACACCUCCAACUCCAACAUUCUUAGAGAUGAAGAGUUUCUUUUUUACAUUUUAUCGAUUUGUUUUAUGUUUUUUAUGUAUUGAUAUGAUGAACUUUGAGUUAAAUGCAAAUUUGAAUAUAAUUAAGCAUGUUAAUUAGGUUAUGCUAACGAUAUGGGUCAACAACCAGAUUGUUGUAAUCUCUGAAGCAUGGGUACGUGAUGUUGGGCUGCGUACCCGUACCGGGUACGUACCCGGUACGAAUACGCUACGGGUACGCGUACGGUACGUACCCGGUACGUACCCGUUUCACAAAACCUUGCCGUCAAUGGUUAAAUCUUCAUUUUCAAUCUCCAAUCCAAUCUAAAACAGAUAACUCCAUUGCUUGGAGAGCUUGGAGGUUAUAUGUGUGGACAAAAGAGAACGACGAGGGUGGCUCCUCUUGACUGCGGCGCAUCAACCAUCCUGCGAUGGCGGUGCUGAGAAUCAGAUCGAGAGGGGAAGCUCGCGGUAAGGGAGGCCGGAGCGGUGGCACAACCGUGAUGGUUCCGGCGGCGAGGUUCGGACAACGUAGUGGUUCGGUGCGACGCAAUUCAGACAGUAGGAACGAUGGUCAAGCUGCAUAUCUCCUUUCUAAUUGAUAAACUCUUUGAAGUUACAGAUCUUAGUGGGGAAGUGGGAAAGGUAGACGUGGGGGGUGGAAAGAGAACAGGGAAGGGUUAGGAAAAUUACCAAGGGGCACAUACUUCUAAUGCUUUGAAAAAAGAGAGUGGGUAUUUUUGUCCUAAAUAAAAGGUGUUGAGUGCUAACUUACUCCUUUUAAAAAAUAAGUGGGAGUAAGUUAGCAUUUCCCUUAUUUUAAUUAGUUAUAUAUUUUUUUUUUUGCAUAAUUUAUUUAUAUUUAAAUAUUAUGUAUAAAAAAAUAUAUAUAUAUCUAACGUACCCGUACCCCCAUUUUUUCAAAAAUCGCGUACCGCGUACCCAAUACCGUACCCGUACCCGUGCAACACAGGUUAUAAUCAUAUCAUAUAUUUGCCAUUUUGAUGUUAAUAGGGUUAAUUUAGCUGUAAGUAAUGUAGUAAUCAUCUCUAAUCAUGCGCUCAACAAGUGAAAUUUGAUGUUAAUUUAGUGAUUAUGGUGUCAAAUCAAGAACUUAAUUAAGUUGUUUAAACAACCAGUAAUAGAAUUAAUUGCAAUGUCAUUAUACUGCAUGUUUGUAUAAGCAGUAGAAAACUAUACGGUGAAGGAAAAAUAACAGUCUCACUGUGUUUUUUUGAACAACAGAUAUCGGUUUUUGCAACAUUUGAUUUGAUCACAAGGAACUCAAUAACAAGAUCAAGGGAAAAUAAAACAGCAAGAUUGUUAUUUCUUUAUGCCUAAAUGAAAUUCAUACAAUCUUUUAGGCCAAAAUUUUAGCUGCCAGCAAGGACAAAUAAGUAACACUGUUGACCCUCACCUGGAUAUAUUGGCUUCUCAUCCUCCUUUGCUUCAAAUAGUUGCCUUUUUCCCCAUUCCUAGCUUUUACUUUCCCCCACAUGGCCACAUGCAAGCAUGUCAUUGUUAGAGCGGUGAAUGUUUAGUUCAUGAUUUGCGCAUAAUCCAAGAUAUUUUUUCAUGCAUGUUUGGAUACACGGUAGAUGUUCAUGUUGAAGGGAGAAACUACUCCUAAUGGCUUUUGUGAUAGCAAAACUAAUUCUGAAAGAUUUGAUCGUGAAUCCAAACAUCCUAACCGUGGAAUCAAACAUUCUAGCAAUUAGUUUUGGUCAUUGUGAGACAGUAAGAAGUUAAUAAAGUUGGUAGGAGAGUCUUCAGUUAUUCAAGCGAGUUAGGCAGUUACCUCUAAAGCAUUUAUCUGUUCUGUACAACCAUUGCUAUCUCCUGUGCAGCCCCCAACUAUUACAAUAAUCAUUGUCUCCCCAAAAGCAACCAUGUACUGUCUGAUGUAAUCAUUCCAUGUCUUGAGUUAUUCAAGGUUUUUUUGUUUGAUUGUCAAGAUACUUACCACAUAAUGGGGAUAGGUGAUAUAAAAACAAUAGUGUGCUAUAAUAUAUAAACUAGGCGUAGACAAUGACUAAACACUGAAUAUAGUAACAUUCUAAAUCAUGUUUGGCUAAUAUAGUUUUAAACACCGUCUUCACAGCUAAAAAGUACAGAGAAUAAUUAUUUGGUUAAACAAAAUGUGGUAGAUCAUUGAUAUGAUGCAGAACAAACGCUUGUUUGUCGCAUACAGCAAAUUUUGAUAAACAAAUAAAUCAAAGAGCAAAAAUGGGGAAAGGUUAUGAUGAACUCACAGAAAAUGCUACUGGUUUAUUGAAGAAAACAGAGACUCAAUCCUCAAGUACUGAGGUUGAAUUCUCAGGAAUUACACAGGAGAAUCAAGAACACUAACAAGAACCCUAGCCUCUGGAAUUCGAGAUCCAGAAUCUCCCAAAUCCUAACCAACUGAAUAACUACCUGUAACUUCCCCCUUUCCCUUAUUUAUACUAUUCAGUAGCUCUAACAGAAUCACAACUAUUAACAGAAUUAGCCAGCUGUACUCUAACAGAAACAACUAACCAUGCCAGCUGUUUAUUAACAGAUCAACUAACAAUAACAGUCACACUAAGUUGUGACUUUCCUCUUGUUUCUUCUCUCAUACACCUUCUUAAUUGAAGGUCUAUGCUCAUCAAUACCCCCCCCUAAAUGUUUCACCUUGUCCUCAAGGGGAAAAUCAGGAAAAGCUUCAUGGAGCUGGGCAGCAGAUUCCCAACUGUUCUCACAAGCAGGUAAAGAGUGCCACUGAAUUAGCACCUCAAUCUGGCCCAUUGUGGUUUCCCUAACAGCCAGCACUGAUUCAGGUUCCACCAAGAGCUCAUGAUCUUCAUUCAAGGCUGCUGGGAGAGGUUGAGGCUGAAAAUUAGUCCCCACAGCCGUCUUGAGGAGAGAGACAUGAAAGACAGGAUGCACUCUACUGUGAGCUGGUAGCUCAAGUCGAUAAGCCACAGCCCCAAUCUUUGCUACAAUAGGAUAGGGUCCAUAAUACCUAGGACUCAAUUUUUCAUUCAUUUUCUUGGCCAAAGACCUCCUUCUAUAAGGUUGUAACUUGAGAAAAACCUCAUCACCAAUUUGAUAAUCCACAUCCCUCCUCUUCUUAUUUGCAUAUGCCCUCAUCAUGUCCUGAGAUUUUAAAAGAUUAGCUCUCAGAUCUGAUAGCAAUUCAUCCCUCCCCACCUGCAAAUCAUUUACUGCAGCUAUCUUGGAAGGAAUUGUAGUCCCUUGAAGAAGCACAGGUGGUUCCCUACCAUAAAGAGCUUGAAAAGGAGACAUUUUGGCAGAUCGGUUGUAAUUGCUGUUGAACCAAAACUCUGCCCAAGGAAGACAAGUAACCCAUUUCCUUGGCCUGGAUCCAGUAAGGCAUCUCAGAUAAACUUCAAGGCAUCUAUUGACCACCUCAGUCUGGCCAUCAGUUUGAGGAUGGUAAGCUGAGCUAAACUUAAGUUGUGUGCCUGACACGCGGAACAGUUCCUUCCAAAAACUACUGAGAAAUAAAGAGUCUCGAUCUGAGACUAUGGUUGUUGGGAACCCAUGAAGUCUCACUACCUCAUGAAGAAAUAAAGCUGCCACUUCAGGAGCUGUAAAAGGGUGCCUUAAGGGAAUAAAAUGAGCAUAUUUUGUCAGCCUAUCCACCACCACUAAGAUUGUAUCCUUGCCAUUAGAUUUAGGCAAACCACCAAUAAAGUCCAUGGACACAUCUGUCCAAACCUGAGUAGGCACAGGUAAUGGCUGAAGCAGCCCUGCAGGGGAGAGAUUGUCAAAUUUGUUUCUUUGACAUGUGUCACAUUCUGCCACAAAAUCUCUUAUGUCACUCUUCAUCCCUUCCCAAUACACCACUGCAGCCAACCUUCUAUAGGUUCUAAAGAACCCUGAAUGUCCUCCCAACAAAGAAGCAUGAAACUCUUUGCAAAGAAUUGGAAUCCUAGAAGAUUGCUUGGACAGAACCAACUUUCCUUUAUAAAACAACCUGUGAUCCUUCAAAGUAUACCCUUUAUGAGCCUCAGGAUCCACAAUCAGAUCGUGUACAAUGGCCUGUAGCUUGGGAUCUUGCAACAUCUCAGUUUGCCACUCCUCAAAGUCAUUCACCUUAAGAACUGACAAUGCACAAUAUGAGCUUCUCCUGGACAUGGCAUCAGCAGCUGAAUUGUCCUUCCCUGGCUUAUAUUGUAUCUCAAAGUCAUAACCUGAGAGUUUGGAAAUCCAUUUGAACUGCCCCUCUCCCACAACCUGUUGCUCAGUAAGGAACUUCAAACUCUUUUGAUCUGUUCUAAUUAUGAAAUGCCUUCCUAAGAGAUAAUGCCGCCACCUUUGGACAGCUCUGACCACUGCCAUUAACUCUCUUUCAUAAACUGAUUUAGCUUGACUUCUAUCUGAGAGUGUAGCACUCCAGAAAGCCAGAGGCUUCCCUUCCUGAGUCAAAACUGCUCCUAGACCCGUACCUGAAGCAUCUGUUUCCAGAACAAAGACCUUGGAAAAAUCUGGAACAGCCAAAGUAGGUAUCUCUGUCAAAGUGUGCUUAAGAGCUUCAAAAGCCUGUUGGGGACUAGGUCCCCACUGAAAACUAUCUUUUUUCAGUAGCUGUGUCAAAGGCCUAGCUAUCUUGCCAUAAUCCUUGACAAACCUUCUAUAGUAUCCAGUAAGACCUAGAAAUCCCCUUAAGCUCUUCAAGUCUUUAGGGACUGGCCACAACCACAUAGCUUCCAAUUUCUUUGGAUCAGCUGCCACAGUUCCAGCAGAUAACACAUGUCCUAGAUAUUCAAUCUGGCCCCUUCCAAACACACUCUUCUUACCAUUGAUUUUAAGAUCAUGUUGGUCCAUCAAUUGCAGAACUUGUGUCAAGUGAACAACAUGUUCCUCCAUCGUCAAACUGUAAAUCAAAAUAUCAUCAAAAAAAACUAGAGCACACUUUCUCAAAACUGGUCUCAGCACCUCAUUCAUCAGAGACUGAAAAGUGGAAGGAGCAUUGGUGAGGCCAAAGGGCAUCACCAAAAACUCAUAGUGGCCCUCAUGGGUCCUGAAUGCUGUCUUUUCCACAUCCUCUGCCUUCAUCAUAAUUUGAUGAUAUCCUGAUUUCAGAUCAAUUUUGGAAAACACUCUAGCUGGACCAAUCUCAUCUAAGAGUUCAUCAAUGACUGGAAUAGGAAAUUUAUUAGGGACUGUGAUUUUGUUCAAAGCCCUAUAGUCUACACAAAAUCUCCAGCUACCAUCUUUCUUCCUAACCAAAAUCACUGGACUUGAAUAUGGACUAAUACUAGGUCUAAUGAUUCCAGCAUUGAGCAUUUCAGCCACUAACUUUUCUAUUUCAUUUUUUUGGUAAUGGGGAUACCUGUAAGGCCGAAUGUUGGGAAUGGAUGCACCUUCUUUCAGAUGAAUGGCAUGGUCAUGUCUUCUCUGAGGGGGCAAUUCAGUAGGUGCUGCAAACAGUGCUGGAAAAUCUGACAAAACUGCCUUCAACAACUCUGGAGUUUCCUCUGCUUUAGCCACCUCUUUUUCUAACAUUUGAUAUUGAAGCACAUAUCCCUCUCCCUGCUGUUGAAUGGCUUUAACCAAUGCAUUCAUGGAAGCUCUCUUCUUCAGCAAUUCAGGCUCCCCUUUGAGGACUACCUUUUUAUUUCCCAGUUUGAACUUCAAGGUCAGCUCUUCAAAAUUGGCUUUGAUGUCCCCCAAUCCUGCUAGCCAUUCUAGACCAAGCACAACAUCCACUCCUCUUAAUCCAAACAAAAAGAAAUCUUGAGUUACCACAAAUCCUUGAAUCUGCACACUGAGAUUCUUACACACCCCCUUGCUUUUCACUACAUGUCCAUCCCCUACUUCUACUGUGUAAGCUGGAGUUUCUGUAAUCUGUAACUCCAUCUCUCUUGCCAAGGACUGAGAAAUGAAAUUAUGUGUUGCUCCACAAUCUACCAGCACCACUAUGGCAGUUCCUUUCAAUUUUCCCCAAACCUUGAGAGAUUUCCUUGAAGAAAUUCCCUGUAUACUGUUUAGUGACAAGUGCUUUAACUCCAUAGCUUCCUCAAUUUCUUCAGUGAGAGGCUCUAGUGUCUCAAUCUCUUCUUCCUCACCAUCAUCCCUCAGCAACAUUACCCUGAAUUGCUUAUUCUUACAGAUAUGGUUUGGUCCAAACUUUUCAUCACAUCUGAAACACUCCCCCUUUCUCAACUUUUCCUUCAUCUCUUCCCCAGUGAGUUUUCUGUAAACUCCUCCCCUGGCUGGCUUACCUCCUACUCUCUCAUUAACACUACCACUAGAUGAUUGCACUGUGCCCUGAGUUACACUACCACUACCACUUUUCUGUCCAGUAUCAAUUUGCACAGAUUUCUGAAAAGUUGUGGAUCUAAAAGGUGGUUUGAAAGAGGAAUUAUACCUGCUAGUACUGCCAAUUCCAGCCUUGCUCACAGCCAGGUUCUUCUGUUCCACCAUCAAGGCUUUCUUGACCAUGAUUGUUAGGGAUUUGGGCUCAUAGAGCUUGAUUUCUGCUGCAAUUUCCUCCUUGAGUCCAUUAACAAAAAUAUCCAUGUAAUGCUCUUCAUCAAUUCCCUUGAGCAUUCCUGCAAAUCUCUCAAAUUGUCCUACAAACUCUUCAACACUACCUUCUUGCUUCAAGGCCAGCAAAGCCGCAAAUGGACUAGAAUUCGAGGUGAGUUGAAAUCGUUCCAGCAUGGCUUCCUUGAACUUGGUCCAAGUAGUCACCUGGUUGCAGGUUUCCCACCAUUGGUACCAGCUCAAUGCCUUUCCAUCCAAGGCCACCAUAAUCGCUUGUACCUUCUCUUCCUCAGUCGCUCCCUUCAGUCGGAAGUAGCGUUCCAAUUUCUGAAUCCAACUGUACGCAUCUUCUUCACCCUGGAAAACUGGAAUGUCAAGCUUCCUCCAACGCUCUGUUUGUGCAUUUGCAGUGCGCUGAAGAUUCUCUCGCGCAUCAGCUUCGUCUCUUACGCUUCCCGGUUGUCCUCCGUUCACGGUGCGCUCCUCCUCCAUUCGUCGGCGUUCUUGCUCGCCGUCGCUGUCGCCGUGCUCGCCGGCUCGCCGGCGCGUCAUCGUCGCGACAAUCGCUUCCAGAUUGCGAAACCUCUGCUCCACGCGUUCAUGCUCGAUCGCACGCUCUCUCCGUUCUUCGUCGCGAAUCCUCCUGUCUUCUUCGCGAUUCCUGCGUUCUUCCUCGCGAUCGCGAUUCAUAACCUCAAUGAAUCUCUCAAUCGCUUCCACUCUGGCUUCCAUUCUGCUCGCUACCAUAGACAAAUCGAUACCACAGCUCCUGGAUGGAGCUCUGAUACCAAUUGAUGAACUCACAGAAAAUGCUACUGGUUUAUUGAAGAAAACAGAGACUCAAUCCUCAAGUACUGAGGUUGAAUUCUCAGGAAUUACACAGGAGAAUCAAGAACACUAACAAGAACCCUAGCCUCUAGAAUUCGAGAUCCAGAAUCUCCCAAAUCCUAACCAACUGAAUAACUACCUGUAACUUCCCCCUUUCCCUUAUUUAUACUAUUCAGUAGCUCUAACAGAAUCACAACUAUUAACAGAAUUAGCCAGCUGUACUCUAACAGAAACAACUAACCAUGCCAGCUGUUUAUUAACAGAUCAACUAACAAUAACAGUCACACUAAGUUGUGACUUUCCUCUUGUUUCUUCUCUCAUACACCUUCUUAAUUGAAGGUCUAUGCUCAUCAGGUUAUAACUUAUAAGAAAAUGAACAUGAAAAUGAAUUGAAUCUGCGCUUCAUUGAAAAUAGGUUGAGUCACAUACUCAAGUUUUUCUGGAUAGCCUUUUGUAACUUAGGUGUUUUCAGAGAAUUCCGAGUAAAAUGUGAACAUCUUUAUGACAAGUAUCCUAACUAUUAUUUAUAGACUAAGUAAUCUCCUAAACAUUUGCAAAUAUACUUCAGAAGGGCUUUCUAACCUUAGGCAAAGCCAGCCAUCUAUGCCUUCUAUGAAAUUUAUCAAGGCCAUAAACCAGUAUUUGUCAGUAGCUGUUAUCAAGCCAAAACUUGCUGUGUGCUUUGAAGACUUAGCACAUGUCACAGAUCUUACAUCUAAAUCUAAUUGUGAGAAUAGCAAGAUUGGUGCUGAAACUUCGUCGACAAUAAUAAAUAUCCAUACCAUAUUGAUAACAAAAGGGACCAUCACUCUCUGUCACAAGUAAAAGUUGUGUUCCAGUUUUGAAAAUAACAAGCCACAUUACCUUACACAGUAAAAAGCACAAGCUAGUAGUUCAGCGCAGAAAAAAAAACAUUAAUGAUUGACAACAGAAACAAAUGUUAGCUCACAGAAACAAGUUUACUGUACACAAUUCUAUCAUUUUUACUUCCGCUUUGAUUGCUUUGCUUUUUUGGAGGAUCUUCCACUCCCCAGCUUCAUUUGUGCAGCUUGGAAUUCCUCUUCAGAAGGUUCUUGCAUAUCACCUCCACCAUAUUUCGAAGCUAGAGUUGAAAACAUUGAAUCAAACUGGCCUUUCCUCUCGUUUCGGCGUUGUGCUAUGAUUGCAUGCAGGUCUGUUUCAGACUGCUUACUUGACCUGUAGAAAACACAGUAUCAUUUCAGAAUUGCAGCAGUAUAAAUGAAAAAAGAGCAUAAGCAAAACCCUGUUUGAUAAACUUACUUAUUCCCCCUCCUUAAAGGAUUUGUAGGUGGUUUGGUUUCAGAUACUUCUUUAGCCCAUUUCUCAUAUGCUUUUGUUGCCUUUAGUUCUCCUGCAGAAUACGGAGAAGAGAAAAGAAAAUAUAACAACCCGAUAUAUAUAAAAUGGACUAUGCCAUGACUUCUUAAAAUAACAUGCUGAUUCUUAGUGCUUAAGCUUAAAAGUAAAAUAACUGCAUGGCCUUUCAUUGUCUUAUUGACUUGAAUUCCAGGUCUCACAAAUCAGAAUCAAUAUAUAUCUUCCACAGCAGAGAAACUUAGACCUAGAGCAAAUGUCUGACCGAAAUCUCAGCCAACAAAAUCAAGUUAAUAUUCUUAGUUUCUUACCAGCAGCUAUAGCCUCAUCGAGAAUAUCCUUGAAUCGGUGUGAGUCAAGUUUAGAAUCUGAACAAAGCAUCGAACAGAAAAGCCUGCAAGGGGAAGUUAUUUGAGAGUUCAAACUCAAAGCAUUUUCACAAAUGGGUCAUGCACAUCAACAGAUUCCUUAUGCUUUCUUACUUGUUCAUUUUACCCUUGCACUCCUUGUAUAGGUCAAUCAAAUCUUUUUUCUCCGAGUCAGAUCCCCUAUAAUUAGCUUCAAACUCCUCAAUAUCAGCCUCAGUGACCUGCGGCUCACAUCACAAAACCACACAAAUGAAAACAGGUACACAACAAUGCAUCAGCAAAUAGCAUAUCAUAUCAUAUAUCAAUACAAUACCUUCUUGUACAUUGUUCUGAAAAAGUCAUGAAGAUUCUGAACAACAUCUCCAGCAAGAUCCUGAUUUACAGAAAACAUAAAAGAGUUGUAAAUUUCAAGCACUUCACUAAUGUUCCUAAAUGCUAAUCUCUGGGAUUUAGUUUAUUAGGAAGUAGGAACCCAAAAUAUUCAAAACCAUUCAUUAAUUUCAUUUCUUGAGUAACUAGAAGCACCUAGUAGAGAAAACUAAAAGCUCAUUAACUAGUGUCCAUAAGAAACUCGUUUUCAAAACUCGAAUCAUUAUACAAGGAUAGUAUCAGUUGAGUCCAACUCCUCUAAAGUGAGGGAUUCACUUAAGAAAGUAAAGUAAGUCAUCACAAUUAUUGAUUGAGUUGCUUCAUCUACUUUCCAAAGUAAGUAAUCAUUAUUAAUGGUUGCGAUGACUUACUUUACCCUUUAAAGCGACUCUCAGUUCUCAGAGGAGCUAAAUGCAUAUCAGUUAACCCUGCCCAGUUAGUUAGGUGGAAUAAUUACCUAAUUACUAAGAGAUUGAGAGAUAAAAAAAAGGUCAAAUAGGGAUGGAGAGUUCAUGUCUCCUGAAUAUCAAGAACUAUGGGGUUAGUGCAUCUGCAUUAUCUUAGUACCUUCAUUCUAAUUUCUGAUCAAAAGGAAAAAAAGAAUAAAAAAUCCUUGACAAUAUAUACUGUUUUCGUUCAACAUACCGAUCCUUUCAUUUUAUAUUACUCUAUUAGAUUGUUACUUCCAAUAACAAUUAACAGACCAUAAGCUCGGAAGGAACUAGCCACUACGUACUAUAAAACGGGGCACUCAACAAAAUUUUCAUUCAAAAAGUACUUGCCCCUUUUGAAAAAAAAAAUGAUCCUACCUCAUUCAAUUAGCCAUUGUUAAUUUUGUUUGAUGAGUCAAAUUUUCACCCCUUUACCUAUUUGUUUCAGGUUCCAUCCCUAGUUCAUAAGGACUUACUUUAUAUCUAGACAAUUUCAAUCACAAAUUCAAUAUAUUAAGCUUCACUAAUCAGCAGCAGCAGAAAAAUGAAAAAAUGAAAGACUCACAGCAUCAUCAACACAGCCAGUUUGAUCAUACACGGCCCGUUUCUCUUCAUCCCCGAGAAUCGAGAUAACUUUCUGCAGCUGCUGGAAUUUCUCUUUAGCUUCCUGUAUAAUAUGAACACAAGGAGAUCAAUUUCAACUAACUAAUUUCCAUUCAAACCUAAUUUUUUCAAAUUGGAAAAAAAAAAAUCAACCUGAUCAUCAGGGUUCUUAUCAGGAUGAAGACGCAAAGCUAACUUGUGGUACGCCUUCUUGAUUUCCUGCUGAGUCGCUGUUCUCUCCACACCAAGAACCUACAAAACCACUCACACACUCAGUUUCCAACAAACCUUCCAUUUUUUUACAGGAAAAUGAAGAAGAAAGCGUGAAAUCACUCAAAUUAGGGUACCUGGUAGAGGCUUGUUUCAUUUUGAGCCUCGAUUUCUUCUUCGUCGUCGGAAAACCUAGCUUUGUUCUUCUUCGCCAUUUUCGAUUUGAAACUUAGAAUUUUGUGAUUUCACAGAAUAUAUAUAUAUAUAUAUUUGAAGCGAAAAAGGAAAAUUUUCCCGCUAUGCGAUUCUGGUUUUGUUCCAUUUUCCCGCUGUUUUGUUCUUAUGCGGUUGGAUAACGUGACCUAUAUGAAAACGUAACCUCUGCCGCGGUAAAAUAAUAAAGUGUUUAACUAGAGAUAAAACACCAUCCAAGGGUUUCGUGGUGUAGUUGGUUAUCACGUCAGUCUAACACACUGAAGGUCUCCGGUUCGAACCCGGGCGAAGCCAUUUCUUUUCAGUUUUUACUUUUUACAUUUUUGGUCAAACAUGCUAAGCGGGUGGACCAAGAAAUGUACUGUUCAUUUCAGUCUAACUUUGCAACCCAACCUUUAUGCUUAAGGCCCAAAUUAUAUUUGGCCUCAUCUUCUUUAUGCAAAUGUUUACAGGUAGUAUUAAUGUAAUCUAAAUUUUAAUUACGUUGCUCUCUCCUGUCAUAAGAAACUACUCACUUUCCCCUCUACAACAAAAUGCAGCAAUUAAAAAUCAUGACUCAUGAGACAAGAGAGAAAACUUCAAAAAUAAAACAUAGAUGAAUUAAAGUAUAACUAAUCUAAAUUGCUUUAACACCCAUUAUCCAUUUUAUAAUCUUCCCAUUUUAAUUUGGUAUUUUUAAAUAAUUUUAGGGUUAAGCGUUAUAUUGGUCUCUGUCUUUGUCUCGCCGUCUGACGUAGGUCCCUCAUCGGAAAAAUUUUUUGCAUUUCGUCCUCGUCUUUGAAAUUUUUUUGGAGCGGAUCCUCGCCGGAGGGCAGAGCUCCGGCGAAUGCUGAAUGGGCUUGCUGACUGGGAUUUUUUAAGUGAUGUGGAAAUAAAAAAUUAAAUAAAAAAAAAUUACAAAUAAGCAAAAUUAGAAAAACUAAAACAUAAUUAAAGCCCAAAACUUUUCAUAACUCACAAAUUAACCCCCAAAUCAAAGAAACCCUAAAUCCCAAAAUUCACAAAUUCCUAAAUCAGAAAAUUCAAACCCAGCAACAACAAAUCAGAUUUCUCACAACACCAACACAAAUCUAACAAAUCAAACCCAGCAACAAUAAUUGGGGCUUUCGCACAAAGAAAAGUCAGCAAUAUCUGGGAGUUGGGUUUGGGGCCUCCCCUAUGGGGCUGCGCGCCCCACCCUUUUUUUUUAAACCCAAAAGUGCCCUACGGAAAGGUACUUUCCGUAUUCAAUUUAACUGAAUACGGAAAGGUACUUUCCGUAUUAUAUUUUGAUGAAUACGGAAAGGUAUUUUCCGUAUUUAACUCUGACAGGAUUCCCCCUUUUUCCACCAUUACUCCUCCCUCACCAACUUUCACCAACCCCUCACCAGCCCCCCUGAACCUCCUCAAUGCCUCCAGACCACCCUCUCUCUCACCCUCUCCUACCUCACUUUCAUUCCCAAGCUCUCCACCACCAUCCACUCCUUCAUUUCCCAAGCUCUCCACCACUACAACAAGUGUUGUAGUAGAGGUAAGUCUAUGUGUUUAUUUGUUGUUAUUUUGUAGGAUUAAGUAGUGGAAGUAGUUAGAUUAAGUAGUUUAAGUAGUUAGAUUAAGUAGUUUAAGUAGUUAGAAGGAUGGGUUUUUGAAUUCUGAGUCGUGAUAUAAUACGGAUUGUUAUCUUCCGUAUUGAAUAUGGAAAGGUACUUUCCGUAUUCAGUAUGGAAAGUAACAAUCCGUAUUCGGUAUGGAAAGUAUAUUUCCGUAUUGAGUAUGGAAUGUAACUUUCCGUAUUCUCUUCCAGGGAUGACAGAUUCAUUUUUCUUUGGUGAGUCACAAUUGAUUGAAGCUGGAUUUCACAAUGGUCAACCUGAAGAGGCCACUACAGAGGUGCCACCACCAGCAUUUGUGCCCCCGUGUAUAAGUAUAGAUGUCUCGCAUUUAUUUGCAACUGAUCAGGUAUUCUUUGAACAUAUUUUUGCAUUGUUUUGAGAGUGUAAUAUAUCAAUUCUUAUUAUGUCUUGAUCACCCUUGUAAUCAAUUCUUAUUAUUAUAACAGAUUUUCCCUACCCGUGAUGAUCUUAUCAAUUGGGUUCAUGGAAUUGCGAUUGAAAAUGGAUAUGUUACGUUGAUCACAAAGUCAGAUUAUGGUGGGAAUGGAAGCAGAAAAGCUUAUGUCAUGUUGGGGUGCGAGAAGCAUGGUAAAUAUGUUCCUUAUAGAGACCCUGACCUUGUUGAAGGGACGAGAUCACAAAAGACAGGUUGUCCUUUUAGACUAAAAGGACGACCUAGGAAAAAUGGCAUAGAUAGAGAUUGGCGGCUAAAGGUGAUGGAAGGUAUACACAACCAUGAACCAGCUAGGUCACUACUUGGGCACAAUUUUGUUGGUCGUCUAAAACCCGGAGAGAAGGAGCAAGUGGGAAAAAUGACAAGGAGUUGGGUUCCACCGAGAAAGAUGUUGUUGACUUUGAAGGAAAACAAUCCUUCAAACUUGACUACCAUAUCUCAGAUUUAUGGUGUUUGCAAGAGGUUAAGAAAAUCCUUCCGCGGGGGAUUGACAGAAAUGCAACACUUGUUGAAGAAGUUGGACGGUGACAAGUAUGUCCACUUUGAAAGACAUGAGCCUGGAUCGGAAGUCAUUAGGGAUGUAUUUUGGGCUCAUCCAAAUGCUAUCAAACUGUUCAACACAUUUCCAUAUGUAGUGAUUAUGGAUUGCACAUACAAGACAAACAAAUAUGCAAUUCCCUUGCUUGAGAUUGUUGGACUGACUUCCACAGAUAAGACAUACUCCAUAGCCUUUUGCUACAUUGUUAAUGAGGGCACAGAUGACUACGUUUGGGCACUGGAGUGUAUGAAGUCUCUAUUAGCUGAUCAAGCCAUGUUGCCUAAGGUGAUUGUUACUGACAGGGAUCUUGCCUUAUUGAGUGCUGCUAAGCAAAGCCUUUCUAACACUACACAUUUAUUAUGCUUGUGGCACAUCAACAAGUGUGUUUUGGCAAAGUGCAAACUCUAUGUUGGCACAGAUGAUUUUGCUGAGUUGGUUAUGAUGAAGUGGGCAGAGGUGGUGGAUGCUGCAACAGUUGAAGAAUUUGAAGUGAAAUGGAUGCAAUUGUUUAAUAUGUGCAAGGCAAAAUACAGCAACUUUACCUCCUAUUGUUCUACUACAUGGUUGGUUCACAAGGAGAAAUUCGCCAAGGCAUGAACAAAUCAUGUGAUGCACUUUGGAACAACAACAAGUAACAGGUAAAAAAAUUACAUGAGCUUAAUUUAUGCGUUGUUUGUUCAUUUGAUAGAUUGUUGUUAAUAAGAUAUCUAUUUGUUGUUUGCAGGGCUGAGGGUGCACAUGCCAGUUUGAAGAAGAUGUUACGGGAUUGCAAGGGUGACCUGGCCACUUCAUGGGAUGCGUCGCAUAGUUUGACAUGUAAUCGACAUACUGAAAUAUUAGCAUCGUUUGAGCGCAGUAUUCACAGAAUUGAUCACAUUUUCAUGUUCCCAUUUUACACAAAUAUUAGAGGAUUUGUGUCAAACAAAUGCCUGCAGCUCAUCGACGAUGAACAUAUAAGAAUGAAGUCCUACGGCGGAUGCGAUUGCUUGUUGAGAGAGACUCAUGGACUACCUUGCGGUUGUGAACUUGCAGGUCACCGGUCAACCACUCUCUUGUCAAUUAGUUCUAUUUGUUAUUGAAAGUGACACUUUUGUGAACUUGCAGGUUAUGAAAGAAUUCCAUAUGAGUCAAUUCAUCCAUUCUGGAAGAGACUGAGUUGGGAGCAUGUAUCUGAACCUGUUGCAGAUACUACCAGCAACCAUAUUUGCGGCAUGAACCAUGGAGAUAUGCAACCAGAAGUUGAGGCAUUGACACAUUAUUUCAGUUCUUUGGAUACUGGAGGGCAGAGUAUGGUAAGGAGGAAGCUUCAAGCGAUCUAUUGUCCUGAAAGCAGUUCACUUUGUACUCCUGCGGUUAAGAUAAGGUCCAAGCGCACUCUUAAGGCGAAUGAGAAAAUACCACCUGAGAAUAAAGCAAUAGGAUCCUUGACUCGUGAUCUUUCAGGUUUUGAACAUGUUGAUAGGGAGAUCAGAGAGGCAAAGAAGGUUUCACAACCACCAAAGAAGAAGAAGCGUGUGAAGAAGUCUGAUACAAGCUAUUUCAUGGGUCAUUUUCCAGCCUUUUUCCACCCAUAUAUACAAACAGUUCAGAAUGUUGAGGAUGAUGGUAACUGUGGCUAUAGAGCCGUUGCUGCAUUACUCGGACUACCAUCAGGUGAGGAAAGUUGGUCAUGGGUUAGGGCAGCGUUGAUAGAAGAACUUGAACGACACAGAGGGUUGUAUGAUGAAAUGUGGUCCAGACAUGUGGUUAAUGCCUUACAUUCCCGACUCACUCUUCCUCCUGGUGAUCCGGCUACCGAGGAUAAAUGGAUGCAACUGCCAGAGAUGGGAUACCUUGUAGCAACCAGGUUCCAAGUGGUUUUCAUAUCCAUCUCCUCUACGGGUUGUUGGUCAUACCUUCCACUGAGAGGAGAAGGUCCACCGGAUGUACAUCCUGUUAUAGCUGUUGGUCAUGUGAUUAAUCACUUUGUACAGGUAUUUUUUGAUUGAGUACACUAAUAUCCAAUUGGUGAAUUGAUUUGUUGUAUUUGCAAGUUAUCUAAUUUUAUUGUUAUUCUCUAUAAUGUAGCUCCAUCUAACUCCUGGACAUUCUAUGCCGCCAAUUGCUCUCCAGUGGGAACGGUAUGUUGAUCCUACAUCAGUAAGCUGGUGCGCCCCAUAUGGUACACGUUUAGGAAGAUUCACAUCAGAAUAUGAAGCUUGGCUUGUUACUUUUGGUGUUCCUCUUAUUCACCAAAGCUAUGUAGACAUCACCUCAGAUUGACACCACACUUUUGUGUGAUAUUCAUUUGUAAACGCUCUGUAAUAUUAAUCUGAUGGGCCUUGCCUUUAUGAUGUUCAUUUGUUGCUUUUAAUAAUAUUAAUUUGAUGGUCAUUGUUAUAUUGAUGGGCCUUAUUAUUUUGAAUCAGCAUCAGGGAUAAUUAACAUAGACAACCACUCUGUCAUUAGAGUCCUGUCAUUUUCAUCCACCCCAUCAUCAGAGUCCUGUCAUUUACAACCACCCUACGGAUAAUGACGCGGUCAGAAAGGUACUCGUAGACCCAUCCUAGCAGGAGCGAGGUAAAACCUCCCAUCUGGGCUGUCCCCCUCCUGGACGCUUGACUAAGCUGGUCGUAUAGCGUAGCGAGCGCAAUCGCGCCCCACGCGUACUCGCACACUCGACCAAGAUCCUCCAACAUCCCUAUCCAGUAGACGGUCGUAUGGUAGCCUCCGCUCUUGCUAGCAAAGAGCGUGGCGCCUAGCUGGUUCACCAGCCAAAUCCGUGCAGCGUCCUCAUAUCGGUGCUCUACAAUGAAGUGAAUUAAGUUAAUAGUUUAUAACAAUACAAUAAUAAUAGAUACAAAGACAAUACAAUAAUAAUUAAGACAUACCCGCCAACGCAGCCUCAUACCGGGUCUGCAAGACCCCAAAGCGAAUAGUCUGGGACCUAUUCGUAUCAAACUCAGCCUCAUAAAUACCAACAGAUCCUCCCAUCAACUGAGCACAGAGCGCUGCACACUCGUCCCUCUCCCCCCUCCCAGGCGUAUAGAACCUCGACCCCAUGGGGAGAUGGAGAAGAGCCGACACGUCGUCCAAGGUGAUAGUCAUCUCCCCGAACGGCAUGUGGAAGCUACUAGUCUCCUCAUGCCAUCGCUCCACAAGGGCCAAAAUAAGGCCUGCAUCUGUCACCGGGUAGCUGCAAUAUGGUAGCUGAUGAAGACCCGUCUGCUCAAUCAACUCUCGAACCCGCCUGUGACUGUCUGAAUCACCAUCAUAAGCAAGGUUCCAAACCUUCCCCCCAGCUGUGGCCACCUUCAACUGUCGACGGUCCACAUACCGCUCGUCUGUGCGUAGGAGUGCAUGCCACGCCCAGGGAGCCUUGUGAUCAGCAUAAUAGGUGAGGAGCGAUAGCUCAACAGGCCCCCCCGGAAACGGCGGCAACCUCUGGAUCAGGUCCUCCUCGCCACCCUGUGCCCCCUGCUCCCCCUGCUCUGGCGGCAGGACAUCAUCAUCAACAGUAGGCGGAGGAAUACUAUCCUCGUCAGAUCCUCCCAUGCCGGAUGAGGCCUCGCCUGAUGACUCCUCGCCGGAAGACUCCUCGCCUGAGGACUCCUCGCCUGAGGACUCCUCGCCUGAGGACUCCUCGCCUGAUGACUCAACCAUGGGAGAGGGCGGAGAAACAACUGUAGGUAUCUCAACCGUGGGAGACGGCGGAUAAUCAACCAGAGGAACCUCAAUCAUGGGAGACGGCGGAGAAACAACUGGAGCUGAAGCCUCCACCGCCUGAGAGGUUGCAGCAUGAUCGCCGCGCCGGCUAGAAGCAUGUAACCGCCGGUGUCUAUCCUCAGUAGCCCCGACAUCCUCACUAGAAGCAUGAGACCUCUUUCUGUUCUUCAUUCUCACUAUAUAUUCAGAGCAAACAUUCACUAUAUAUACCAUUUCAGCCAUAGACAGAAACAUGAUGCAAGCAAAUGGAAAAUUCCUAGAAUUUUAUAAGUACAUAGAUGAUAAUCGGAUCUUCUGUGGAUUAUGCAUGCUUGGAUCAACUUUUAUUUUCCUAAUAAUCAAUUAUGGCAUCUAGAAACUACUCACAAAUGCUUUGGAAACCUUCUAUAAUUGAUUCUGAACCCAGAAUCAAUUAUAAGUGUUGGGUUUGGUUCUGAGAUGAAUACGGAAAACGUUUUUCCGUAUUCAAUACGGAAAACCAUGUUCCAUACUGAAUACGGAAAACCAUUUUCCAUAUUCAAUACGGAAACCUGUGAUCCGUAUUUACCCAGAAACGCCAUUAACGACAAUGAGCUAUCGGCCCUAAACCCAAACCACAUUCAAGACAUUUCAGCCAACAAUACCUCUACACAAGCAACAAUCAACUACCCUAGGGUUCAAUGAUUAACAUAAUUUCAAGUUAAAUGGGGAAAAUCCAAAAAUCCUUACCUCUAGGUUUCAAUUCUGAGAAUGGGGUUGUGAAGAGCUUUGAUGGAGAUGAUGGAACCUUUCAAGUACACGGUUCAAGCAAGGGGAGCGACAGAGAUCGAAGGUUGAAGAGGGGAGAAGAGCUUGGCAAAAUACGGAAAUGGGUUUGAAUAAACCCUUGCCGGUUUACAUACUAAUAUAAUACGGAUAUUAAACUUCCGUAUUCAAUACGGAAAUGUGUCUUCCGUAUUCUAUUAAAGGGGGGCGUUCCAGUAAUUUACCCACUUUAAGUGGAGCGGGGAGCCCCAUAGGGGGGCCCCAAACCCAACUCCCGCAAUAUCUCCAUUGUGAAUCUCAUUUAUCAUAAGUUUAUUAUUCCCUUCUCUACCAAGUUCCAAACGUUUAGAUUGAUUAAGUCUAACAAAACCCAGUUCGGAUCUUGCAGUGGCUACCAAAACCCAAGCGACUAUAGUGUGUGGGAAAGCAACAAAAGAAGGAGGAAAAGAGAGACAACAGGGCAGGGUAAAGAGAUGAUGAUGGGGAAGAGAAGAGAGAUGGAUCUACUGUGAACAUAUCUGCAUUUUUCAGAAAAAAGAAUGAGAAAUCAAAGCAUUGUUCCUAGUCUCCACAAAAUCUCAAACCCAGCAACUCCACACCACUCUUUCCAGUCUCCGCUGAUUCCCCACUCAAGCCCACCACCUCCACGGCCACAACAUCUUCUCUUCUCUUCUCCCACCCUCACCCAUAUUCAACCAAAGCCCCCAAACACCACCAAUCUGGAACCCUAACCUGCAAACCCAAAGGAAGAGAGAGAUGACAGAGCAACUCCAAAGUCCCCAAAUACCCUAACCUAGUGCGAAUCGAAGGGAAAAGGGGGUAGAUUCGGUGCAAAUCGACGUCCUCGUCCUCGUCCGCGCCACCGGCUCUCCUCCCUGCUUCCUUGGCCGCGCCGCCUCCGGCUCUUCUCCCUGCUUAUAUCUCUAUCGAUCUCUCUUUCUCUCUUUCUCUUUUUAAUGAUGGGUAUCGAAAUGAUAGGAAAUGGUUGUUGGGUUGUUGGGCUCGAAGGAGGCGGGGGUGGGUUUCUGGGUGGUGGUGGCUCGGUGGCUGGGUUUGGGUGGUGGUGCCUCGGUGGCUGGGGUUCAUGGUGGUCAGUGGUUGGGUUUGUUGAAGGUGAAGAAUAUGAACGAUUGAUUUGUGAUGAAGAUGAAAGAUUGAUUAAUUUAGGGUUGUAUUUGUUAAUUGGAUUUAAUUUUGUUAAUUGGAUUUAAUUUUCUGACUUGUAUUUUCUUUUCUCUUUUUUAUUCAUUUUUUAAAUCCACGUAAGCAUUUUUAUCCUAGUCAGCAUGCCCUUUCAGCACUCGCCGGAGAUCCGCUCCAAAAAAAAAUUCAAAAAUGAGGAUCAAAUGCAAAAAAAUUUCCGGGCAGGGACCUACAUCAGACGGCGAGACAAAGACAGGGACCAAUAUAACGCUUAACCCAUAAUUUUAAGUUCGAUUAAAUAACUAAAUUUAUAAUAAUUUUUUGUCUUUGACGAAUGUCAUCACUCAAGAAAUGUGUACAUGUCUCUUCCAACAAAUAUAUUUCUCGAAAUUUAAAUUUAUAAUAUUUUAAUUAUUAAUAUUGUUAUUUUUAACUCUUCAAAUAAAACAUAUCACGUAAAAUUGUAUCCAAAUUAAUAAAAAUCAUAAAUCAUAUAAAUGUUUAAGCUAAUAGAUGCGAGUGUAAAUCUUAAGUGAGUGAGAAUAAAAAUUAGAGUUUCUUUCAAAAAAAUAAAAAAUAGAGUUAAAUAUAUUUUUAGUCAGUGAAUUAUACACUCGAAUCUAAAGAGGUCAUUAAAAAAAUCUUUUUUUAUUCCUAUAAAUUUUGAUUUAAAAUAAUAAUUAUGACGUUAUAAAGCCUAUAUAUGUGUAGUAAAGUUUUUACUCAGACACUACUCACCAUGUGAAGUUUUCACAUUUGUUUUAGUCCCUAAAAUAUUUAUAAAUAAAAAAAAUAGUAUUUCCCCUCUUUCUCCCUCCUCCAUGAAUGAAAUCACUCUCUUUCUCCACCAUGCCAAACCACCCCCACCACCAAGCCUCUAUAAAUUAUGCUUGGUGGUGGUUGGCGUGGAGGGACAGAGGGACAUUAGAGAAUAACUAAGUUUGAUUAAAGAAAUUUUUAAGGGAUAUAACAGAUGUGAAAAGUUCAUGUGGAAAUUUAUGUGGGCUAGUGAUUGGAUAAAAAAUUGUCAUAUAAAUUUUAUGACCUCAUAAAUAUUUUUUAGUGCAUCAGAAAACUAAACAAACAAGCAAAAACUACACCCUAAAGCAUCUUGAAGAUUAACGGGACAACCCCGAUCAAGAGAAUCAUCAAGAAUAGUGAGCACACUGAGAAGUAGCACCCAUCUCCGCCAGGCAAUCAACAGGACCAUUUGCUUCUCGAGUGAUAUGUCUACGGAGAACUCUCAAUUGGCGAACACCCGCAAACUCACGAGCAUGAACAUGUUGCUCGUACCGAUCAUCCCUAAGAGCCUCCACACACUUCAAACAGACUAUCUCGCAAAGAACCUUCCAAGCAUCCAUGUUCCAAAGAAACUCGAGUCAAACUUAAGUGCACGAACCUCAGCACAAAUAUAAUAAGCUCUCCUCUAUUCUGACCAGCAUAGAAACCCCAACGCCAAGCUCCAUUUGAGUCACGAACCAUACCCCAUCCCCAUUAGAUAAAGAUUAUGCUUGAAAAGGCCAUCAACUGAGAGAUACAAAACCCGUGAAGGGUCCAAGACCUCCUCGAACCAGCUACAUCAUCAUCAUGGGACUUAUCCAUGGCCAACCAACACAAGUGAUAAGUUAGAAACUAAAAGAUAUAUAACCCAUAAAAAUACUUAAAAUAUUAUUCAUAUCAAGAUGAGAUGAGCAAAAAAAUUGAAAAUAUGGUAAAAUUGAGGGGCCAAUUGGUAAAAGAAAAAACAACCGACUUAUGCUGAAUAUAAAGUUCAAACAAACAGAGCAAGAGAGAAAGAAAGACAGAGAGAGAGAGAGUCACAGAAAGCAUUGUCCAACACGAUACGACCGAUUCAAACCCCUCUCUCUCUCUCUAACCUCUCCCUCUGCUCCUCCUCCGUUUAAUCUCGUACCUUGUUCGAGUUAUAUACACUGUUCUCUCUUUGAUUUGAGGUCAGGAUUAUGUCUUGUUUUGUGUCUAUCAUUUUUUUCAUUUUUUUUCGAAAUUUUAUUGCCCUUUUACCUCUAUCACCUUUAACACCGUCUUCUUCUUCUUGUUGUUGCAGGGAACAGUAUACAACUUUCACGAUCGGUGAACCUAACCACCAAGGUGAGGGUUUCCAUUUCACGUUUCUGUUGUGUUUUUUUUUUUGUUCAAUUUUUCUACAGCAACGGGUUUUUAUUGGAACUUCUAAUUGCUUUCUGAUUGCUCCCAAUUCUUAAAUUUGUAUAAAAAAAUUGUUUUUUUGGUGUCAAAAUUCGAUUUUUUUGGUGGGGUUUUGGGUAGCUUGUGGUAUGUGUUCAUGUGUUGUGUGAAUCAGUUGAUGGGGGUGUUCAAACUUGUGUUUUUCUUGCUUCCCUUGUCCAUUUUCAACUUGGUUGAUCUUAGUUGUGCAUUGGAAGUGGAACUGUUCUGUGUGAGUUUGGUGAUGCUAUGAUUGUUUAGUUGGGCUUUGUUUGCAUGCUUGAAUCACUGAUGACUAUUGAUUGUGUUGAUGCAUUUGUUGGGAUUUAGUUUCUGUAUGUGCUAUUGUGCUUGUCCUGUGUCCAUUUAGAGGGUUUUGGAGCUUGGUGUUCUUUGUUUUUUCAUAUGAUAUGAUAGCACUAUAUUGGAAGAUAGUGUCUGAGGGAGAAGAUUUUCUGUCAGUUAUUUGUUAAUCAUUCUAAACAUUGAGGUGCCUGUUAUGAUGUCUAAAAGGCUUGGUAAACCAAGGUUUUAAAUUGCGGUCGACGCAACAGUCGCGUCAGGUUGCUUUGCGGUCAUUUGUAUUGAGGAAAUUAUGAAUACACAUGGUUGUUGUGGCUGAAAUCACGGUCUGGUUUCAGUCCAAAACCUUUGCAGACCUUCAUUUAAAACCAUGGCAUUCACUGAUGUUUUUUCAUGGAGUUUCUGUGGUGUUAAGCUGCUAGUCCUUAAGAACCGGCAACAACAAUCCUUAAUUUUUGCAAGUAUUUGAGAUGUUUGUAGUUUGUCAUGUUUUUCUUUUCAGAAUGGUUUUUUCUUUGUGUCUGGGUAUAUUUUUCAGGGUCCUAGGAGUUAUGGGUAGAGGGAGACCUGGAAAAACUAUUGAAUUACCAAAUCAUGAAGAGGGGGGUUUAGAGGGAAAUCUAUCUAUGAACUUAAUAAACAUGAUAGAGCAUUGUGGCAUAGUCUGAUCCUUGAAUUCAAUGACACCUAGGUGGAAAAAGGAUGAUGAAAAAAAUGUGAAGAUAUUUUUCUUAGAUCAUGUGGUGCCUUGCUUGCAGGUGGUCAAGAGUAAUGGAAUCUCAUGAUGAGACAGGAUGCCAGGCUCCAGAGCGUCCUAUUCUCUGCGUCAAUAAUUGUGGUUUCUUUGGAAGGGCGGCUACCAUGAACAUGUGUUCCAAGUGUUACAAGGACAUGCUAUUGAAGCAGGAGCAGGACAAGCUUGCAGCAACAUCGGUUGAAAAUAUUGUGAACAGCUGUUCCAAUGGCAAUGGAAAGCAGGCCAUCACUGCAGAUGCUGUUAAUGUACGAGUUGAACCUGUGGAGGUCAAGGCAGUCACUGCUCAGAUUUCUGCGGAUUCAUCCUCCGGUGAGAGCUUGGAGGUGAAAGCCAAGACUGGUCCCAGCAGAUGUGGCACUUGCCGGAAACGUGUUGGGUUAACUGGUUUCAGCUGCAAAUGUGGCAAUGUCUUCUGCGCAAUGCAUCGCUAUUCGGAUAAACAUGAUUGCCCUUUUGAUUAUAGGGCUGUUGGUCAGGAGGCCAUAGCGAAAGCCAACCCGGUCAUUAAGGCAGAUAAGCUUGAUAAAAUCUAGGCAUACACUAGACUGAAGGUUAAUGUAUGAAUCUGAUGCUUACUGCCUGGGUUUUUAGGUGUCCUUUAGCUAUCAAAAAUGGGAUAUUUUCAUGAUUCCAAGGACAUCUUUAGGGGAAAUCAUUCCUGUGUUUGUGAUGGUCUGAUGGACUUUGGCUCAUUCUGUAAUUUGAUUUCCUGCUUGGUCUGCAUUUCUUUUUACCUCUCAUUGCUUGGAAGUUAUUUCCUAGAUUGUCUUGUGUGAGACCUUGCUUUUAAAUUGUUCAUGUUUAUAUAGAUUUUUCAUGCACAAAAUAUGUGCAGUAAGUUUGAAGUUGCUAGCGGGACUUUUGAUUAUUUAUAUAAUUCCAAGGGUAUUAUGACUGCGCAAUAAAGCGAUAUGAACAAGAGAAGUAGAGAACAGUUGUGUGGAUCAAUCAGAUUGCAUACAAAUUUUUGCAAGAAUUUGGUGUGAUACUGCAUUGAUCCAAAGGCCAGAGGUAAACAAGGUCUGUUGGUUAAAGCAUACAUCACUUGAUAUGUCUGAUGUUAAACUCAAAGUGGAUUUGCUUUAAUUAUUCUUUGGUUGUUAGGUGGCUUUGCUUACUUUCCUUUUAGUAUCAUUAUCUUUGUCAUUUAGGUCUAUUGGUGAGUCGCAUGAUUGUUCUAAUCAGUUCAUGUUAAUGGUGUGGCAAGUGGAAAAAUAAACAUUAGGUGGAUGUAUUAUAGCACAAUUACCAAAGGGUUUUACGCAAUUGCGGGUGUAAGUGAAUAAAUCUACUCAGGUAAUUUAGAGGGUGCAUGCCUGAAGAUUCCUUCCCGUGUAGUUACAUUUGGUGGUUCUAGUGUCUAAUAUGGUGAAAUGAUUAUCAGAUUAAGGCGUUUCUACCUUUGCUUCUCCUGCUUGGGACUUGCUUGUAGAGAGGGAUUUAGGCUGUAUUAAAUAUUUGAUAGUGAGAGUUUUGUCGUCAGUUUUUCAUAAUCAAUGGUUUAAAAUCAGUUAACCUUAUUGAACCAAGAACUGAUCAAUUUUGGUGGGAAAAUAGUGUAUAUAUGCAAUGUGAGUGAUACAGAUCGUUCAAUCUAUUACAAGGUCAUAUACAUAGGUAAAAUAUUCCCAUCAUUUUUUGUCUUCUUUCCAGUAUGUUCUUCUAUUUGGCUUUGCGGAUGCACCAAACCGUUCCAAACUUGCAAUGUAGACUAGCAAUGUCACCUUUUCCGAAUGUCGUUUUGAUAUUUGCCCUCUCGUUCUUCCUCACAAGCCAUUUGCAAACAAUGUGUUCUAGCCCUCUAUUAGUAUUUGCUGAGCUGUGUACCAUGUUUUGUUUACAUGUAUGUGUUAUUUAUUUUUCUAUCUCAAACACUCAUGUGAAAUUAAAACCAAUAGUGCUAUGGCUGUCUCCAUGAAUGGGCUUUCCUUCACGGGCUCCUCCUCUCAUGAUCUAGUGCAACGCUAAUCCCGACUCUAGGGUCCAAAGGGUAAGGGUCCAAAGGGUAAGCUCAAUCGACGGAGACCAACGGGUCCGGAUCCUUUCCCGUGAAUCUACAAUUUUUCUACAGUAGACAUUUGUAGCGGUUUAUAACCACCAAAAAAAUGUUGCCAGCUCCCACAAAAUGUUGCUGCAAAAAAAUUGACAACAUUUGUGGCGGCUGAGACCACCACAAAUGUCCACUGGAGAAAAAUUGAGAGAAGUCCACUAGAGAGGAUGUCAGCCCGAGACCAACACAUUUAGGAAGCUUUGCGAAUCACUAACCCUAGAUUUCUCGUAGACUGUGUUUGGAUGAGAAAAUUCAAAAAAUAAAAGAAUUCUAAAUAUAUUUACAAUUUUCAUAAUUUAAAAUUAUAAAAGUUGUCACUUUUAAAACAAAUGUUGUACAGUAAAGUAUCAAGUUCAUACUAUUCCUCCUUUUUUUAUUAUAGACAAAUGUUAGUUGUUAGAAAUGUUAGUAAAUUAAUCCCUCCUCCGGGUUUGAAUCUGGGACCUUUCACCCUUCAUCCCACCCAACCCUUAUGUCUCUAACUUUUACCACUUGAGCUAUCCUUCGGGGACAGAACUCCUCCUAAUUUGGAAGAAUUUAGGUCUAUGAUGGUCGAGACAAUAGUAUAAAUUUUGAAGUCUAUAAGUAAAAAAUAGUUCGGUGUGUUUGGUUGAGAGGAAAGGAUGACAUGGAUUUUAAUGGAGGUUGCGAGAGGGAAAGGGAAGACGGAAGAGAUUUUAAUGUUAUCGUGUUCGAUUAAGAGGAGGGAAGGAGAGACAACUCUUUUUUUGAGGGGGCUAAGAUUUUAAAGCAUAUUUACUUUUAUUGCCCUCACAAACCCUAUUUUGUUUGCUCAUAUAGCCCCAUGUGAUGUCUUCUUCUGUCCACCACUAGUGUUUUAGACCGAGAAGUAGAGAGGGGAUGAAAAUUUGAGAAGGCAUAGGCCAAGGAAAAUGGUGCAAAUCAGAAGGCAUAAGCCAAGGAAAUUCCACGGCCAAGGAUAUUCGUAGGAGGGAGAGAUUGAUUGCAAAGGGAGACACAUUUUUUUCUCCAACAAAAUGUUUAUACAUCUUCAACCCUAACAAAACACGAUAUAUUUGUGCAAGUCAAUCUUGAUUUUGGAAGUUACUGAAAAAAAAACAUUAAAUAUGUACACAAUUUGUUUUUGUUACAAAGAUUCCUUUGUUAAUAGCAAUCAUAGACUGUAAACAUAACUGGAUAGUAAAGAGUAGUCCAUAAGACUAUUUAAAAACAAAAUAUGACAUUCAUUCGCAUAAAACCUUGUGAUUGCAUAACCUCACUGAAAAGAAAGAGUUUAAUACAUCAAAAUCCUACUACAAACCAACUAGUCCUGCUUACUACUAGCAGCUCUUGCACGAUGUCUUAGUUCGGCUCGUUUCCAUUUAACAAUCAAGUAACAUAAGGAGAAGAGUGUGUUUACCUGCAAAAAGAGGCAAGAUACUAUAAGUCAAUAUUCAAUAUGAAAAUACCAGCACAAAAAUGGUUGUGACAGAAAAUACUGACCAAGAUUAUCAUAGCAAUGACAAGAAGUGGUCCAGACCAAAGAACUGACAUGAAUAAUCCACUUGGAUCAAAAUAGUUUUGAGCAGCGAAGCUUUUCCAGUUUUUUCCCAUGACACUAUUAAGCCUCUCGGCAAGAUACACACCAAUCACUGCACCAAAAGUAUUACGAGGUAAGACAAGCUACAUUAAUAGCAUCUGCAAAUUGAAUGAUAUUCGUACGAAAUAGAAAAUCAGGAGUGACAAAACUUCAGAAAAAGUGGAUAUUAGUGAUAAUGCUGAACUGAGAAACAAAAUGCACAGAAAAAUGUACCAGAUUUCAUCAAAGUUCAACAACUCUACAUAGUCUUCAUGAAUUGUCAACAAUUGCCAUAUAACUGGAAGUAAAGUUUUUACCUUGGAUUUAUAGCUUGUGCAAUUAAAUUCUAAUUCAAGAGAAUGUCCACCCCUAAUUUUAUCUCAAUAUUUUACAUUUUAAGCUCAAAUAUCUAUCUAUAAUUGUAAUUCCAUACCUAAUUAAGGACAGCUACUUGCUGUAGAAUUUUAUAGCAUGCACCCAUGCGAUUAUUUAAUAGAGAUGGAUCAGACAUAGGGAGAACAACCUUUGUUGUAGAAAAAGUCCCCCUGACCAAUAUCAGUGCGAUACAAGUUCUGAUACCAAGAAUGUAUAAUGGAAAUGUAUCUCUUCUGUACACCAAGGUAUUCAGAGAUUUGGAUUCCCACUCCAAAAUCCCAGACCCUCUUCUAUACGUUUCUUCUUCAUAUUAUUAUACCCUGUCAUUUCUCACUUCCUAACAAUAACCGCCCACCCACCGGCGCCCCAAAACCUUAUCCUCAAGAUGAAGGUUUUGUAAAAAUAAGGACCAAUACAUUGGCCUUCAGUGAUUCCCAAAUCAAACAGCAAACAACAAUCAACAAAGGUUAUAGACUAGUACUAAACUAAGGCCCCGUUUGGAAGAGCUUAUCUUAAGGCAUAAGCAUUUAUGCAAGUGUUUGGAGAGCUUACCUAUAAGUUGUUUUGAGUUUAUUUUCAUAAGUCGCUCCGAUUACCUAAUGAAUAAGAGCUUAUAUUUACAUGUGACUUAUUUUAAGCUUAUUUCAAUAAUUUCUCAAAUUAGCUCAUGAAUAAGCGCUAGUUGCCAUCAUAGUAGUCAAUCCCAGAUCGCGGCGCGUAGCGGCCGACCCCAAAAGUGGGAUAGCGGGAUAGCGGAUAGCAGGAUGACCGCUAUUUUGAUUUUUCACAUAUAAUAUUAUAUAAUUAAUAUAUACAUAUAAUUACUAAAAAGUGAUAAAUAUAACUUCAAAAUUCAAAUUCAUAACAUGAUGAAGUGAUAGAGAAGAGAGGACUACUAGAGGAGAAGAACUGGAGAAGUAUUUUUGAGAACAGAAUAAUAAAUAAGAAGGAAAAGAAAGCAAAGAAAAAUAGAGGAAUAGAAGAUAAAAAACAGAGCAACUCAGAACAGAACAAAGGCCCAAGAGAAACAGGGGUGGUGGUCGCCGGAGCCUGGACGGUGCUUGUCAGAUUGCGUCGUGGCCGGUUCUGGACUUCUGGUCGAAGGGGCUGAGCUGAAGGAACGACACCGGAGAUUGCAGAGGAAACGCGUAUGAAGAAGAAGAAACGCGCUGAAGAAGAAGAAGAAGAAACGCGUUGAAGAAGAUGAGUGAAACGCACCGUUUCACUUAUUAAGAGCGAAAUCCCAAAAGUACCCUCAAAUUUUAACCUAAUUUUAAAAUUUUGAGGGCAAUUUGGGGAUUUUCAUUGGACCCGACCCAUCUUCAACCUGGAGCACCGCGAUUUGCUGCGAUUGGACGCAAUUUGGCCGCGAUUCGCGGCGCGACAGCCGCGACGGCGUUCCGCAACGCGAUCGAUUCAGAAUCGCGGGGAAGGGCCGCGACGCGCCGCGACGGCGCGAUAGCGCCGCUAUUUGCCGCGAUUGACUACUAUGGUUGCCAUAGGUGCUUAAUUAAGUUGUUUACCUGAACAGGGGGCUUGAGUAAGGAGAGGGCCAAGGGGGACAGAGAGAGGCAAAAAAGGGAAUCAAUAAACUGAGCACAUUACUACCUACGUUCCAGCAUCCUGAAUGUUCUGAGCUUGAAUUUUCAAUUUGUGGAUUAAAAGGGCAUUUCUAUCUCAGUUGCCUGAUCACUGGUUAAGAUCAUGACAUGAACAUUCUCAUUCCAAAGAAGCCUUAACAUAAAUGAUAUGAAGAAUUUUGCAGUAAUCAAAAUAUAUCACUAUGCAAAAGAAUAUUUAGUUCCAAUGAAUGAGCCAAUAUGACUGGACUUUCACCCUCUUAUGACAAUUUUAGGUAUCUUUUCAAUCAUAAAUGCAUGACCAGAUAAAAGGACUAGCAUGUGUGAAGCUUAAAGCCAAACAGAGUAGAAUGCAGAAUUUCUCUCAAUUUCACAUUAUCUCAAAGCAGCAUUAGAAUUUUGCAGUCAUCAAAGUUUUUCAUUAUACAAAAGGAUAUAGUUUCCAUGAGCUAACAUGACUGGAUUUUCACUCUUUUAUGACAAUUUUAGGAAUCUUUUCAAUCAUAAAUUCUUGACAAGAUAAAGGGCUGGCACGAGUGAAGCUUUUAGCCAAACAGAAUAGAGAGCAGAAUUUCUCUCAAUUUCACAUUAUCUCAAUGCAGCAUUUCAUUCUAGGAAGAAAAACAAAAGCAAGGCUACUAAGUUUAUUAUAAAGGAGGAUAGCAACAACUUCAAACAUGAAUGAAGUAUGUCAAAAGUAUUAGAGAAGACUAUUCAAGCAAUAUAGUUAUUUAAAAAAAAAAAAACACUUCAUAACAUAUAGAAGGAAUGCUACAUACAUGUUAAAAGGAACAGGCACAUUUGGAAGUUGGUAUUCUUCCUAGAUAUGACAGUCACAAGCAGCAAAACAGCAUGGAAUGUUAACAAUCCUAUUAGAAAAGGUUCCUGAAACAAAAAAUCAAGGCAAUAUUAGUAACUCCAAAGGAUGCAAAUAAUAAGAAAGUUCAGAAAAGGACAAAAUGAUCAAGAUUGAAAAAUAUAUGAACAGAAAACACCAGAAGCAAUAUGAUUCAGAAAAACAUAAUAUUUAUCCAUAAGUAUAUAGUACACCAAAAAACAUAGCAUAUAAAUGGAAAGUUGAAGAGGAUAAUAUUCAUGUCAAAAACCUAAGUUCUCUUCCUGUGAUCCUAUUCCAUUAUAUUGACAAGAAAAAUCGCAUCAUAUUGUUAUAACCUUUGAUACCCCUACUAGAUCCACAGGUUUCCUGUGCACAACAUUGUCAAGGACCAAAUGCUUAAAACAAUCAGCACCCUCAUGGAAAGAAAGUCUUCAAACACCAAAUUGCAAACCAACCAAUAACUCAUCCAAGCAUUUUCUAUUCACCACAUGCAAAGGAAACAACAAAUUUGAACUUCCUUAUCCAUAAAAGAUCAUCACCAAUGCUCAUUCCACUAUUCGAACAUCACCGAAAAACAAAAUCUAAAAUUACAUUUCAUAUGAUUAUAUCACCCUUCAACUGAGACCUUUCUGCUCCAAUCCCCAACAUCAAAUCCAACAAAAUGGCGUUACACACAGAACAAACAACAACUGAACAUCCCACAAGUCACAAAUUUCAACAACAGGAAAACACAAAGGUUAAAAAUAACACCACAUUUUGCACUUCAAGUUGGUUUCCACUUGAUUUCUCCAUCACCCAAAUAGAACCAAAAAAAAGGAAAAUUGAAAACAACCCAUUAUUCAAGGACCCAAAAAAAGAAAUGGGUCAAGGAAAAAAAAAGCAGAAGGGGUACCUUCCAAUCAAUGGCAUGGAAAAACCCAAUGAAGUUAUCGUAAGCGGGACGAAGACCAGAACGAAGCUCUGAAGAUAACUUCUGAACAAGAUCUGCCAUGAGAUCCAUGUGCUCAUCCAAUGCUGAUUUCAACUCGUCCAUGGUGAUUGACACGAAAUGCACGAGAUUCAAAUCAACUGAGUCGACUCGUCUUGAAGAAUCUUCUGCAACACUCUUAUCAGUUUUCUUCAGACUUCAACCUUCUUAUUCCGGUUCGUUUGAUCCGACCGGGUUUAAUUUUUUGAACCGGUAUUUAUGCGUUGUUAGUUUUGGUUGGGCGAAGCCCAUCCAUUGAUUACAAAAUGGGUACCGAAGCCCAUUAAAAUGAAACUAUAAUAUUGGCCAAUCUUCAUGAUUAUUGUCAAUUGUGAACGUGACGCGAAGCAUUAGAGAAUUACUCACUCAAUUCCAAAAUUAUUGUUGUUUAAGGUUAUACACAUAAUUUAAUAAUUGAUGUUAUAGUUUGACCGAAAUGUCUGUUUUUAAUGUUGAGUUGUAUUAAAGAGAGAGAAUGAUAACUAUUGGUUAACUUAUUGGUAAUAAUUGUGAUAGGUAAAAAUAUGAGGUGAUAGUUUAAAGAUUUUUUUAAAUAAAGGCAUGAAUGGAAGAAAAUGAGAUUCAAAUGCUUUGAAAUCGUAAAACAACAAUAGUUUUAGAAUAAAACAUAAAAGUUUAAACAACAAUAGUUUUGGAACGGAGAGGGUACCAAAUCAGAAGUGAGACAUUAAUAUGUAAGAAAACGAUUUGAUGCUCAUUUAUUAGAUUAUUAUGUGUAGGGGUGCCAAUUUGAGAUAGUUUUGUACUCUACCUAAGUUAGAUUUGUUUCUGGCCUAACAUCUUGAUCUCCUUGGGUCACUCUAGCUAUGAUAAAGUGUGAACAAAUUUGUUCCUGCUACAAAUACAAAUCCUAAUUUUACAAAUAAACAUAAUUUUGUUUAGUUUUGGUGUCCAUGAAAACCAUGGUUUCAAAGUGCAUGCAUAGGUUUGAUGGCUGUUUGAUGCCUUUGAGUAGGGGUGAACAUGGGCCGGGUAAAUCCAAUGAACCCGCCCAACCCAAUCCGAUCCAAUAGAAAAAAUGCGGGUUGGAUCGGACAAUCGGGUUAGUCGUAUGGAUUUUACUACAAACCAACCAAAUUCGGAUCGGAUUUCGGAUUCAGUUCAAAUUCAUCCAACCCAACCCAGAAUCCAUACAUAUAAUAAUAAUUUUUAUAAUUUUACUCAUACUUGGAGUGCUAGUGUCGGAGUGAUGACUUUUUGAAACUUUGAGACUUAAGUAUUUGUAGUUAUUUGUCAUAUUUGAACUUAGAGUAUUUGUUCGUAGUUAAUUGUUACAUGUUUAUACAUAGUUAUUUGGCAUGUUGGAGAAAUCUAAGUUCUAAGUGUCAUGACAUGACAUUUAGUGUUGUUUUUCACUUUUUAGAUACUAUUUAUUAGAUUGUUUCAUGUCAUUUGGUAAUGAAGUUUUAUAUUUUCAUGAUAUUUGGCUAUAUGUCAUUUAUGUGGUAUUAUUUCUAUAACUUUUUGUGUCUUUUUCAUGCUAUUUAGUAUUAUAACAUAUUUAGUAUUUUUUAUAACUUUUUUCUGAAUUUAUAAUAAUUUUUACAAUAUUUUUUAAUAUUUCAGAUAUAUUAUUAUUUUAAUAUAGUGACCCAAUAAAUCCAUCCAAUCCAAUCCAAACUUCGUUGGGUUGGUUCGGAUCGGGUCCGAAGAAGAAAUUUGUCAAAUCCAACUCAACCCAACCCAGACAAUUUUGAUCUGUUCAAAUUUUAUUUUGACCAAAAUCCAUCCAACUCAGCCCAUGUGCACCUCAACCUUUACCUUUGUCUGCCAAUGCCAUGAUCGAUGCUCUCAUUUCACACCUAAAGAAAUAUACAUUUCUCUUUACUCUCUUUCAAUUAUUCUUCAGCAAUCUUCAUAAGUACUACAAUAGAUAUUUGUAUUAAUAUAUGAUUGACUUUAUCAACAAUAAUCAAACAUUAUGAUUGUUUGUAGGAUGAAAGAGUAAAAAGAGGGCCUCACUUUCUUGUAUUUCUUUUCGGGCCCUGAUCAUGUCACAUUGAAAUUGAUCAUUUUUGUAGUAUUAGGUAAAUAAUUUCGUGGUGACAUGGCCUAAUUAGCUAGGGGUUGGUGCCAUGCAAAGUCAAAAGGAGUUGAUUGGACACUGCAACCUAAUUAUCAAUGCCAAAAAGAGUGUAACUCUUUCAUUUGUCUUUUUCUCCCCCACCCUUGUUUCCUUUUUUCCUUUCUUCAUAUUCCUUUUUCUUGAGAUUCUACAGAGUGCUCCAGUAUUAUACUCUAACAAGAAGAAUCUAUAGGAUUUCUGUUGCAGCUGGACGCUUUCACUGGUAAUUUUAUUUUGGCCCUAAGGGGAAGCUGGUCCUCACUCUUCAAUUAGAUUUUUCUUCUUUCCCUUUCCACCCUUUUAUCCCCUUUUCAGAAUAUUGCUGCAAUGUUUAGCAGUAAUGGUUGUUGUCCUUCACCUCAGACGCCUGAACACUUUUACAGCAUAAGCUCAAAUAGCGGUACUAUAUAUUACAAAUGUACAUAUUUUUAAAUUUUCUUUAAACUCAAUUAAUUUAACAUUUGAGUUAACAUGAUAAAAUUUUACUUAUUCAAUUGUGAUGCAUCAAAAUAUGUGUUUUCUAGUUUGUCUUGAUGCAAACAGUAAUAAAAACUAAAGACAACUAAGAAGAAAUCCCUUUUUUGAUGAAUAAAAGUUUGAGUUGGUUCACUCUGAUUAUCAUCACAAAGUACUAUCACUGACUAAGACCAUCUACAAUGGUUUGUUUAGUUUACCUCAUCUUAACACCACUUUUUCUCUUCCCAACACUCCACAUCAUCUUCACUCUCCAAUUCAACAAACUCUCAACAAUUACCACCUCUAAUGGUUUUCAUUCAACUCCCUACCCCACCACUCACCCUAACCCACCACUUUUUUAUUUCAUAUUUUUAUUUAAUUAUAUUUUUAUUAUUUACAUAAAAUUAUAAUUAUUAUUUUAAAUUAAAUUAAAGCAAUAAACACUUAACAAUUUAAUUUUUUUUUCUGUGUCAAAAUCAAACGAAUCAAGUCUCUAUUUAUAGAGAAAAAAAAUCAUGAAUUUUGGUAUAAAUUUUUUUUUCAGAAAAUUUUUUUAUUGAUGAAAUAAUUGAGUUCAAAAGAUAAGGGUAAAAUAAAUCCGGCGACCCAAUCAGAUCCUAACACGUGGCAGUCCAAGGAAAUCCGUCAAAUUCUCUCUCCUUAUCCCAGGCGCGUCACGCGCCUUGUCCCCGCGUGCAGGUCAUGCGCCUGUCGGUGCCCAACCGGAGCGCGCCACGUGGCGUCCGGCAGGCCUCUCAACAUUGUUGAGCUUCCUCAACAUUUCUCCCCUCCCUCUCUCCUCCACAUCACCAUCAACAUUCUUCAACAACCACUACAAGGUUUAAACAAUCAUCAACACAAAUUUUCAACAAACAUUCAACAACCAUUGUAAGUGGUCUAAGGCAUGUUCUUGAAAUCAUAAGUAGUACGGGAAAACAACAUUCUGAAUGAAGUGGUGAAGAAAUCCCUAAUCGAAUCUACAUCGGUACCGUUUUAAGCGAAAGUAUAUAUAUAUAUAUAUAUAUAUAUAUAUAUAUAUAUAUUUUUUUUUUUCUUUGUACAUCAGAAAAAUAAAUUACAAUCGUCAGGAAUCGAUUCCUGAAUCUCCCUCUACCCAACCCAUAUAUCCCCUAACUCCUACCACUUGAGCUAUUUUACGGGGACAAUGCGAAAGUAUAUACUUGGUUAACUAAAUAAGGUGCCCACUAGGGUGGACAAGUUUCAAACUGGUCCACCGGUGGACCAUUAUCAUAUGCCGUUAGAUUUGAGAAUCUUAGAAUAUUCUUUUAUUAGAUGGUUAGGAUUUAAUGGAUGAUAAAAGAGCAAUAGGGUAAAUAGACCCCUCUUCUUCCCCCUUUCUCACUGGUCUGCUCUCCGUCACAACCACCACCUUUCGCCGGAGCCUCAGCCCAUACUCCACCUCCUCCCCCGCAAGCCCGACCCCGAUGUGGCCGCCUCCGCCUCCGGGCGCCUCCGAUGGCUUCAUAGUUGCAGAUCAGAAAACAACGAGCAACACAAACACUAACAACAGUGGAUCUGCAAUGAGGCUUCAAUAGUUAGCAGCAAUUUUGGCUGGGUUUCUCAACAGAGUGGUGUUCUGGUUCAAUUUGGGUUUGUGGUCAAGAAGCUUCGUUCGUGGUAGCAUGGGGGGUUCCAGAGGUGGAACGAGGUUCAUGUUUGCUUCAGGGCAGUUUGGGAUUGCAAUGGGGCUAUUAGGGAUUUGUGGUGUUUUUGGUUUUCUUGCUGUUGUUUUUCGGAGAAUUUGAAGUUAUUGUCCAGAUUCAGAAGUUCCAGGUUCUCUAGCUUGAAUAUAGAGCCUGGGAUUUCACCUCUAAGAUUAUUCCCUUGAAGGUCCAAGUAAGCUAAAUUGGUAAGGUUCCAAGAUGGAAAUUGAGUUUCAUUUGCUACCCAGAUAUUAAUUUUUGUUGUAAUUCUCAGAAUUGGACUAAAGUUUGUUUCUUUAUGUUGAAUUGAUUUGUUUUCCUCAUUUUCUUACUCACCCUGUUGAAAAGUGCCGAACUUGAAAAAGGGUUUUGGUUCACUGAAUGCCAGUAUUAUUAGUUUAGAUGCUAAUUUUUAGGUUUGGAACAGUUUAAUUUGUCAAUAUUAUCUGCAUAUUCUUGUGUGUCUAUGAUUGAAAAUUCCUUUAGUUCUGAAUUUCUUAGAGUUGAUGCUGUUUGUAGAAUAUAGAGAAUGCAAGAAGCUAAGAAUAAAUUAUGAGUCUGUCACGCAAAGAUAUAGGUAACUGUGGGGAUGGUAGUAGCAUCAAUGAAUCUCGUGCAGCUGGAGAAGGGACAAGUGAUCUUGAUCAUGAAAUUGCACAGUUGAUAAAAUUUGGGUCAAGUCAUCAUGAGCAUUUGGGUCCUGUUGGUACUGGUAGGAUGAAGCUACCUGAUGAAUUUCUUAACCCUCUCUCCAGUUGUGUGAGCUUUGUCAAAGAUGCAGAGAUGUCUUCUCUAAAAUUGUUGUAUCUAAGGUAUGUGUGAGAUUUUCAAGUGAAGAAGGAAUAGACCCAGAAAAAUUGCAACUUGAAACUGAUAGCCAUUUUGGUUAUUAGGGUCUAUGGUUCAGGUUGAGAUGGAGUUGUGGGUUGGAGUUGGGGGAAACAGAGGUGUUGAGGUGGGGAGGGGUUUGAGGUGGUGGCCUCUGCUUAGGGAAGCUGAAAGAGUUAGGAUUGAGAAGAGAGGUUUUUUUUUAUAAUUUAUUCUUUUUAUAUAUUUUUAUUUGUAAAUUACUAUUAUGACCCUUGGUCCACCGGUGAACCAAUUUGAAACUUGUCCACCCUAAUGGGCAUCCCUAAAUAAAUUAGGGAUCAAAUUAAAAUGACAUUACUACUAAAGUAACUAAACAAUAGCUGUUAGUUUUUUACUUUCAAAAAAAAAUUGCUAUUAGCUCAAGAAUUGAUUAUGUUUGGUUAAAAUGACAUUACUACCAAACGUACUUUUGAUAAUGUUUGGUUAAAAACUGAAAAGUGGUGAUUACUGAUUACAGACUAAAUUUAGAUACUUUUUUAUGGCGAGUUUUGAAUCAAGAAAAAGAGAAACUAAUUAACCUCGUGGUUUGUUAUGUUGGAAAUAAUGCAAAAGUUAAGAAUCUUUUCCAUAGCUAGCCCACACUUUUAUAUUAACUUUUUGGAUUUUAUCUCCAGUUGUCAGUAAAGUAGACCUUUAAUUAUGUCUUUUUCCCUUUUUAAAAUAAAAUACAUCAUGGACGGCUUGGAGUACUGUUAAUCUUAUCAGUGAUAUAGGUUAGAGUAAUAUUUAUGAUUAUACAUUUUCGUGCAUCAUCCUAUUUGUUAUACCCUUUUUAAUUAAUUUAUUCAACAUACUCAAACUGAAUUUUUCCAAAAUAAAAAAGUAUGAUUAAUAUGCAAAUAAGAUAACAUCUUUACUAAAUAAGCUCAUAAUUUACAUAACUACAUCCAUUUUAAAAACACAUAACUAUAUCAACUUUUAUGUAUCCGCACAAACUUAUAAACUUUAAUCAAUUUGUUCUCAAGUCUCAACUUUUAUCUUCUUCAAAUUUUAGAAAGCUAUAUAAUUAGGGAUUACAAUAAGUGUUUGACUCAUUAGCACCGACAACAAAUAUUUGUUUUAGGUAGGUAAAAACAUACUAGAUGCGUAUAGGUUAGUUAGGUAUGAGUAAAUUGUUAGAAAUUUCAAGUGUGCGUGAUUAGAUCUCACAUUGGUAAAUAAUUGAUCAAUUAAAAACAUAUAAGUGUGAAGAUGUGAUAUCAGAUCGUUAUUUUGAUCUUAUUUCUUAAGGAAAUUAUCAUGUUCUACCCUCUUCGUGGUGAUUGGGGUUUGCUAGCCAAUUAUCGAGUUUUACCUUCUUGUCAUGAGCUAAUAAAUUAUAACUUCUUAGCUUCUCUUGCUACUCUUAUCUUUGUAUUGAGUUGAAGUACCUCUUGUACUUCUUUUCCAUAUAUUGCUUUGUUUAUCAAAAAAAAUUAUAACUUGUGUAUAAUUAAUUCAGGAAAAAAUAACAUGGAUGUAGGUGAAAAGUUUCAGAACCAACAAAAGGAAAUCAAAUAUAAAAACAUAUUCAAAUCAAUGAUGCAAAGGCAACAAAGAGAAGCGGAAUGUGAUGCAAAAUAAAUCAAAAGAGGAGAUGAAGGUUUGGAUGCGAACCUUAAGAAAAGUUUGUGCCCAUGCCUACAAAACCUAGUCGUAAGUGAAGUUGAAAACUUAGGGUUGCAACAAAAGGUGGGGUUCGAGGCACAACGGUUGGGGUCGUGAUGAAAGGUGGUGUUUGGUGAAAAGUGGUUUUAGGGAGAAAGGAAGUUGGGGAUGGGUAGAGAGGUUGUGGCAGGGGGAGGGAUCAGGAUCGGGUUAGGGCGAUGACAAUUUCAAUUUGUUAAGGUGACGUGUUUAAGGGAGGAUGGUUCUUAUAAGGACAAUGGGGCCGAGAAAUCAUCGAAGUUUUGUAUUGGUCAGACCUACACUAACAUGCGGGGCCUAAGAGAUGAGUUAGACCCAGUUCAAAUUAACACCGGUCUUAAUGAUGCUAAGUGCUUGUGAAAUUAGCAUUGACUACCGUUAAUAGCAGGUAAGUUGUCAAACCGACGCUAACGUUAAUUGAAAUUUAUUUUGGUAUAUUCGUAGCGUGAGUUUAACUGCCACUAAAGUACGAAAAUUGGCCUUGGUGAAUUUUUUUUACUUUAGAACAAGUUUUCUUGAGGUAUGCUUACUUACAUACUAGUUAGUUGAGAAUGUAAAGAAAAAAAAAAUGUCUUACUCAUGUUUGGAUACACAUAAAAACAUAAAAAACAUGAUUAAUAAUCUCAAAAAAUAAGAAAAACUGUUAAUCUUUACAGUAGUUUGAUUUUGAUGGUUUUUGGCCGUGUAUCUAAGGCUUUGUUUGAAAGGAUAUAUUUUGCCAAGAAAGAAAGGGUGGCCAGAGAAAACACAAACCUCAAAAAGUUUUCACUGGUUUGGUUUGGAACAAUAGAAAACUAAGAGGGAAGAGAAUAAACGAGUCGUGGGUCCUAGUUUUUAUUUUCUUUGAUAAAGCGAGGAGAAAACAACAGCGAACUAUAGUUUUUUUUUUUAAUAGAUUUGCCAAAAGAACACGUAUUUUCAUAUUUUAUAUAAUUAAUAAUAAAAAAUACUAAUAAAUAUUAAUUAAAAAUAGAAAAUAAAAAAUAUUUUAAACCAUAUUUCAAAAUUAAUAUUUAAAAAAAUUAAUUAUUAUUUUUAAUUUUAAAUUUUUAACAUUUACGUCAUUUUACUAAUAUACUAUUAUCUUUUCUCUCACUUUUUUUUACUAUUCCUCUAACUUUAACCUAAAGAAUCAUCUCACUUUUUAUUUUGUAUUUUUUUUUUAAUUUCCUUUUCUCCUACUUUUCUUCAAUGUACCAAACACACCCUAAAGAUCACGUAGAAUAAGUGAAUAUGGGGUAGCACUAUAUUUUGUGUACCAGAAGAACUUGAUCUUGACUUCCCUAUUGUUUUUUCGAGGUAUGUAAAUCCAAACGAGUCUGAAACGUGCGAUAGAGGCCUUUGUCUCAUCGUCAACCCUGUCAUUCACGAGAAGCCAUUGUUGCUCACCCCUUUUUCUUAUCCUCAUGUAAUUCACACUUUUCUCCUUUCAAUUAUCCAUUAUCAUGUAGCAUGUUACUUAUUAAAAUGAGAGGUACUGUACAAAUUAUAGACCUCUAAUUUCAUCUAAUAUAUUUCAAUUUCAAGUCAAGAUUUAAUUAAAUACUACUUCUCGGGCUAAAACUAAACUCCUCAAGGUUCGAGGUGCCCAUCAGCCCAUGUUUUAGUUUAAUGGAAACUUUGUCUGAUGUAUUGUCCAAGCCAAAACACUCUGACUUCUGAGUUUCUGAUGGUCAAUUAGAGGGACCCUACAGAGGAACACAAAUUGACAAUAUAGACACGUGACACUGUUGCCGUACGAUUGAGGCAAAAACAUCUUCAUUGCAAUGAGGUGCGUGCAAUGAGUUGAUUUCCCAUGGUAAUCCUAGACAAUGUUAGGGGGUCCGAAGGUCAAAUCUUGACCUAAGCCUACAUUGUUUUUAGCUUCUUUGGAUUCCAUUUGCUGAUUUGCAACGUUGAAAAACCUCAUUACUUUAUGGUGGGUGAAAAAUUUCUACUUGUUCAUGAUGACUGAUGAGUGAUUUGAGUGGGAUGGUAAUUGUAUCAACCAUGCGACUUAUAGGUAGCGUUUGGUAGACACGUCUGAACGGGACGGAACAGGACAUAUUGGUUUUGUUCCGUGUUUGUCAUGUUUUUAAGAUGGAACAGAACGAGACAAAAAGCUUCUGGAACGGAACACUUUGGUUCCAUAGAAAAGGGUGAAACGGAAGAGAACGGAACGGAACACCUUAUUAAAAAUUUUAAAAAGACGAAAUAACCCCAACCUAUUCUCAUAUUUCCUGAUCUUUAUCCUUCCAUCUCCUCUGUUUCUCAUCAAGCCUCCAUCUGUUACGUCUGUCUUCUUUCUUUUUUUUCUUCUGCAUUCAUUCUGCUCAAUGUAUUAUUUCUUGGGACAAAAAACAAAUUGCAUUUUUGUACACCAGUGCUCUUAGAUCCCUCUAGCAAUUCAUCUUCCAUUUUUUUCCUAAAUACUCCAUUGUUUUGAUUUUGCUCAAUCAUGGUAGAAUCAAAAUUCAUGGAAACCCCAGUCUCAGGGCAUCGAAACAGACAAAAGAGGGAUGAGAGGGAAAGACGAAGGAAGAGAGAAGAGAGAGGGACGCGCGGUGGCCUGAGCAUCCACGACGGCAGAUCUGGCCACUGGGCGUGAUGGUCCCUGGUCGCGGCGUGGUGGAGGUCCGGUGGCGCCGUGGCGGACUGAUUGCAUGCGAUGGGGCUUGCCGGCGGCUGUAAGAGAAAAUAGCCAUGAAAAGGAUAGAAGCCAUAAAAGCUGUUGUUGCAGGCUUGCACGUUUUGUGUGGAAGAAGAAAAACCUAAUCAUCUUUUCCUUCUCAAAAUGUUAUAAUCAAUCUAAAUUUUGAAUAAAAAGUUCAUUUAAAAUAAUAUACAGUAUAUACGAAACAAUAUUCAAUGGAAAACAAGCUUGAUAAAACAAUAAAUAUAAUAGGGGUAUAUGUGUAAUUAUCUUUAUAGUUCUGAUCUGUUCGUUAUAUAUUUACCAAACACAGUGUACAGUACAUUAUCGUCCUGUUCCAUCCCGUACUGUUCCGUUCUGUUCUGUUAUGUCCUGUUCUGUUAUGUUUCCAAACGCUACCAUAGUAACAACUAUUGUUAGGAUUUUUUUUUAAUCGUUUUGUUUAUUAAAAUGCUGAGUUAGAAUCUCAUAUUAGUUAAAAUUGCGUGAAAUAAAGAAAAUAUAAUGUGUGAUUUAUAAAUCCAAUUACUAAAAGUUUUGAGUAAAAAAGCGGCAUGUAAAUCUUCUACUAAUCUUUGGCGUUGGCCUUUUAGUGCAAUUCUCUUGCUUUUGUCACCUCUGAUCUCCCCAACAAGAUGUAUCAAAGUUAAUGGUUGGUGUGACCAUGAAGGUAAUUCCUUGUAUUGAAAAUUUUCCUGGUAGAGUGAUUAUGCCACGUCUCUUGUUGAUGUAGUGAUGAAAGAACAACGAUGUAAGUGUUGAUAGUUUACGCCGAAAGAAAACAUAUGAAGUGUCUAAAUAUUUUGGUGAUUUUCAGUAUUAACUCAUUGUUGAAUUUCUCCCCCUUUUAGCACCCUCAGUCUCCCCAACAUAUCAUCUACUAAUCCUACUUGAACCAGGAUCAUUAUUAUUCCUAUGUACUAACUCUUUCAAUUAAUUUUGUUCUCACAAGUCUUGAAUCCAAAACCUUAGCUAACAGAAAUCAAGAUCAUUAAUUGGAUUUAGAGGGAUUUGCUAGGAGUAAUAAAUGAAUACAAUAAUUAGUGGAAACAGAGAAGACAAAAAGUUGAAUAGAAUAAGGUUCAGGGUAGAUUAGAAAGUUAAAAAAAUGAAAAUGAACACCAACCGAGGCUAGUGUCUCGUGAUAUCUUACAAAGGGUAAAAACUAAAAACACCACUCAAUGUGAUGCAUUAUGCAUAGGCUAUGAUAAAAAAACAGAUUUUUCAUUUCUGAUCUUUCAUCAACAACAACAACAUUCUCAAUGGCUAUGAUGAGUUCUUGCACGUAAAUGUAAGCCUUUUCUUCCUUUACAGCACAUAAAUUUCCAGUAAAAGGCAACACACUUAACACUCAUAUAUUCAAAGAGUUGUGCAAAGUAACACAGAGCAAGCUCUUUCCAUUCACACUAAUGGCUACAUUCUGUACAUACAUGUUUCUUCUCUCUGUGACCUUUCUUCCACUCUUCAACCUCACUUCAUCUUCAUCAGAGGGAGAUAUGAAUAUCCUUCUCUCCUUCAAGUCCUCCAUUGAAGACUCUAAGAAUGCAUUGUCAACCUGGUCCAACACUUCAUCAAACCACCACUGUAACUGGACUGGAAUAUCCUGUUCCACCACCACACCUUCACCACUCUCAGUAACUUCUAUCAAUCUUCAGGGGUUAAACCUUUCUGGGGAUAUCUCAUCUUCUAUAUGUGACCUUCCAAAUCUUUCUUAUCUCGACCUUGCUGAUAACAUCUUCAACCAGCCCAUCCCUCUUCACCUCUCUCAGUGCAGUUCUCUGGAAACUUUGAAUCUCAGCACCAAUCUCAUAUGGGGCACUAUCCCAUCUCAGAUUUCUCAGUUUGGUUCAUUGAAAGUGCUUGACUUGAGCAGAAACCAUAUAGAGGGAAACAUCCCUGAAAGCUUAGGCUCCUUGAAGAAUCUCCAAGUUCUUAACAUGGGUAGUAACUUGCUCUCAGGUAAUGUACCUGCUGUGUUUGGCAAUAUGUCUAAGCUAGAGGUACUUGAUUUGUCUCAAAAUCCUUACUUAGUGAGUGAGAUUCCAGAGGAUAUUGGUGAGCUUCAAAAUCUGAAGCAGCUUCUGUUGCAAAGCUCUUCUUUUCAAGGUGAAAUUCCAAAAUCUUUGGAGGGUUUGCUUAGUCUGACCCAUUUAGAUCUCUCUGAGAAUAAUCUAACAGGUGGGGUUCCUCUGGCUCUUGCAUCUUCUCUCAAGAACCUGGUUUCUUUUGAUAUUUCACAAAACAGGCUUUUGGGGUCAUUUCCAAAUGGUAUAUGUAAAGGACAAGGCCUUGUUUAUCUCAGCCUUCAUACAAAUAGCUUCACUGGCUCAAUACCAAACUCCAUUGGUGAGUGUAAGAGUCUUGAGAGAUUCCAAGUUCAGGACAAUGGUUUCUCUGGAGACUUCCCUAUUGUGUUAUGGUCAUUACCCAAAAUCAAGCUCAUUAGAGCUGAAAACAAUAGAUUCUCAGGACAAAUUCCUGAGUCAAUAUCAGGAGCUGUUCAGUUAGAGCAAGUUCAGCUUGACAAUAACAGUUUUUCUGGUAAAAUUCCUCAAGCUCUUGGCACUGUCAAGAGCUUGUACAGAUUCUCUGCUUCUCUCAACCGUUUCUAUGGUGAACUUCCUCCAAAUUUUUGUGACUCCCCUGUCAUGAGCAUAGUGAAUCUCUCUACAACUCUCUUUCUGGUAAAAUUCCAGAGCUGAAAAAAUGCAGGAAGCUAGUUUCAUUUUCUCUGGCUGACAACAGUUUCACAGGAGAAAUACCCUCUUCCCUGGCUGAGCUACCAGUGCUGACUUACCUUGACCUUUCAGACAACAAUCUAACUGGCUCAAUCCCACAAGAGCUUCAAAACCUGAAGCUUGCUCUUUUCAAUGUGUCCUUCAAUCAGCUAUCAGGUAAAGUACCAUCCUCCUUGAUUUCUGGUCUUCCUGCCUCAUUUUUGGAAGGAAACCCUGGUCUUUGUGGCCCUGGGUUGCCCAAAUCCUGUUUUGAAGACAUGCCAAGACACAAUAAUGGUGCUCUUACAACCUUAACAUGUGCUCUUAUCUCCUUGGCCUUUAUUGCUGCAACUGCAACUGUUGCUGGUGGAUUUUUCAUGUAUAGGAGAUCUUGCAAGGGGAAUCAAGUUGGGGCUUGGAGGUCAGUGUUCUUCUAUCCUCUUAGAAUUACUGAGCAUGAUCUCCUUAUAGGAAUGAAUGAGAAAAGCUCAAUGGGAAAUGGUGGAGUUUUUGGCAAGGUUUAUGCUGUGAAUUUACCUAGUGGUGAACUAGUAUCUGUGAAGAAGCUAGUUAACUUUGGAAACCAGUCCUCUAAAAGUUUGAAAGCUGAGGUGAAGACCUUGGCGAAAAUUAGGCAUAAGAAUGUAGUUAAGAUUCUUGGGUUCUGCCAUUCUGAUGAGUCAAUUUUGCUCAUUUAUGAGUACUUGCAUGGAGGAAGCUUAGGGGAUUUGAUUUCCCAUCAGAAUUUUCAGUUGCCUUGGGGAGUUCGAUUGAGGAUUGCCAUUGGUGUUGCUCAAGGACUGGCCUAUCUUCACGAGGAUUAUGUCCCUCACUUGCUUCACAGAAAUUUCAAGUCAAGGAACAUUUUGUUGGAUGCAAAUUUUGAGCCAAAAUUGACAGAUUUUGCUCUUGAUAGAAUCCUGGGAGAAGCUGCAUUUCAAUCAACUUUGGAUUAUGGAGCAGCAUCUUCUUGUUACAUUGCACCAGGUAUGACAAGUUCUGUGAAUUACAAAAAGCAUUAUUCAAGAGAAUAAAAUAACUAUUUAGUGCAUGUUUGGAAAUCAUUUUACACAAAAUCAAUUAUGAGGAGAAACUUUCAAGAGUAGCUUCUGGGUGCUAGAAUUUAUUCUAAGGAGAAAGAAUUUGAUCCAAAUAUGCUAUUAAUCGGUAAACGCCAACUGAAAAUGCAUGCUGAAUUAUAGAGCUCUUGUAAUUCAUAGAAUUUCCUUUUGAUACAAAUUAGACCUACAUGAUUACUAGGGAUGUUCAUUAAAAAUGGAAUUGUUUGAUUGUUCAGGUGAGCCGUAAAGAUAAAUUCAUUUUGGUACUUCUUAGCCUUCCAUGGCUUCUUAUUGGGUGGCUUCUUUAUAUCUCUCCACAGGGGUUUAAUUAGUGGAUUUCAGAUUAGAACUUCAUCACUUUUGCCAAACUAUGGUUGCUUAUUUCUAUAAGCUCACUGCAUAUAUAAUUAGUGUAGAUGGAUUUGAAAUUUCCACCCAAAGUUUUUAUAUCUCCAUUUUAUGAUAUAUUUUUGCUUUCCAAUUCUGGUGUAUGUCAAUGACAUACUCAUAGUGUGUGUUUGGAUACCAGUUGAGUGCAACAUGAACGGACUUUCAUCACAAUCUAUAAGAGUUAUGAUCACUUAUUGUCUUGAAGUGUGUGCUAACAUAACAUCUGUUUGCACUUUGCACUGAUACCACCAAAUAUCCAAACAUAGCUGUAUAUAUGAAUUGCAUAUGAACCUAUAAAUACUAACACACUAACUAAUUGCACUGUUGUAUUGCAGAAUAUAGUUACAGUAAGAAAGCAAGUGAACAAUUGGACGUGUACAGUUUUGGUGUUGUAUUGCUAGAGCUAGUGAGUGGGAGGCAAGCAGAAGAAACAGAGUCAAGUGACUCCCUUGACAUUGUGAAGUGGGUUAGAAGGAAAGUGAACAUCACCAAUGGAGUACACCAAGUUCUUGACCCAAGAAUAUCACAUGCUUGUCACCAAGAAAUGGUUGGAGCUUUAGAUAUUGCUCUUCGUUGCACUUCUGUGGUACCUGAGAAAAGACCAUCUAUGGUUGAAGUUGUUAGAGGUCUUCAGUCCCUUGAGUCCAGGACUUGCAUUGCAAAUUUGCAGGAUACAAAUGAGGAGUCCUCCCUUCCAGUCUGAACUUCUAAGGUCCAACUCAAAGACUGUUUUUUGUUGCUGUUGAGUCUUUAUAUGUAAAUAUUCUGGUUUAUAUUUCACAUCCUUUUUAUUUUCAUCUUAUGAUCUGAGUCAUGGAAAUGAUUUAUCUCAAUCUAUAAGAAAUAUUCAGUUCAUUUUUUUGUUUUAAAAUAAGUGCUAAUGUCAGUUUGUAUUGGUGUCUAUUUCGAAGUCGUUGGUAGAGAUGACUAUAAUCUCAUUGAGAGCAAAACAACAAAGACACUUAUAGCUUGAAAUAAUCCAUCAUAAAAGUGUUAACACUAGCUGUGACCAUAGAGAACAACAUAUUAGAUUUGAGAAAAUUUGUGCAAAAGGCUAAUGAUGUGUGAAAAUCAUCUUGAACUGCUAACCUAUCAAUUCCUUAGUUCUUGAUCAGAUAUUAUCUAUUUUUUGAUCGCUCUUUUGCAAUCUAACUUCAAUGGCUAAUUAGAUUGUUGUUCAAGUCAAUUUGCUGAUUGGAAUGAUCAGUCCAGCUUGAUUUUGAGAACUAUGAAAAAGAAGGGAUGGAUUGGCAUUGAGAUAGAUGGUGAUCUGGGAAUCGAAUUGCAUAUGAUAUGUCAAAUAGCUCUUAUAAUGUGUCACAUAUCAAUGUUGAGUGCAUGCAAGAUAUUUAUGUGGCCAAUGAAAAUGUUUUGAAAUAUUUUUAAUAAUUAUCUUUCUAUACUAUUCUAGUAAAAAACUCAACUUGAUAGCUAUUGCCUAUUCAGAAAAUCUCAAGUUGAUGCCACAGAUCACUAUAUUAAUAACUAGAGUUAGAACUUUAUCUAUGUAUUCUACUUAAUUAAUAUUGUAAAUAUAGUAAACUAUUUUCUAUCUACAUAUAUAUUUUAAUAAUGAUAUACUCGAAUAUUCACCAAUAAUUUGUCAUUUAUUACAAACUAUAUAUAUUUGGUCCUUGAAUGAUAGCUCAAGUGGUAAGAGUUAGGGGCCAUAUGGGUUGGGACUUGGGAGGGGAAGGUCUAGGGUUCAAUCCUUGAAGAGUGCAAUUUAUCUUUCCGACCAAAAAACUAUAUAUGUAUUUGCUAUUUUUAUUCCUUCAACAUCUUCAGUAUGAAGAUUGUAAAAGUGGAAAAUUUAAAAAUUUUAAGAUAUUCAAAAAACCCCCAAGAAUCCAUGCAAUAGAUGUUGUUGAUUAGAACAUCCAUUUUGGUUGAGAUAAGCAAUCGAACUCUCUUCUUAUUCUUUGCUCACGGACACCGCUCGCACCGUCGACCUUUUUAUGUCUGCACCGUCUUUACUAUUUCCAUCACCUCUUAGCUUUUGAUGCUGCUUCUUUUGAAUAUACAAAAGCCUACGUUUUUCUCUUUAUGCUCGGACCUACCAGAUUGUCCCUUGUUAGUGUCGCUGAAGUCACGAGUCAGACUGCCUUGAAAGUCACACAUUAGCAACUCCGACAGAACCAAAUGAGUUGUUAAGUUGGCAGCGCCAAAUAAAAUGAAGAUAAAAGUCUCUUCCCUCUGAAGGUGGGACUUAAGUAAUUUAGGGUUUUAAGGGAUUUUUGUACGAACCUUUGGGUUUUUACUUCAUGCUUUCAACUAGUUGCUUCAACUUAUUUGGUUGAAUGUGCAUGUUUCUUCUUAAAUUGCUUAUGUGCAUUACGAUAUCGCUCUUUAAGAUUUAUUCGCACAUGUUGUAAGACAGCGUUUGGUGACAGAAUAGAACAUGGCAUAACAAAACGGAACGAGACAGAACAUGAUAGAACAAGAUAAUAAUGUUAUGUGUAUUGUGUUUGGUAACUACUUAUCAUUAAAACAUAACCAUAAUUUUAAUUAUAUAUAUAACUUUGCAUGUUUGAUACCUGAUUGAGGAGAAAAAUUUGAAAUCAAAGGAAUAUUAUAGGUAUAGCUCGUUUGUUAUUUCUUAAAAUAAUCAUUUUUUAAAUAAUCACUUAUAUAUUAUUUAAGUUGUUUAAGUAUACUUUUGAAAAAAAAAAACAGACAUCUAAUUAUUUCUUUAAGCUAUUUACAAUGUUUUAGAUUGAAAAAAAAUGAUUUUAACUCUAUAAAAAUAUUAAUUUUCAGAGAUUUUGAGAAGCAUACGUUGAUUCGUGUUUGAUUACUCUAAUUAAAAUCAAUUUUUUUUAUCUCCUCUUAUCUAUCAUAAUAGAAUUUCAUGAUAAGCUAAAGUAGAGUUUUCAAAUAAUUUGUUUUCAGAACUAACAUAGAAAGGAUUUUCUAAUUUAAAAAGUGAUUUUUUACUAAAAUAAGUUAAACCAAACGCACUUUAAUUGAUUUGUCAUUGUUAAAAAAGUGAUUUUACUUUUGAAAAAAAUUAUUGAUUUUAUGCUUAAUACAUCAUAAGACCCCUGAAAUUGUAAAGAGAAUCAGUUCCAGGGUAUGUAUAAGUUUCGCAUUAAAUUGGGUCCCUAAAAAAACUUUUUUAAUUCAAUUAAGAACAAAUGUUGCCAGACUUCAAUUUUAUCCUAGUCAGCAAUUCCGCGUGGCAUUUUUUUUUAAAUAUAAAUAAUGCCACAUGUUAUAAUUAAUUGAAAAUCAAUAUUAAUCCUUAAUUAAAUCAAUCAAGCCCUAAUUAAAGUCCUAAUUAACUCGUCUAACCCCAAAAUUUAUUUUCCACCCACAUCUUCAUCUUCAUUCUGUUCAUCUUCCACUUCCUCUUCUUCCAUCAAACCCAACAAUCCAGAACCACCACCACCUCCUCUUCUCUCUUCCUCCUCCUCCUCUAACCCACCACCAUACCAGGAAGCGCAACCCAAACGCGACCUACACCCUGAUCCUCAGCCGCGCUGCUCACCUGUGCCCGCGUGUGACCAGCGAUCCGCGCCGCCCGAGUGCACCACCGGUCGCUCCAGCCUCCGUCUUGCUCGCACGCCCCCGCGCCACCCUCCUCUCCCUCUGGCGCAUUCAGAUCUGCGUGCUCCAGCCAGAUCCGGCGUCCAACCCGCGCGCCCAGAUGACCUAGGGCCCGACUCAAAAUCCUCUUUGCUCUUGUUGGACGGUGGUGGUUCACCCACCAGCUAGCCACCACCACAAAUCCUCAUGCUUCCUUGAUGCUUAGAAUGCAUAUUCGACCCAUGAAUGAGCCUUGAUUGUUCUCUGUUGUUGCAGCCAUUUUUUUGUUUGUGUGAUGAGAAAGAAAAAGAAAAUGGAAAACAAAGGGAAAGGAGAAGAGAAACCCAGAGAGAGAAAUGUUCAUGAGCCAUGAAUGAGCCUUGAUUGUUCUCUAUUUUUUGUUUAGGGGUUGUUGUUUUAUGCGACUAGAUGCUAGAUCUCUGGGGGUUGGAAGAAGAUGAAUGUUCAAUUUGGGGAUGAAAGGUUUUAAUUAGGGAUUGGUUAUAAUUAGAGUUGGUUAUAUUAUCAGAUUAGUUUAUUAGUCAGAUUAUUAGAUUGUUUAGUUAAGGAAUUAUUAGAUUAGGUUUUUAUUAAGUUUUUAAAAAAAAUAAUUGAGUUGGAAUUAAUUUUUCUUUUAAUUUUUUAAUUAAAAAUUAUAAAAAUCACGUGUAAUUGAUGACUAGGACAAAAUUAAGGUCUGACAGCAUUUGACCUUAAUUGAAUUAAUUUUUUUUUCUUAUGGACCCAAUUUGAUGCGAAAAUUUUACAAGGCCUGGAACUGAUUCCCUUUACAAUUUCAGGGGUGUGAGAUUUUAUUUUAAGUAAUUUUUUUGAAAAACAGAAAUUCAUUUAUUUUUGUCUACAAAUAUAAUAAGUUAUUUUUCACUCUAAGAAGUGAUUUUAAACUAUUUAGAUACAAAAUGUUUUAAAUAUAAAUUAUUGGUAGUUUUGACCAUGUAAAAGUUUUAAGAGUGUUAUGUUCCACCAUUUUUUAGUGUCCUAUUCAUGAAGUCUUUUGUCAUGUUUUGUUCCAUCUUAAAAACAUAACAAAUACAUAACAUAAUCCAAAUGUCUUGUUAUGUUUCGUUCCCACCUAUCUACCAAACGCUACCUAAUUGUCGCUAGGAAACUAUUUGGUAUUUAUUCAAAACAAUUUUGACAAAUACAAAAAGCAAUCAAACUCAACUCAUGUAAAACCUAAGAAAAUUCUCAAACCUGAGAAACUCAACUCAUGCAACCCACGAGCUCGAGCUUACAAGUGUAGUAAAGCCUUUUUUGGAUAUGAAAAGGAAAUUUCUUCUAUCGGGGUGCUAACAAGAGAAGCAUUACUAGGUGUAUGAAAGCUAAUCUUGCAAGAAACACAAGAAGGAUUUGUUUUUCCAAUUAAAAUUCAAGCUUAACGGAAAAAAUCGUAGUAUGGCUAUGAGCCUAUGAGAGAGGAUAAUGUUGACAGAAGACAUGUUGACCAUGACACCUUGCCUGUUCACGAGCAUGAGAGGAUAAAGUGUCGCAACACAUUGGUAGCUUUGACAUUGGUAUCUAUCACCGAAUCAAAAUCCUCCACCGGAACUUCCCAUAAAUUGUUGUUCUUGUUUAUUGUUCAUGCACCUUGAGAAUUCAUGUACCCACAGCUUGGUCAAUACGUACUCCGGUACGGGUACGUACCCACAGCUUGGUUCUGCUUCUAUCCAAGCCAUUCUCAGAUGGAUAGCUAAGCGUUGCUCACGAUUGACCCUAUGAGUACACACAAGUGUUUAAAUAGAAAAAGCAGCCUCACCGAGAUCAUACCCACCACUCAUCUCACCGGGUUAUUACAAAGCAAUAUUAAGAGGCCAUUUACAGAACCAACAAAAAUGAAUAAGACUGAAACAAAAACAUACUUCUAUGCUAUAUCUGCCAUAGCCAUCGUCCUCCAAGGUUCACGUCAGAUUCACUUCACAUUCUUGAAUCUUGAUGGAGCACUUUCAUAAGUAAGUACUGAUCAGGGACAACCUGAUGGCUGCUGCGUUCUAUGAUGCCUUGACAUUUCCACUAUCAACAUUCAACAUCUAACACCCCGAAUAUAAGUUAGAAAUUUUAAAAUAAGUAUUGACUAAUAGUUCGGAAACUAAAGUUUUAUAAAAAUAAAGUUAGAGAUAGACAAAAAAAUAAUUGCAAAUAUCAACGAGGAAAUAAACCUAAAAAUAGAUAGAAAGUAGUGUUAAAAGAACUAAAUUAAAGUUAGAUAAACACAUUUGACAAAUAUGUUAUAAAAAAAUAGUUAAAAUAGGUAUUAAAAAACAGGUUAGGAAAUAUAGGCUUUAAAAACUAACUUAAAGUUAGAUACUUAGAUAAAUGAUUAGACAUACAAAAGUCAGAAAGAAUAUAUGAAAUUACGUAUUGAAAAAUAGAUAGGAAAGUAGUUUUUAUAAGUUUGGUUUUUUUUUUGACGAAAGUUUUUAAAAGUUAAGUUAAUUUUUUUUUUGAACAUGAAGUUAAAGUUAUAUAAAAGCAUUUUACAAUUAUAUAAGUUGGAAAAUAAAUUUAAAAAUUAGUGUUGUAAAAUAGAUAGGAAAAUAAAGGUUUUAUAAGUAUUGAUACAUAGAUAGGAGAAUAUAAUUUCAAAAUCUAAGCUAAAUUUAAAUAAAAAUAUUGCUCAAAUCUUCAAGUGAGAAAAUAGAUUUAAAAUGAAGUUAACAAAGUUAAAGUUAAAUAAAAUAAUUUCAUAAAGUUAAUUUAUAUAUCAUCAUGAUUUAGGCAUGACUCAUCAUCACAACUAAAUUGCCAACCUAAGCUUUUAGUGGAAACCCCAUGGCUAUGGGGAGCUUGGAGGAGCUCAACCCAUACUUGGUCGUGCAUGCACGACAGGGCCUGAACAACACAAUCUACAACUCAAGAGGAUCAUCAACACAUGCAAGACAAAAAGAGGGGGUUUGAGAGCCAUUUAACCUGGACAGAAGAGUGGGAAGAAGGUGUAUGUUGUCAAUGACGGUCAAGCGAGGACUAUAUCGUGACCCACUUGGAUUUGCACAAGCCAACAUCGAAGUUAAGAGAAGCAAUAAUGUCUGCCUUUGCUAUUGAAACGGUUUGUUGUUGCAUAACCUGGAAUAAACAGAGGCAAGCCCAUUAGAUGUUCAAAAGUAUACAGUUCUUAUGUCACAGGCUUAUUAGUAUGGCAGGCCUUGUCAUAAUGUAUAUUUUAAACAUAGCAAGUUUUGGAGAAAGGACAGAUAUGACUGCAGAAAUACUUCAUUAGCAAAAAUGCAUAGACAAAAAAAUGUAAUCAACCUCUUGUAACAUGCUCCUGGCAUUGUCAGACAUUCUACCGAAUUCAUCUAUAUAGCAGAUACCACGAUCACUCAAAACUAGGGCACCACUCUCAAGAACCUGAAGAUUAAGCAGAAAUAAUUAGAGUCCACCAAAUUUCUUGUACAAAAGGCGAUUAAAAAAAUAAAUAAAUGUAUUUAGCCUGUUUCAGGAUAUUUGGUCACAUAAGCCGUUUGUCCAACAGCAGAACUCCUCCUUCCACUUGUGUGAAUGCAACGUGGAGAUAAUUUGUGUAUAUGUACUGUAGUGGUUGGGACUUGCUUGUCCCAGGAUCACCAACGAGAAGAAUAUUUAUAUCACCACCGAAGCUAGCACCGGAUGCCAACGUCAAAGCAUUGCCACUAAAAAGCUGCAACAAAAUAAAAAUUAGCAUCCUCAGAAAACCAGUCAAUCAAUGAAUGCAUAGCUAGAGAGAAAGAUGUGUAACCUGACAAAGAAGGUCUUUCUUCACAUCACCUAGCUCUUAGAUGUUUGGCACUAAUGACUUUGUUAGUCUUUCAUAUAUAUCGGAUCUUUUGACAUCUUCAGUUUAGCCACCUGCAACUCAGACAAACACACAAUAAGCAAGGGCAUAAAGCAAGAAGUGGAUUUCAUAGAAGAUAGAUACAAACUGUACCUUUUCUUCAUCAAAGGCAACUUCUGCAUUUUUUCCCUGGGGAUUGUCAACCUCCAUAGUAUCCCCUAUCAGCAUCCUGGACUCAACGGACUUCUUUAUGUGAAGACAAUCAAUAUAUAUCUACAACAUGAAGGGGACAAAACCGAAACAUUUAGCAAACAAGAUAGAAAUUGUCAGAAUGGAGCUCUAAAUGUUAAAUGAGUUAAGAGCAUAAUGCAUACCUUGAAUAAUGACUUGACAAUUCUGAGUUGGCCCCUGACACUCAUAGCCCUACAAAUACCAGUCACCUGAUGCACAAGAAAAGACAUGAUGGGAUAAUUAAGCAAAAGCAGAUGGAUAUUUAUCUGUCAGAAAGUAUGCCAUAGUAUAUUCUCUCACCUCAACUCCGUCACCUCGCUUUCCAGCAUCUACCAGCUUGUCCUGCAUCAGCAAGCUAACUGUGUGAACUGUGAAGUGUUCCUCCUUUAGGCAUCUCAUCAGGAGUCUCCUGGAUCCUCACAAUUUACUUAUCUGAAAACCUGAUUUUUUAUAACAAAUCAGUUAAUUGCAGUUUUGUAGCUAUCGAACCUGAAAGUCAAGCCCUUAAUUUCUACACGUAACAGAACAGUUACACUUUUUGAUAAGCAAGCUGAAUAGUUUCACAAUCAAGAUCAUUAUUUAAUACCAUCAUCAACCCAUGAAUUACGUAUCAUUUAAAUAUAUCCAUUGUUCUUCAAUUAUAUUAAUGUGUGAACCAAUAUAUCUUAACCACUUGACACAGGAAGCAUAGUUCUUAACCUUCUAGAUAUAACUAACCCUUUGUCACUUGUAUUUUAGGAUGAGCAUGCACUUUGAUCGAGUUGUCACACUGGACUCGAAAUGGACUCAAUAUAUUAAUUUUAAUCAUUAACACCAGGUUAAUUUUAUUUGUAAACAUAGAAAGAAUUCAAGCAUCUUUAAAAUAACAAUUUCAAAGGCAUUAUAGGAUUUCAGUUCUGCCAUCGAUUUCUCAGUCAAGAGCAAAAACCAAAAGAAACUGAAUAGCUUCCUUGCACACAUAGUAUAUCAACAAAAGAACAAAAGAAAUAGGAAAUUUGCUUCAAAAUCAGGCUCCCUCAUGGUCUUCCUUAAACAAAUAAACCAUAGUGUGCACUACCUGCAUUGGUUGUGAACCAGUGCAAUCUUCCCUCAAGCAUAUAGUAGGUACAGUAAUCCGCCCUAAAAGUCACAAUACUCAACAAGAAAUUAAAAAUACAAUAGGGCACUUAACUGAUAACACAGUAUGUAAAUGGGAAAAAACAUGUCAUGGGAUUACCUCUCUCUACAGCAACUGGUUCAGUGCAGAAUCCACACACAAGACACCUAAAUAUAGCUUCCCUUAUUUCCGCUAUGAUUGAGCUACAUUGUAUAAUCAUCCCCUUAAAUGACACCAUCCUCUCAAAAUCUGAAAAGAAGCCUACAAGUCGAUUUGCCUGCAAUAAAACACAAUCUAAAAUUACAAUGGGGGAAGACGUAAAAAUCCAAGUUUGAAUGUGCUUAUCGAACAUGGAAUUCAUUCAGAUGGUCAUGAAUAUCUGGUAAAACCGCCAUGUGGAUCUAGGGACUCGCAUUGAUGAUUUUCGUCAAUGAGUCAGUCCUCAAAUUAUCACUAUUCGAAAGGCAACAAGGGUCCAUAAUCAGAAUUAGCAUUCUCACGACUUCAGGGUCAUUGUUCACAUGAUUAACCAUCUCGUUUUAGGGACUUACAUUGAUGAUUUCCGUCAAAAGGGAGAACCCUCAAAUUAUCAUUAUUCGAAGGCCAACAAGGGUUCGUAAUCAGAAUUAGCAUUCUCACGACUUUAGGGUCAUUAUUCACUUGAUUAACCAUCUCGUUUUAGGGACUCGCAUUGAUGAUUUCAAUCAAAAGUUCCAGCUCUCAAAUUAUCAGUAUCUGAAAGGCAACAAGGGUCCAUACUCAGAAUUAACAUACUUGCGACUUCAAGGUAAUCACAUGAUUAACCAUCUCAUUUUAGGGGCUCGCAUUAAAAGACUCCAUAAUCAUAAUUAGCAUUCUCAUGACUUUACAGUCAUUGUUUACAUGAUCAAAAGGGUCAGCCCUCAAAUUAUCACUAUCCGAAAGGCAACAAGGCUCAUAAUCAAAAUUAGCAUUUUCGCGACUUUAGGGUCAUUGUUCAUUUGAUUAACCACCUCGUUUUAGGGACUCACAUUGAUGAUUUCCAUCAAAAGGGCCAGCCCUCACAUUAUCUUUAUCCGAAAGGCAACAAAGUUCCAUAAUCAAAAUUAGCAUUUUCGCGACUUUAGGGUCAUUGUUCACAUGAUUAACCAUCUCAUUUUAGGAACUCGCAUUGAUGAUUUCCAUCAAUAGUAUCAACCCACAAACUAUCAUUAUCCGAAAGGCAACAAGGGUCCAUAAUCAGAAUUAGCAUUCUUGCGACUUCAGGGUCAUUGUUCACAUGAUUAACCAUAUCGUUUUAGGGACUUGUUUUAGGAACUCACAUUGAUGAUUUCCAUCCAAAGGAUUAGCCCUCAAAUUAUCAUUAUCCGUAAGGCAGAAUUAGCAUUCUCGCGACUUCAAGGUCAUUGUUCACUUGAUUAACCAUCUCGUUUUAGGGACUCACAUUGAUGAUUUCCGUCAAAAGGGAGAACCCUCAAAUUAUCAUUAUUCGAAGGCCAACAAGGGUCUGUAAUCAGAAUUAGCAUUCUCGCGACUUUAGGGUCAUUGCUCACAUGAUUAACCAUCUCGUUUUAGGGACUUGUUUUAGGGACUCACAUUGAUGAUUUCCGUCAAAAGGGUCAACCCUCAAAUUAUCAUUAUCCGAAAGGCAACAAGGGUCCAUAAUCAGAAUUAAUAUUCUUGUUCACAUGAUUAAUCUUCUCAUUUUUGGGACUCGCACAAAAAAUACACAACUAAGACUAGGCAAAUGAACACAGAAAAAACACACAAAAAAACCCAGAAGUGAACCAUAUUAGCCAACCCAGAAUUGUACACACAUUCCAAUAUACCUUGUUGUAAAGCUCCUCAACUCGUCGGGACAUGUGCAGUUUCCAUGGACAUUCCAGAACAAAGCUAUGCAUCCAACAAGCUGUUAAAUCUAAAGAGUGUUAGCAUGUUUACUCAUUGAUAAUAGAGAUAUAUGCAUUAGAGUCUGCCUUAGAGAAAGGGAUACCAUGGGUAAAAUAACUAGAAUGUGCUGUGAGAUCCAUUGACGAAAAAGGCAAGCAUAUGACUUGUAAUGCUCUGCCAGCAAAUUGGGAUACUUGAACUCCUUCACCCUACAAGAGACACAAGUAAACAUCCUGAGCAGAAGUUUAGCCUCUUAAGAAACACAUGCUUAAAAGUCGAGAAGAUCAUAUACCAUUGAGAGUUUAACCUCAUUUCCAAUACGUAAACCAUUGUAUCAACUGCUCUUUGUUUUGAAUAAUUAUAAACUGCAUUGUCCACUUCCACAUUUACCAUGUGCUCAAAAUGAUUCCACAAAUCAUCCUCAUGAACCUGAGAUGGAAAUACAGAUGGGAAUUUGAAAUCAGCAACAAUAAAAUAAGUAAAGAACAAUUAAAAGUAAUUAAUACAACCAAACAUACAAUAAGUACAAGUAAACUCUGAGGGUUAAAUGUAAAAAAACUAACCAAAAUUGAUCCAGUUCCAUAGCACAAAUGUUGAGCAUAUUCUGCACAGAGGUGAUGUUCCACUCUCUCAAACUGUGGUAAAAAAACACACAAACAACUUGCCUAUCAGAAUGACAUAAACAAAAUGCAAAUAAGGACAACGAAACGAAUAAAGACAGCAUUUAUUUCUCAGAACAAGUAAACGACAACAAAUUAAGUUAUAGGGACACACAAUUUUACGAGCUGAUUCAUUAAUAUCUCCUUGUACACAAUUUACUUGCCAUCACUGCAUUCUCCAUUGAUUGGACAAGGUUCACAAGUAUCUACAACAAUAACCAGUCAACACAAACUAGAAAAGAAACACACAAUUUGAAGGAACCUACAUAUUGAGACUACAAUAUUUAAAUGCAUUAUACAAGGCAGAGAAUGAACUCACAAGAAAAUUAUUAGAGGUAAUACGAUAUGAAGCUGAAAACAUCACGUGGAGCUUGCAUUAAAAAGGCAUCUGUAUCCUACCAAAUUAAAUAAACAGCAAGAAUCAUGUAUAGCAUUUCAAAAUAAAACACAGAAUAUCAACUAACUAUCAACUGAUUUUUCUUAGAAACUUUCAGGCGAUUACCUUUUCAUUUUCAGUGUAUUCAUUCAUGCUUUCUUGUUUCUUCUUUAAUAGAAAAGGGGAAACAAAGUAAUAUUUCAUUUUUUAUCAAUACUACUGAAAUGGACUUUAUUAAAAAAAAUCAACCUCAUGAAAACCAAAUAGAUAAAUUUAUCGGAAAUUCAAAUACAUGUGAGUUUGAAAGAGUCUAACCAGGAAAGUAAUCAGAGGGAUGGAGGUUGGUGCCGCAAAAGGGUUUCACAGGUGGAUUUUGGAGAGAGGUAAAGAGGAGGUUGCAGGUCCAAGCAAUUGCUAAUAUUUAUUGAAUAUAGGGAUCUGCUAUAAACUUCGCUAGUGAAAAUCUUGAAAGCAUUAUGAAUAAAUACACCACUUUUUAUAACCUCAGCACAGUGUUUGCAAUGAAAUUGAGGUGUGUGACUUGAAUCCUUGAUCUUCUUCAUGGUUUUGCAUGGCAACGACAAACCGCAGCCACCACAAUAUCUUGCAUCCUGCACAGUAUAUUCACCGGAUAAAAAAUAAAACAAUAACCAGAGUCCAAUACAUUUUGACACAGUUAACUCUUUAACCAAAUCUGCUUUUCAGAGUAGCUACUAGACAUAGCAACUGAUCAUAUGAAAGAAUCAGGCUAAUGGUCAGAAAUUCACUACAGAUUAUCCCAUCUCUCAUAACAUUCUAAAAAAAAAUGGAAAAACUUUAUUCAAUUGAAGAAUUAAGAACACAUGGAAAACCAAACAAAAACCAUAGAUGACAAUUUAACAAAGUUGAUGAUAAAAAACUGUAAUUCUCUAACAGGAACAGUAGAAAUUUCGCAACCCCAUUUCAACUCAUUUUUAUCAAUAUAUUCAUAUCCUUAACUUAUCAGAAUGAAAAAGCAUAUUUGUUGCUCAGACAUAUAGGCAUGUCUGACGUAAUACAUAUGUCACUAUAUGAUACCACUCACAUAGCUGAGCUAUCAGCAUGAGAAAUUUCCUCUUCCCAACAUUCCCAUCAGGCUUUUGGUCUUCACCAUCAAAACUGAGACCAGACGUGUUACUCUCAGUAUUCACAGUCCUUCCUCCGUCCUCCGCCGCUUUGAUUCCUCCAUUCUUCCACGGAACCUGGACGGUAGCAUCAAGUGCAUGUUUGAAUGAUUCAUCACAUUGAAACCCUAAAACCCUAAGCCAACAGAAAGUUCAACUUUAAAGUUCAUGUUGCAGGAAGUUCAAUCCAAGCCAAGGUUAGUUAGAUGGAUGUUUUUCCUCCAAGAGUUUGAUUCGGAGAUUCGAGAUAGAAGUGAAGCACAAAAUUUGGUGGCUAAUCACUUGAGCAGAAUUGAGAGAGAUGUUGAUACUUUACCUAUUAGAGAUUAUUUUCCUGAUGAGCGACUUUUUAGUAUUUUUGUUUCUCUUCCUAUCCCUUGGUUUGCUAACAUUACUUAGUAUUUUUGUCAAUUACUUGGUUGCGUCUUUUGUUCCUCCAUUUGCAUCUAGAGCUCAAAUUGAUAAACUUAAGAGUGAUGCUAAGUAUUAUUUUUUGAAUGACCCCUAUUUGUGGAAAUUUUGUACUGACCAUGUGAUUAGAAGAUGCAUUCCAAAUCAUGAGAUCGAGUCAGUCCUUCAGUUUUUUCACGCCUCUUCAGUGGGUGGCCAUUUUGGUCCCCAAAAGACAGCACCGUAUCACCCCCAAACAAAUGGGCAAGCUGAGAAUUCCAACAAAGAGAUAAAGAGCAUUUUGGAGAAGAUGGUGCAGUCUAACAAAAAGGAUUGGAGCAACAGACUUGAGGAUGCUCUUUGGGCACAUCUUGAUUGCGCCCGCCCUCCUCCAACCAUAACUCAGAGAGUUUUCUUUUUCAUCUUCUCUUCUUUUAUUGCACUUGUUCAUUUCCAUAUCUGCUUAUGCUACAUUGGGAAAAUGUGUCGUUAGAGUGUGGGGGGAGACUAGCGCAUGUAGACUAGAUUAGAGUAGGAUUGAUGCAUGCUUUUCUUUAAUUUCUUAGGUCUUGCUUGGAUUUUGGGCAUUUUCUUUCUUUUAAUUGAGUCAUGAUAUUUUGUGAUGUGAAUCCUUGCAUUCCCGUGUGUCAAGUUACUUUUGAUAAUUUAGAGGUUGAAACAAUUAUGAUAUACUUAUCCCCUGCGAGAGAUUUUGAGCCUUAAUUCUUUUUCUUGUGUGAUUGCACUCUUGAUUACUUGCACUCUAGAACUGGACUUGACACUUGUUGAUACCUGAUAUUCGCAUGCACAUAUUGAAGUGAUUUUAGACAUUUUCUUUGAAUAAGCCACUAGCCAUAUAAGCAUACCUUGAAUGAAUUAAUCCUUUGAUAGCUUCUUUAAGCCUUUUUACUCCAUUUUCUUUAGCUCAUUAAAAGCUUAUAAGUGAAAAACAUGUUAGACCUAACCUUAGGGAAUUUUGGAGCUUUGGAAUUGUUUUGGGAGUAAGUACUCAGUGGAUAAGCGUGCAUUGUUCUUUAUUCCUUGUAAUUAUCGGUUAUGCUUUGUUGGAAGUACAUAAGUGUGGUAUUUCUUUCAUUUCAAUUUGAUUUCUUUCUUUCAGUUUAAAAAAAUAGAAAUUGAAAAAAAAAGCAAAAAAACAGAAAAAAAAAAAAAAAAAAGAAGAAGGGCAAGAGGAAAAAAAAUGAAUGAAAGGAUGAAGUGUGGAAUUGGAGGAAGAAUUGCAGGUUUUAUGCUGCUAUAUUGACUUACUUUUUACUCAUUUCUCAUUGCUCCUCUAUUUGCUUUGAUUUUAGCUACUUAUCUCAUAUUUUAUCCUACCUUGUCAUUGGCCUCAUACAACCUUUAAAAGUCUUUUUUGAUCUUUAUGUGCAUAUGUUUUGAUUGUUGAUGUUAGAGGCUUGUCAAGUCUAUGGUUGUAUUUGUUUUUCAUUAAGUGUCUUGUGUGAAAACACAAACCUUAAACACUUGAGUGUAAACACUUAGACAACAUAUCUUGUGAGAUUAAGUCAUCUUUGUUCUCACCCCUUGGUUUGAUUGGUUACUUUGCAUGUUUGGAUGUUUGGAUGAUGUUCAUGGAUUCCUUACCCUGUGUUUUUUUAUUUUGCCCACUUCACUGCUUUUCCUAAGAUUCAUUGUGAAGUAUGUGAUCUUUUAGGUUAUUGCAUAUCUUACAUGAUUCACUUCUUUGUUACAAGUUAAUUUUCAUGGUCUAUUUCUUUAUUUUGCCCAGGAGUACCCAAGGUUAAGUGUGGGGGUGUUUGAUGAGCAAUACUUUACCCACUUUUCAUAAUUUUAAUUUAUCAUUAUUGAUGGUUAUUUAUGCUUAAUUAACUUUUGUUGUCAUGAAUUUUUAUUAUGUGUUAUAAUUAAGUUUACUAUUAAUUUCAGAUCAUAUUUGGCAUUAAGGGCAUUUUGGAAAUUGCAGAAUGAAGAUUGUAUUUGUGCUGAAGUGAAGAUUGUAUUUUAAAUUUAAUUUCGAGAUAUUAUAUCUCAUUUAGGAUUUUAUCGUAUUUUGAUUUGUUAUUUUAGGAUCUUAUCUUUAGGUUCUAUCUUUAGGAUUUAAUUUGAUUUUUAUUAGGAUUAGAUUUCAGCUCUAUUUAAGGAUUUGUGCUGAAACAACUUGAGACACCUUCUACCUUCUACAUUUUGCUUAAUAAUAUAAUUUCGUUUUUCAGUUCAUUAUCAGGGUUCUGCUAGGGUUUAUUCUUCUACUCCCUAUCUUCUCUAAUAUUUUCGUUGUUUUCGUUCAUCCGUCCAUGUAAGGCUAACUUCAUGGAUUGAAUCCCUUUCCAAGUAUGUAUAUCGCACUCUUGAGGUAUUGUUAUUAAUGCAAAAUUUGUUCUUUAUUAAUCAUCUUCAUCUUUUUUUUUUUUGAAUCUAUGGUUUGCUUAAUCUCGCCGUUUUAGAAAUAAGGGUUGAUGCAUGAUCGCUUAGCUGGUGUUAAUUCGUAACUGCAUAGUUUUUGGAAGUGUAAAUUGAUUUUCGCUCAGUUAAUUAAUUCUCACAAAUUAGGGAAUCAAUAAGAAUGAAUUAAUCUAUUGAACCAAUGAUUGAGUUGCGAUAUAUUGAACUAAAGAGAUUUGUCCGUUUAAAUCUAUUAUGCUAAUCUGCUUAUUAUUUUAUGCUUGCGUACUGCAACCAAAUCAAAAACCCCCUUUGUGUGUGUUUUGAGUGUUGAACCUUUGCUCGAUUGGUAAUUCUUAUGAAACGACUUAAGAGUCACUUCCUAGUACUAUAGUUUUAUUAAUUAAUUAUUUACAUCAAGUACGACCUCGACCAAUCAGGUUAUCUAUUUUUUUAUCACUUUUUUGCAAUCUAAUUUUAAUGGCUAAUUAGAUUGUUGUUCAAGUCAAUUUUCUGAUUGGAAUGAUAAGUCCAGCUUGGUUUUGAGAAGUAUGAAAAAGAGUAUAAAAAGAAGUGGUGGAUUUGCACUGAGAUAUAUAGAUUCUGGGAAUCGAAUUUCAUAUGAUGUCAAAUAGCUCUUACAAUGUGUCAUAUAUCAAUGUUGAGUGCAUGCAAGAUAUUUAUGUGGCUAAUGAAAAUGUUUUGAAAUACUUUUAAUAAUUAUCUUUCCAUAACUUGAUGCCAUAGAUCACUAUAUUAAUAAUUGAAUUUUGACUCUCUCAUGUUUUAAUCUUCAUAUGACCAUCUCAUGUGAAGAUCUGAGCCUAAGUUUAGGUGUUAUACGGAUUCACAAGCGUAUUUGAACUUUAUUUGUAAAAACAGCUUAGACAGGGUGGCAGAACACCCCUUUAAUGUCUGUUGUAUUGGUCUCACUGUGUAUUGUUCUCACUAUUUGCUUGUCUUUCGUGACAUCUCCUUCAGCUAGCAGGCCCAUAAUUUGUAUUGUCUAUUUGUUUGGGCUCUGUAGAAAAGACUGAUUGUAUUGUGGCUUUGUCUACUCCUUUUGGGCUUUGGCUCACUAUCAAUGAACCUUGUUUGUUUGACCAAAAAAAAAACAAGGGUGCUUUCAAACUUUAUGCUCCAUCUCUCUCUAUGCUGAAUCUCUCUCUUCAAAGUCUAGGCUAACAAAGCGUUAAUGAAUGUAUGGAGAGAAAAAAUUAUAAUUGUGCGAAAAAUAAUAAAUAAUACUGACCAUAACCAUCAUUAUUCAUUAAAAAAAUAAUUAAAGAUAUCUUUCACAUGAUAUGGUCAUGUGAGAUUAACACACAAAGAUCCAAAUCUGAUCCGAAUCCAUUAAGGAUUACCUGCAUGUUACUUAAUUAAUAUUGUUUUUUGUCUACAUAAUAUAUUUUAUUAAUGAUAUACUCGAAUAUUCACUAAUAAUUUGUCAUUUAUUACAAACUAUAUAUACUUGCUAUUUUUAUUCCUUCAGCAUCUCUACUAUGAAGAUGGUAAAAGUGAAAUUUAAAGAUUUUAAGGCAUUCAAUAAACCUCCAAGGGUCCAUGCAAUAGAUGUCGUUGAUUAGAACACUUGUUUGGGUUGAGAUAAACAAUCAAACUCUCUUCUUCACCUUUGUUCACGAACACCGCUCGCACCACCGGCCUUGCUAAUCCACACCGUCUUUGCUAUUUCCAUUACUUCUUAGCAUCUAAUGUUGCUUAUUUUGAAUCUUCAUAUGCCUUCCUUAAUUUUCUCUCCUUAUGCUAAGAGCUUCCCAUGUUAGUGUUUGAAAGUCGCACAUUAACAACUCCGACAGAGCUGGAUGAGUUGUUAAAUUGGGAGACUUGAUUAAAAUUGAAGAUAAAAGUUUCUCCACUCUAAAGACAAUUGGUCUCUGAUAAUUUGGGGUUUUAAUGAAUUUUUGUACGGCACUUAGGGUUUUACUUCAUGGUUUCAGGUUGUUUCAACUUAUUCAGUGUGCAUGUUUUUCUUAAAAUGCUUAUGUAUGUGCAUUACAAUAUCGUUCUUUAAGAUUUAUUCUGCGGUUAAAUGUUAUAAUUGUCGUUAAGCAACUCUUUCGUAUUUAUUCAGGACAAAUUUUAAAAAAAAAGAAAUAGCAAUCGAACUCAACUUAUUCAAUCCACGAGCUCGAGCUAACAAGUGUAGUUAAAGCCUUUAUUUUUUCUUGUGUCCGAGUGCUAAAUGAUCAGUUGUUCCAAUUAAAAUUCAAGUUUAACGAAAAAAUCGAAGUAUGGCUAUGAGCCCAUGAGAGAAGGAAUUUCAACCAAUCACACCUAUUCUUGCAUGUUCGUGAAGGUUAACUUCGUAAUGAGAGCAUUUACCAUGGAAAUUAAGAUAGACACAAGCUUCUCCUGAAGAUCGUUUCUAUCUAUUUUUCUUCUUCUACCUGUUACUGUAAUUUUAAGUUAAUUUGCACCUUUUGAACCUUGUCGUAAUGGGUUGGGGUAUCCCUUAGACCCCUCAUUAAUGCAUUUUUGCUUAUAAAAAAACUAUGGAAAGAUAGAUUGCAAUGGAAUCAAUUAACGACUGAGAUUAAAUUUGGCUGAAAUGAAUUACAAUUUUACCAACAUAACCAUUGUUCAAGCUACGAGAUAUUCAUAGAAGAAAUGGUAAACAAAGUCUCAAUAGAAGAGAUUUGAAACCUACCAGAGGUGAUGGGAGACAGAGAGUGGUGAUCCUUCAUCGAAACCUAACGUCGAUGGUGAUGGAGAGGACAAAGAUGACGUGGUGGAGAUGACGACGUGGAACACAGGCCGACGGUGGAGAAGCACCGUGGUAGAGGCGACAUUGAGGUUUUGUGAGCGUCAUCGAGCGUGAAGGGUUUUGAUGAAGGAUAUAAAGAACAAAGUAGAGGGAUCUGAAAUUUUAUUUGUAUGUUGAUGGUUUUCGCUAAAAUCAAAAUCCCGACCGCCGCAAAGCUAAGAAAACACAUAUCAGCGAUUGGAACCGCCGUAGAACAAAAACAUUUACAGUGGUCGAGACCAGCUGUCGCGAACCUAUUAUGUUUUAAAUAGAAGUGAUGUCGGCUAAACCACCGCAAAAGAACCGCUGCAAAAUUAAUUAUUUGGCAUAGUGAAUUACUGAAUAUUAUCCUCAAAACGGUAAAAACUUCUUCUUUAUUAUAUAUUAAGAUUAAGAUAAGAUAGCCGAGUCUUGGCCAGCUUGGAUAUUAUCAUUUUUCAGUUUUGGUUAAAAAUAAGGAUGUUAAAAUUUCAGUUGUUAUUAACAAAGACUGUUUGGGAGAUGAUUUUUAGUGAAAAUUUUUGUUUUUUAGAGGAAAAGAUAGGGGAGAAUAUGUUUUUAACAAUUAAAUAAAUGAUUUAUAAUUAAAAAAAUGUGAAAAUAAUAAAUCAUCUUGAAUAUAAUAUGCUAAUUACUAUGAUUUAUUAUCAUAAAUAUUAUAUAAUUUUAUUAAUUAAAAAAAUUUAAAGUUAAGGACUUUCUUUUUUUCUCUCUAAAAUUCUCCAAACAAUUAGAGGUUGUUUGGGAAGGGAGGAUUUGAAGGAAAAUGAAGGUUGAUACAAAGAUAAAAGUUACCCAAACAAGACAAUUGUGUUAUUUGGGUAACUUUCAUGUAAAAAAAUCAAUAUAAAUAAAAGUUAAAUUCAGUACACAUUGAUGUAGUGUAGAGUGUGUGUUUGCUUUUGUGUUAAGUUUCCUUCCUAUACUAAUCCACGUAGGAUUCUCAUUUCAAUGCAUAAGGCGCGUAAUUAGUGAAUUGAAUUAAAAGCAAAUUCACAUUGAGUUGAAUUAAUUAAUGACCAUUCAAACACUACUUUUUAGUUUAGAAAUUUCAUUGAUGAACAUGUGAUAAGUUUUAAUAAUAUAAUAUAAUUUAAUAUACUAUAAAAUUUAAAUUUAUUAUUGAAUUAUUCAAAAUAUAAAUAUAUAGUAUUAAAUUAUUUUUAUCAUUAAAUUAUUGUUUUACUAACUUUAUUAUUCUAAAAAUAUUAUUAUUAAAUUAUAUAAAUAUAUAUAAUAGUAAUUUUAAAUUAUUUAAAAUAAUAAAUAAAUUAAAUAUUAAAUAUUAAAUAUCAUUAAAUACAUACAAUAUUAAAUAUCAUUAAAUACAUACAAUAUUAAAUAUAUAUUAUUGUAUUAAACUUUGACUACAAUUUCAAAAAAAAA